AGGCAUAUCAAAGAUAGGCCAAGAAGCUUUUGCUUUUCUUGAUGAACAACAACUCUAUGAAAAAAAUACAAGGUCUUAUGUUAAAACAACCAACAAAAAUUACCUUUAUUAUAACCAAUACCAACCCCAAAAAUCUCAUGUUGUUCAAUUCAAACCAAUUGAAGAAAGAGUUAUGAAUAGUCAUCAAGCUUUGAAGUUACAUGGAGGGGUUCUUGUUUGUGAUUAUUCCAAGAGAAAGCCAAAACCUAUGGCUUAUUACUAAGCAGAAGCGAGUUCGGAAUUGAGAGUUCAUGAGUUCAGAAUUAUAUAUGUAAUAAUCUUAUGUACCAAUAAAUGUACAUAUAUAGUACGUAAUAGGCUUAACUGAAUCUGCAAAACCCGCUCUAGAUUCAUCUAUGUUAAUGAGUGUCUUGAGUCUUUUUCUUUUAGUUUAUCAACAUGUAUACCAUAUGGGUGAUGUUAUAUAUUUCACUUUUAAAAGCUAAAUUAUGCUCAUGAUUUAAUUAGUCUGCUUUCUAGCAAUAUAAUAAUUUGAUAUUCCAAAUAUCAAUAAUGAUGGUUAAGGCAUGCCAAGAUCGAAAUGUAAAAUUAUUGUCCACACAUAUAUUGUCCCAUGCAACGACAAUGAUCUAUAUGAUAAUUUGAUCAGCCUAUAAGCGUCCGCGUAUCAGUUUACUAUCUUUAUAUGUGGUUUGAAGAUAUAUAUACACAAAAAGGAGCGUACGUGCUUUGGUAACUAUAAAUACUCGAAUGAUGUGGAUGACACGUAGAUAAUUAUCGAAUUGACUUAAAUAUAUUCGAGAGGAAAAUUAUUGGUUUACGAACGAAAUUUCACAUAGAUAAUUUGCCAACCUAUAAGCGCCCGCGUACCAGUUUACUAUCUUUAUCUGUAACUUGAAGAUAUAUAUACACAAAACGAAGCGCAUGUGCUUUGGUAACCAUAAAUAUCAAAUGAUGGGGUGACACAUAGUUAAUUUUCAAAUUAAUUUAAUUAUAUUCGAGAGGAAAAUUGUUGGUUGUAUGAACGAAAUUCCACAUUGAUAAUUUGCUAGCGUAUAAUAAGCGUCUGCGUAUCAGUUUAUUAUCUUUAUUUGUAGCUUGAAGAUAUAUAUACACAAAACAAAGCGUAUGUGCUUUGUGGUAAUUAUAAAUACUUGAAUGAUGUAGGUGACACAUAGUUAAUUUUCAGAUUGACUUAAUUAUAUUCGAGAGGAAAAUUGUUAGUUGUACCAACGAAAUUUCACAUUGAUAAUUUGUCAGACUAUAAGCAUCCACAUACCAGCUUACUAUAUUUAUCUGUAGCUUGAAUAUAUAUAUAUACAAAAAGAAGCGAAUGUGCUUUGGCAAUCAUAAAUGUUCGAAUGAUGUGGGUGACACAUAAUUAAUUUUCAGAUUAACUUAAUUAUAUUCGAGAGAAAAAUUGUUGGUUGUACGAAUGAAAUUUCACAUUAAUAGCUAAAAGAAAAUAGAAGGUGUUGUGUAAUGAUAAUUUAAAUUUAAUGACCGUCCUUUCAAAAUACUUAACAUUAAACUUAAUUAAUAGUAUAUUCUAAAAAUAAUUCAAAUCGAAUAUUUGUUAAAAAAUUUUAUAAAUUUUUACAUAAUAUAUUUAUAUUCUGAAAAUAUGGGUGCUUGGGGUGGCAGCCGCCAUUGCGAUUGAGCAUAUAAUUUGUGAGAUUUUCCCAAUUAUAUUCUCCAAGUUGCAUACGUACAAAUAAUCCAACUAUCCAAAUGAAAUAAUGUUCUUAAUUAAAUAAUUAAAUAUUAAUCACAUAUUGUAUAAUAUCUAAUUGAGAAUAUACAUACAACUUGUGAUAUUUGUCUAUGGGUGUCAAACGGGUCGGGCAGGCUGGGCCAACCCGAAAUUGGCCCUUCUAUUUUAACUGGGUUGAGGGUCGGUUUUCGUGCUAGAUGGGCCGGGCCGGGCCGGUCCACCACAAUAAAAAAAUUAAAACUCAUUCUAACCCAGCCCACUUAACCUAACCUGGUCAAACCCACCAAAAUCUGGUCAAACCCGGUUAAAAAAUCGGUCAAACCCGGUCAAAAAUAUAUAAAAAAAAAACCUUUCUUUCAAUAUACAUUGCAUAUACCCACCUAUAUACAUUAUAAAUACAUUAAAUAAUAUAUAUACACNNNNNNNNNNNNNNNNNNNNNNNNNNNNNNNNNNNNNNNNNNNNNNNNNNNNNNNNNNNNNNNNNNNNNNNNNNNNNNNNNNNNNNNNNNNNNNNNNNNNNNNNNNNNNNNNNNNNNNNNNNNNNNNNNNNNNNNNNNNNNNNNNNNNNNNNNNNNNNNNNNNNNNNNNNNNNNNNNNNNNNNNNNNNNNNNNNNNNNNNNNNNNNNNNNNNNNNNNNNNNNNNNNNNNNNNNNNNNNNNNNNNNNNNNNNNNNNNNNNNNNNNNNNNNNNNNNNNNNNNNNNNNNNNNNNNNNNNNNNNNNNNNNNNNNNNNNNNNNNNNNNNNNNNNNNNNNNNNNNNNNNNNNNNNNNNNNNNNNNNNNNNNNNNNNNNNNNNNNNNNNNNNNNNNNNNNNNNNNNNNNNNNNNNNNNNNNNNNNNNNNNNNNNNNNNNNNNNNNNNNNNNNNNNNNNNNNNNNNNNNNNNNNNNNNNNNNNNNNNNNNNNNNNNNNNNNNNNNNNNNNNNNNNNNNNNNNNNNNNNNNNNNNNNNNNNNNNNNNNNNNNNNNNNNNNNNNNNNNNNNNNNNNNNNNNNNNNNNNNNNNNNNNNNNNNNNNNNNNNNNNNNNNNNNNNNNNNNNNNNNNNNNNNNNNNNNNNNNNNNNNNNNNNNNNNNNNNNNNNNNNNNNNNNNNNNNNNNNNNNNNNNNNNNNNNNNNNNNNNNNNNNNNNNNNNNNNNNNNNNNNNNNNNNNNNNNNNNNNNNNNNNNNNNNNNNNNNNNNNNNNNNNNNNNNNNNNNNNNNNNNNNNNNNNNNNNNNNNNNNNNNNNNNNNNNNNNNNNNNNNNNNNNNNNNNNNNNNNNNNNNNNNNNNNNNNNNNNNNNNNNNNNNNNNNNNNNNNNNNNNNNNNNNNNNNNNNNNNNNNNNNNNNNNNNNNNNNNNNNNNNNNNNNNNNNNNNNNNNNNNNNNNNNNNNNNNNNNNNNNNNNNNNNNNNNNNNNNNNNNNNNNNNNNNNNNNNNNNNNNNNNNNNNNNNNNNNNNNNNNNNNNNNNNNNNNNNNNNNNNNNNNNNNNNNNNNNNNNNNNNNNNNNNNNNNNNNNNNNNNNNNNNNNNNNNNNNNNNNNNNNNNNNNNNNNNNNNNNNNNNNNNNNNNNNNNNNNNNNNNNNNNNNNNNNNNNNNNNNNNNNNNNNNNNNNNNNNNNNNNNNNNNNUAAGAGUACUAAAGUGACACAUAUGAUUAUAUUUCAUGCACGGAUUUAGCAUAGCACCAACCAAGUAAAUAGGGGGUAUCGGGAAAAAAUAUUUUUUAAAUUUCGUAAACAUGGCGCCAACAGCUUCUUUAUAACCUUCUUUAUUUUUAUAUUCUUUGAGCAAACCAGAAAUAUCGGCUAUAUAUGCCAAAAUAUUACAAACAGUAGAAUAAUAAGCAUCGGAAAAUUCAACCGUAGCUACAUAAAAUUUUUCUAAAAACUUAACAAGAUCAUUAAUUACAACCCAGUCAGAAUUAUGUAGCAUGCAAUCAGCAGAAUCAGCAAAUGAACCGCAAUGUUGGUUAAAAGCUAGUGUAAUAGGAAUUCUAUAUUUAUAACAAGUUUUUAAAAAUUCAUACGUAGAAUUCCAUCUAGUAUCAAUUUCCUCAGGCAUCAAAAUCGGUGUAAGUCCAUUUUCUUGACAUUUAACUUUAAAUUCUCUAAUUCUCGAUCUACGAUUAUUUCCUUGACUAAAACCAAUGGCAAGAUGAAUUUUUUCAAUAUAAAGCUCAAAAAACUCAAGACUAUCUUUUACAAUUAAAUUAUAUAUUUGACAUGUACACUUAAUAUGAAAAAUUUCAGGCAAGGACGGAGAUAGCUUAGAUUUUAAUUUUUUUUAUAGCAGUCUUGUUGUUAGAAGCAUUAUCAAAAGUAAUACAUAAAAUUUUAUUUUCGAUACCAUAAUAUCCGGUAAUUUUAACAAUAGAAUCAGCAAUAAAUUGUCCAGUAUGUUUACAAUCUUCAUCAUAUAAAAAAGCAAGAAUACGUUUUUGCAUCACGAAAUUACUAUCCAUCCAAUGACAAGUAACGGUUAAAUAAUCAUUUUUAUUUACAGCACGACCAAGAUCAGAAGUUAGGGACAAUCUACAUUGAAUAUUUUUUAACAAUGUUGAAAAAUAAAAACAAUAUUGUGAAUGAAGUCUAAAAAUAUCAGACCGACAAGUAGUUCUAGGAAUACCAUUAGACAUAGGAUAAUAAAUUGCUUGUAUAUAACGAAUAAAGGCAUCAAAGAAGGAAAACUAAAAGGCAAACAACCCACAGCUACCAUUUUAGCUAUUUCUUUCCGGUCCCUCAAUUUAUUAUACUUCUUCGCUACGUGACCGGUUGCUGGGUCCAUUCUAGUUUGCGUUGGCCCACCAACAUCCCCACCACCUUGUGCAAUAUUUAACUCUCUUUUGGGAUCUUCAGCUAUAUGUCUCAUUAACGUACCCGUNNNNNNNNNNNNNNNNNNNNNNNNNNNNNNNNNNNNNNNNNNNNNNNNNNNNNNNNNNNNNNNNNNNNNNNNNNNNNNNNNNNNNNNNNNNNNNNNNNNNNNNNNNNNNNNNNNNNNNNNNNNNNNNNNNNNNNNNNNNNNNNNNNNNNNNNNNNNNNNNNNNNNNNNNNNNNNNNNNNNNNNNNNNNNNNNNNNNNNNNNNNNNNNNNNNNNNNNNNNNNNNNNNNNNNNNNNNNNNNNNNNNNNNNNNNNNNNNNNNNNNNNNNNNNNNNNNNNNNNNNNNNNNNNNNNNNNNNNNNNNNNNNNNNNNNNNNNNNNNNNNNNNNNNNNNNNNNNNNNNNNNNNNNNNNNNNNNNNNNNNNNNNNNNNNNNNNNNNNNNNNNNNNNNNNNNNNNNNNNNNNNNNNNNNNNNNNNNNNNNNNNNNNNNNNNNNNNNNNNNNNNNNNNNNNNNNNNNNNNNNNNNNNNNNNNNNNNNNNNNNNNUUAAAUAUUAAACAAUUAAUACAAUAAAUAAAAAUUAAACGUAAGAGAUGAAACGACAAUACCAAAUUUUGGAAGUAUCCGAAGGUUGCGACUUUAGAAACUUCCGCUCGUACUUUGUAAACGAAAAAUUAAAAAAUUAAAGUGAACAUUUUAAGAAAUUAAAUAUAUUGAAUAUUUGAGAACUGAGAAUUGAGAUUCGAGAGAGAAUGAGAUUUGAGAGAGUGAAAACUUGUGUGAAAAAUGAUUUGAAGUUGUAGGGUAUUUAUAGAAUUUUUUUUGGGGUUAAAAAAUAUUUUUUAAAGUUAUUUUUUUUUUUAAUAAAUGGGUCCAAACUAGCCGUUUGGACCCAAAAACGGCUAUAUAGCCGUUGGGCCAAUGACUAGUUUGGCCCAAAAUCCCAAUUUUAUUUUUUUUUAAAAUGGUAUCCGGGUCGGCCCGACCUACUUGACACCCUUAGUUGCAACUAUAUAGUUGAGAAAGAACAAAAAAGAUAGCUUCAAGCCUUCAACCCUUGCGAGUAUCGGUCAAAGAUUGAAAGAACCUUUAAAUUUUAAAAACUCCAACAUAAUAAUAUACAUCACUUUUAAAACUUAAAUUUUGUACCCGAAACAACAGUAUAUUUAUGUAAAUUAUUUUUGUUUUAAAUUUAUGUUGUCCCCACAUGACAGGUUGUCGUUUGUCCCCAACCCAUACACAUAGAUCCAAAUUCGAUUAUGGAAGUGAUGAAGAAAACAACAAGCACUAUGAUCAGCCAAAUCCUCUUUUUUUAGCCUAUGGAGGGAAGAUUAUCUUUCUACUUCAUCUUCAUUUCUUAAUAGUUGAUAAACACUUCAUUUGAUAGUUCAUUUGAACUUGUAAUUGACGGCGUUGAACUUCAUUAUGGUUCUUGAAAACUUGUUCCUGACACGUUGUCCCCCACAUUGUAAAUUAUUUUCAUUUUAAAUUUAUGGUAGUCCCCCACAUGACAGGAUGUCUUAUCCCCCACCUAUACACAUCGAUCCACCUCUAGCUAGCUAGAUGACAUUUGAUCACGUUUACAUCCUAGGUUCAAAACAUUCUUCUUCUUAAAAACUAUCAUGUGAUCAUCACACUGUUGAGUGCGUUUAAAGAUUCUGAAAAUUUCAGGUACCACUGUUUGCAAAAAGAGAAUCAUUUUAUCUUGGGAGGAAAGAUUCCAUAACCCUGGGCCUUGAGGGGAACAAAUUCCUUCAGGACACACCGUGCAUCUGGUGAGCUUGAUUCUACAAAUUUCUGCUUCAUCUUCAUUUUCUUAAUAGUUGAUAAACACUUCAUUUGGUUAUUCAUUUGAAGUUGUAAUUGAAGGCGUUGAACUUCAUUAUAAUUCUUGAAAACUUGUUCCUGACAGGUUGUCCCCCACAUUGUAAAUUUUCUUUUUAAAUUUAUGGUAGUCCCCCACAUUACAGGUUGUCCCCCACCCAUACACAUCGAUCCACCUCUAGCUUGCUAGAUGACAUUAAUGAUCACGUUUACAUCCUAGGUUGUCCCCCACCCCACCUAUACACAUCGAUCCACCUCUAGCUAGCUAGAUGACAUUUGAUCACGUUUACAUCCUUUGUCAACAAAAAUGACAGUAUAUGACACGUUUAAAAAAUUCCCUUUUCUUUAAUAUUCCAUCCCUUGGCAACUUGCGCCACCACCACUGACACUCCCAUCAACCAACUAUUGAUAGACGAUGUACUCGAUACUAAUGGCAAACCCCUCAACGCAAGCCAUUAAUAGGUACUGAAUACUUCCGGCCUACUACACUAAGGGCAUUGGAGGAGUACGUCUUGCUAAUCUUAACGAUCAACAACAAACCACUACUAGUAGACAAAAACAUAUAUAUUUUACACAUAUCAUACAUAAUAUACAAAAAAAUAUAUACAUUCAAGGACUAUGCUAUUUAUGCUGACGAAUCGGCCAAAAUAACUACAUUCACUAGUCAAAUCUGCUAUAAAUAUAUACUGUUUUGUAUCAAACAUAUAUGUAUAUUUUUCGUAUAUCGUAGAGUAAUAUACAAAAAAGUUAAUUUCUCAUUUUCUUUUUUUAAUAUGUUCUAUUAUUUGUGAUGGCAGGACCAAAUUGUUGUGUGAACUCUUCAAGAACUGAUCUUUUUCUUGAGCAUGAGCCACAGGCAACAACGACAAAAAACAUGGUCCAUAUAGCCCAAAGUAAGUUUGCUACUUCAAUGUAGAUGAAUACGCAUAAAAGUUCAGGUUAAUUUAACCGUAUGAUCACUAAGCUUUACUACAGUAACAAUGAAGUAAGAACGUUUUUGCUUUUGUCGAAUUAAAGUAACUGAACCAUGUGUGAGUUUGUCUAAUCUGCAAAUGACCGAAAGGUUAAAAUUGACCACGUGUCCACCUUGUCACUCUAUAAAUUCCACCUCAUAAAUAAAAGAGAUAUUUAUGAUUGAACAUUCUUAGCAAAACUUUUGACUUCGCCAUUAAGUCCAAUUAUAUUGAUUAAUAGUUUUUUUUUUUUUGGAUAGUGACAAGAAAAGGAACCAUAGAAAAAUUUGACUAUGGAAGUGAUGAAGAAAACAAGAAGCACUAUGGUCAGCCAAAUCCUCCACAAAACAUAAUGUCAAAUAUCCCAAAUGAUAUUCCUAUUUUUUUAGCCUAUGGUGGGAAAGAUUAUCUUUCUGAUGUUAAUGAUGUGAAGAUUUUGUUAAAUAAAUUGCAAGAUUAUGAUCCAGACAAACUUGUUGUGCAAUAUAGAGAAGAUUAUGCACAUGCUGAUUAUGUUUUUGGUACAAAUGCUAAAGAAGUUGUAUAUAAUCCUAUAAUGACCUUCUUUAAGCUUAAUUAAGAAGAUUAUUAUAAGGUUGAUGUAUAAUUAAUUUGUACUAGUUGUGAGUCAAAGUUGAAUUAAGCAGCAUUGUACUUAAUUAUGUAUGUUUAAUAAAUGUUUAACAUAUAAUCAGUUUAUUAAACUUAUCAGAAUAUUUCAUUUAAAUACUCAAACUAUAAGUCAUUUAAAUACUCAAACUAUAAGUCCUGUUCGAAUUGCGCACCUCAACUCCUACUAAAGUAUUUCAGUUAGACAUUUUCAAUUCAAAUUAUGUACAUGCUGACUUUGUUUUUGCUACAAAUGCUAAAGAAGUUGUAUAUAAUCCUAUAAUGGCCUUUAAGCUUAAAUAAGAAGGUAAUUAUAAGGUUGAUGUAGAACUUCUUCUUGUUAUUCAUUAAGUGGAUAGUACUAAUUGUGAGUCGAAAGUUGAAUAAAGUAGUAUUGUAUUUAAUCAUGUUUGUCAAAUAAAGGCUUGGUACAUAUCCAGGGUUUUUAAAUGUGUAAACAAAAUAAAUUUCAGACUUUAGCAAGUUAAUUACCUUCUUUUCUGGAUUUGUUAUUUAGUUUUUUCUCUCUAGAAUUUUAAAUGUUCAUUGACAUUUUCCUAUGAGAUAACCGUUUCAAUGUUAUUUAAGGAAAUAAAUCAAGUCAAAUAAUUAUCCAAAUUAUUUAAGAAAAUAAAUCAAGUCUAAUAAUUAUCCAAUAUUGUACCUUAUUAAUAUGUGAUUAAUGAAUCCCUUAAUUAUUAAAUUUUUCAAAAAAUAUACUACUAAAAGGAAAUUUACUACAUAAAUCACCUAGAAAUUUUUAAAACCAAAGAAAAAUAAAAUCCUUAUAAAAUGAAGGGAUAUAAAAAAUUUUAAAACAAAAAAAUAACUCGUAUGAAGGAAAUUUUACUACGUAAGUUGACGAAACAUUUUACUACCUAAUCUACAUAUACAAGAAAUUUUACUACGUAAGUAUGGAAAACUCUGAAACAAAAAAAAUGAAUUUCUAUAAGAUUUGAAGAACAUGCCAAUAGUGAACCCAACCUUUAUAUAUAUUGGUUUACAAAAUACACAUCUCAGCAUCACAUAUACAUAAUAAUAUGAAACAAAACUUGAAAAUAUAAAGAUAACACAUCAUACACAUACCUAAUGUUCUUUCAUAUAUAAAACAUUGCUAUGUAUAUGGGUUGAAAUACACACAACUCAUCUUGUCUAAUCGAGUUAUAUCAUAACUGUGCUAUGUAUAACACUAUUGAUGCAUAAUAUAAACAUAACUUUGUAAUAUAUAUGACCUGAAAUUAAAUAACCUAACAGUGUCUGUUUCAAUACAUAUACAUAACAAAUUUAUGUAUAUGGGUUGAAAUAAAAACGUUAAACAAAUGACAUAAUUACAAAUAUAUACAUAACUCGCCAUGUAUCAUAGUUCAAAAUAAAAAUAAGGAUUUACUAAGUAAUCUGACCAUAUUCAUAACAAAUUUAAUGUAUAAUAAGGCAUCUUUAAGACUAUACAUAAUUAAUUUAUGUAUAAGAUUGAAAUAACAACAAAACACUCUUAUAUAACAAUGUAUAAGAAUGCGUAAAUUGAUAAAAAUAAAUAAAUAUUUAGAAACAAAUCAAUAUAUAUCUGGAAAACGCAAUCGUGAUGAUUUUGUACUUUUUAUCUUACUUGAAAAUUUAGCAACAGACUUUUUAGAGCUUGUACGAGCAACUUCCCAUGACUUCUUUAUCUUUACGGGAUCGUUUCAGCAUUUUGAUCUAUUUUUUCUAAAACUCAGAUCAGAAUCCAUUACUAUGCUUAAGUUUUGAGAAUUUCUCACAUUCAACAAGUAACUCAUAGAUUUUUGAUUUAAUAAAGUUGAAAAAAUUAAGAAAUUAAACUAACCUCAAAAAUAAAUUGAAGAAGAUGUUUAUAUUAAAUACUUUGAUAAGAUAAGGUUUGUAAAAUCAAACCACGAAAUUCCUUAAUUAUGGUUGCUUGAUUUUAGGCACAAAUAAUGGAGGUGUGAUACGUCUAUGGAUAUGUACAUGGAGGUUGGAGAGAGAAAGUGUAAAAAUGAGAUAUUUGUUAUUAAUUUUGAUAGAUGAAAUUUUAUGUAAUAAUAGAAAGUUAGGACGUAUAUGUUGGGUUAUUAAGAGGUGCGAAUGAAAAAUAAAAAGGUGGUAUUUUUUUUCGGAAAGACACUAAGAGAAAGGAUGCAAUUUGAAUAGGCACCUUUUCGGAUUGAAUGAUUAUGACCUUUCCAAUGGGUUGUAACUUUUCGAAAAGAUGCAGCUUUCUGAAGGGAUGCACCUUUCUUAACCAUUGCUUCUCUUCAUGAAGCAACACCUUGAUGACUAUAAAUACCUGAAUUUUUUUCAGGUAAAGACAAUAAUUUUUGGUGUUGAAAACAUUCUUUUUCUUCCUAAAAACUCUCUUGUGAUCAUCAAACUGUUAAGGGCGUUCGAAGAUUCUGAAAAUUUGAGGUGCUGCUAUUUUCAAAAAGAGAAUCAUUUUAUCUUGGGAGAAGAGAUUCCAUAACCUCGGGUACUAGAGGGAAAUAAAUUUCUUAAGGUCAAACCGUGCAUUCGGUGGACUUGAUUCAACAAAUUUUUGCUUCAUCUCCAUUUCUUAAUAGUAGAUAAACACUUUCAUCUGAUAGUUCAUUUGAACUUUUGUUUGACGAUAUUAAACUUCAUUCUACUUCUUGAAAACUUAUUCUUGAACUUACUUUGAAGUUUGUAUAGAAAACAUACAAAUUUUGUACACGGAACAACAAUCUUAAGAAAUUUAUCUUGAUCUGUAUUGUUUGGUUUUACUGUUUUUCAGUAAAUAUUUUGAAUUUCAUAUUGAUAGUUCUUCAACUGUUUGAAUUUGUGUUUAAAGUUCUUGAAACUUUAUUUUGAUAGUUCAUAAGAUGGUUGAACUUGCGCUGAAAUUCUUAACAUUUAGUUUUGCUAUUUUCCAAAAAAUAGUUUAAACUUCAUUUUGUUGAUGUUUAUAAGUUGGGUUGAACUUAUUGUUAAAAUAUAAGAAAUUUGCACAAUAAGGUGUAAUUUUGAGUAUGAAAUCCGAUGAUUUGGAAGUUAUCCUAAGAUUCUAGAGCAGGAUAAUUUGUAGUGGUUAUGUUUUAGCUUAGAUCAAGAAAAUUAACACGAUAUUAAUAUGACGUGAUUAUAGGUUUGAUCCAAGAAAAUGAUACGAAUCAUUCGGGUGACAAAUUAGGUAUUUCGACAAGAGUACUGUGAGUAGUAAUAUUGCCACAAUUUAUGUCUCUUAAAUUGCAUAUUUAUACAUGUUUUGAUGAAAACAAGAGUUAUUGAAUGCUUUGAAAAAUUUGCACGUGGGACAAGUUCUUUACUUGAUAUGAUAUUGAGAUGGUUAUUUGAGACAUGAUAUUAAUAUUGUGAAAAUUCUUCACUUACAUGAGAAGUAUGUAUUUUGAUAUGUUUUUAUUCAAGUUUACAUGUAACAUGAUUCGAUAUGAACUUUAAAUGAUACGUACUGUUCUGAAAGAUAUUUUUAUAUGAAUAUCCUAUUGUUUAGAAAGAAUUUAUGAAUGGGAGUAGACCUUGAUUAAAUACCGUAUCUAACGGCGGGAUCGUUAGACCUGAUGCACCCUGUAUUUACUAAUGAAUGUUACAGCUCUCGCUAGUGGGAAGGUAGAACUAGCAUACUGAUAUGAUAUUUGACUCCUUUAUGAGGGGUCUACUGUUAUGGGUUAUUCUUAAUGAAGAAGAACGUCACACUGAUUACAUAAUUCAUUCUGGGAAACCUCCCAGAUAUAUAAUAUUUGAUAUGACACGAUGCUUUUUAAAGUUUAUUACUGAAUUAUUGGUUCACUUGGCUUACAAGAAAGAAUGAUAUUGUUUAUCGUUACUGUUUUCUGAAAGAGCAUUAGUUCAUGAUGUUUUAUGACUUGUCCCCAUUUUUAUCUGUAUUUUACCCAUAUAUGAAUUUUGGAAUAUAUUCUAAAUCCAUUAUAAAAUAUUUCGUCAUAGCAGUAAGUAUUUGUGCCUGUAGUUUCUUGUUCGUGGUAUUUCGGUGAUAUUUAUGAUUUCGAAUAAAUAAUUUAUAAUAUUGCCUUGUGGGUGUCUUGUUUUCUUUAUUAUCUAGCUAUGUGUUAUCCCAUUUUGUUGUGUGCUUUUAUGUUUUUUUUUAUUUGUUGUACUAUUAUCUGUCCUGACCAGUUGAGGGUCUAUCGAAAACAACCUCUCGAUCUACUUAAUCUGAGAUAGUAGUAUAGAUUGCAUAUACUUUAUGGGAAUACAGUGGCUAUGUUUUCGUCGUGAUAAGAAAUAAAACAAGUGUGCAGAAAGCACACGCUUUCAUUUGUUUAACUUGGUAAAGUAGAAGCCAAGUGCUAAUGCAUAUGAAAUUUGGAAUAUAUUAAAAAAAAUUUGGAAUAUAUCAUCAUAUUAAAAAAUGAUGUAAAUCUUCAUCUUCAUUUUAUUUUUUGAAAUGCAUGUUUCAUCAUUGAAAUAAUGUUGAUAUAAUAGUAUAAAAUAAUUAUCUUUUCUUGAUAUGUUAAAAGUUACAUGUAAAAGUGAAAAUCUAUCUUUAAAAAUAGUGAACAAGUAACGUGAGCAGAUGAAGUAAAUGACUUGUCCACAUCUAUUUUAGGUAUACCCAUUUUCCGAAAAAUUAAACUUUAUAUAUUGUGAUAAAAACAUAUAAGUAUAAUUUUUGUACGAAAAUGUCAAUCAUUUAGUAAAAAGAAACAAAUUAAACGUGGAUGAUGGUUCACAUAAAUUAGAGCAAAACAUUUAAUCUUGUGUAUCUAUAAAUAGAAGAGGUUAGCGAUAUACAAAUAAUCAUCAAAACAAAUUAACAUCCGUAAAGAUGAAGACCAUAUUACUCUUUCUUUUCCUUGCAAUAAUAUUCCUUCCCUUGGCAACUCCCUUCAACCAACUAUUGAUAGGCGAUGUAGUCGAUACUAAUGGCAAACCCCUCAACGCAAGCCAUUAAUAGGUACUGGAUAACUCCGUCCAACAGCCCUAUGGACGGUGGAGGUGUAAGCCUUGAGGAUCCUAAACAGGAAAAGAUUGUGGUGUCAUCUCCAGUAAACAUCCAAUUCUAUUUAGAUUAUCCUUUGUGUUCGAACCUAUCCGUGUGGAAGGUCGACAACCUUAAUUCAAAACUUCCACACACCAUAAGCACAGGUGCAAAGUUGGGAAAUCCCAACGAUGUGAGCAGUUGGUUCCAAAUUAUGCCUAUAGGUGGUGAUAGAAAGUAUAAGCUAGUGUUCUGUACCUCUGAAGAAAUUUGCCAAGACAUUGGCGUCGUCCUACAAGGUGGAUAUCAACGUCCCAAAGCCCUUUGUGUUCAAACUGGAUGAUGGAAUUGUAAAGGCAGCAGAAGCUAGCAUGAUCUCGUCAUAUUAUGAUGCCUAGAUCUACUACUCUAUGUAAUGUAUAAUGCAUAUAUGCAGGGACUUUGUCCCAUAGCAUAGCAUGGAUGCAUCUAGUAAAACUUAAUAACAAGGCCUUAGUCAUAUUAUUCCAUUCUUCUUUUUCAUUUUAGCAAAAUAAUUUGAAAUGAGUAAAUAUCGCCGAUCCUUAAGCGAUAGUUAGUUAAUCAAAGAAAACAUUAAUUUACUACAAAGAAAAAUAUACUAAAAAACAUAUUAUUGAUGUAAUUUGGUCAAGUGACCUACAUAUUGAAAACUAAUAUAAAAACAAAAUUAAAAACUAUUGGGAGAAAAUCUCCCCUUAAACAAGACUCUUUAAACGGCAAUAUUGUGGAUGCUACUGUGUUAUUGUAUGAGAAAGGGAGUCUUCUAUUUAUAGAUGUCCAAAACCUUUCCUCCAAGAAAGAGGUUUGUCAAAUAUGGAAAAGUUUUAUAUUUUCGUUUCAGGAAAAGUAAGAGUAUUAAUAGUUACUUUUAUUUUCCUUACAAGAAAAAACAAAACUUAAAGGCAAAACUUAUAAUGUAUUUCUUUCUUGUCUAUUUUGAUAUGCUUUAGUACUUGAGUCGAGAGUCUAUUGGAAACAGUCUCUCUAUCUUCAUAAGUAGGCAUAAAUUGCGUACAUAUUACCCUUUCAGUACUUCAUUAUAAAAUUUUCUGAAUAUGUUAUUAUUGUUGUUGCAUCAUGGAUGAUGUUAAACACAUUUAUACAUGAUCUAAAUGUAAUUGUAAUUGGAAUAUUUUAUAAGGAGCUGAGGAUAUGUUCAAUUGAAACAUAGCACAGUUCAACUAUCUAAAUAAAAUAUUCUGACAAAUUUAAGAGGUUGAAUAUGUAUUAAAUCUUUAUUUAACACACAUAAUUAGACACGAUACUACUUUUUCAACUUUGACACACAAUUAGUACUAUAUCUACUUAAUCAAAUAACUGUUGGGUUCAAAAUUGAGAGGGCAUCAUGCGGAAGUUAUUAGUUUGCAAACCAUGGAGACGAUAAAUCAGACAACAAGGUGAACAAUACUAAAAAGAUAUGUUAUUAAUAUGGUUUGGUCAAACGACCUACAUAUAAAAAACUUACAUUAUGGUAUUACUUUUAUUUUUCUUCUAAAAAAAGUAAAACCUAAUUUUAGUAAGAAAAUUAGGGCAAAAGUCAUAACAAUAACAACAAUAAAUUCUACAUCAACAUUAUAAUUACAUUCUUAAUUAAGCUUAAAGAAGGCCAUUAUAGGACUAUACACAACUUCUUUAGCAUUUGUAUCAAAAUGAAAUAUCUUAACAAGUUUAAAGAGUCUCAAUAUGUACCAAUAGGGGUGGGCAUGAUAUGGUAUAAACCGAAUUAUCAUAUCGUAUUAAAAUUUUUGAUACCGUGAUUUUAAUAUUAUGAUAUUUGGCAUGAUACACGAUAUACAUUUUAAAUUCUUCUGAUUUAUGAUAUGGUAUUCGGUAUUUAUAGAUGACAUACCGAAAUACCGAAUACCAUACCGAAGUAUAUAGUUACAUAAACAACCUGAGAAUCCUGAUGUACUCCACCCGGGACAAUCUUACAAGUGUUUCCUUGGAUCACCGUAGUCAUAACAUAUAUUCUCCUUGUGCUCAAGUUGACUGAGAAAUAUCUGAACGAUCGGAAAUGCCUGCCCUAUAUAUAGGGUGGUGUCUGUCAAUCUGAUACGAUAAAAAAUUGGUAUAAAAUAGUCCACAAACAAAGGGAAACCCGAGAGCUCAACAAACACUAAAUCUCGGUUCCAACAACAUCAAGAAACAAGGUGUAAAUGACACCAAAAGCACUAACAACAACAAGAGAUAAACAACAAUAACGAAAGGAACAACACUACAAUAACAACAAUCCAACGGUUACAAGAUUACAAGAACAACAAGAACCAAACGGUUCAUUAGACUACACAACUAGUACAUUAUAUGUAAAGAUAGGAAGUGAGACAUACACUAUUACAAGGUUAAGAACCCAAAGAUUUAUUAAAUAUAAGGAACCCUAAGACUACAAUAGCAACACCACACUCUUACGUGACACAAGAGGGAUUCCACCGCUCAAGCACCAACGUUUCCAAGCAAUACACAAUCACAAGUGAAUCCACACUUGUUCAUGUCCUAGUUUAGGCCUAGAGACCCUCUCUCUCAAGAGAUGUAUUCUUUCAACAAUAUUCGACAAAAACUAAUGAACUAAAACCCUAUAUUGUUCUAUUUAUAGUACUUUACAAAUAAAAAGAUAAAAUGAAAAAAAGGCCCUUUAAUGACCAAGUAGGCAAAUAGGCACCAUGUUCAUCUUCAUGAUCGUGCUUGUAUCAUCCUCUCCAUCUUGAGAGGAAUUUGACCUCAAAUUCAUGGCACUAGCCAAAUGAAAAUGGCUUCAAAACAGUCCACAAAAUAAGCAGAAAUCGAGAACACAACAAUUUCAAGUCUCGGCCAACGUCUUCAUUUUGCACCUUGGCUCCCUCUCCAUCUUUAGUUUUGCCUUCAAUCUCAUCUUACUCAAUUAAGUUUAGACAAGAAGUUUCACUACAAAACAACAAACGGGUUAGUUAUAAAAGAAAGGUCCUUACACUCUCUCUUUAUUUCUUUGUUCUCGGAUUCCUCAAACUUAAUCUCACAAGUGUUGUAUGCUUGCUUGUACUCUGUGAGGUGUUGAGAGGUGAAUUCCAAUGUUUUCAACGACUCCAAAAUAAAGAAAAUACACAACGACGUAAACACAAAGAACGUUUUCAAACCAACUCACAAUCUAGUAAGUGGUUACUAGCUUGUAAGUUAGUAUUGGAAUCAACAAAAUGAAACUAGAAGAUCAAAGUUGAGCUUACAAUUUGUUGUGUGAACAGUAAUUGGUGAUGUGUCAGCCCCCAAUUGGUCACGGGCCCACACAAGUUUUAAUCGCCAUUCUUGGAAUUUUUAGUCCUUAUACUUUUGGAAUGGGAGACAAUUAGUAUUUUGAGGGAAAAACACAAGUCUUGUAAAUCUUUUCAAGUUCAACUCAAAAAGGUGAGAUUAGACUUGUACUAGUUUCGACAAAACAAGGCUCCUAGAAACAAGGAAAGUGGUUGAAAAAGUUUUUGUCAAGUCAGAAGUGAUGUGAGCUAGUCCUUUCACCAACAAGUCUUCCAACUUUGUCUUCACCUUUUCUAGAUCUGUUAACUACUUUAAGUUGGUCAAGAUAACAGAAGUGAUGAAGAACAACAAGAACACAACAACUUCUUAAGAACAACAAUAACAAAACCUUCAACGCCCACUCCAACCUCCACAACAAGUCCACAAAUUUCAGUCUAGGUCUUUGUUCACAACACAACUUUAACAAGUUUUUAAGCUCAAAUAUAGAUCUAGAUACCUUUAGUGUUAGUGAAUCAAGAAACAACAAUAAUAACAAAGAAAUCCUAGACCUAGACUCCACAAAUUUCGGCCAAGACUACAACAAGAACACUACAAGUUUCUCAGCCAUGAACAAGAACAAGAACAAGAACACUUCUUUCUCUUUUUAUUUUUUGAUUUUUCUAGCAAGCCCGAGAUUGAUUUUGUUAGAACAAAAUCAACCAUAAGUUCUGAUACCAAAUGAUACGAUAUAAAUUUGGUACAUAUCAAAAACAAGCCAAAAAUAGUCCACAAACAAAGGAAAACCCGAGAGCUCAACAAACACUAAAUCUCAGUUCCAACAAUAUUAAGAAACAAGGUGUAAAUGACACCAAAAUCACUAACAAAAACAAGAGAUAAACAACAAUAACGAGAGGAACAACACUACAAUAACAACAAUCUAACGGUUACAAGAUUACAAGAACAACAAGAACCAAACAGUUCACUAGACUACACAACUAGCACAUGAUAUGUAAAGAUAGGAAGUGAGACAUACACUAUUACAAGGUUAAGAACCCAAAGAUUUAUUAAAUCUAAGGACCCCUAAGACUUAAAAUAGCAACACCACACUCUUAUGUGACACAAGAGGGAUUCCACCGCUCAAGUACCAAUGUUUCCAAGCAAUACACAACCACAAGUGAAUCUACACUUGUUCAUGUCCUAGUUUAGGCCUAGAGACCCUCUCUCUCAAGAGAUGUGUUCUUUCAACAAUAUUCAACAAAAACUAAUGAACUAAAACCCUAUAUUGUUCUAUUUAUAGUACUUUACAAAUAAAAAGAUAAAAUGACAAAAAGGCCCUUUAAUGACCAAGUAGGCAAAUAGGCACCAUGUUCAUCUUCAUGAUCGUGCUUGUAUCACAAUCUGUGUGGACAGGUUUGCUAGAUGGGAGAUAAUCUCCAUAUCCAGACGAGGUACCACUAAAACUUGUUGAGCCACAUGGUUCGACAACUAACUAGGAAGUAUGUCAAAAAGGCGCUUUUGAAAAUUAUUAAUUAGCCAUUUAGAAAAAAGUUCUUAAAAAUUUGCCAUAUACUCUAUUUAAUCCACAUCAUCACAAACUUUUCAAACUCAAAAAAUUCACCCACAAGUUUUGUAAUACUACACUUUAACUCAAUAUUUUCAACUUAACAAAUUCAUCCACAAGUUUCUAAUAAUUCACUUCAACCCACUCCAUCAUCCACCAUUACAUAAUAGAAAAAUAUCUAGGUUUUCAAAAAUAUUAAAAAAAAUAAUUCCAAAAGCUAAAAAUAGAAGGUUGUUCUUUCCCUCCAAAAAUCUUCGAUUCCAACGUUAUUUUCUGGUGAGCAGCUCUAAAUCAGUCUACAAAUAUCAUAAUCUUGUCCAUUACAUCCAUUGUUACCUCAUUUGUUUGCUAUCUUCUCAAACACACUUUUCACCAUUGUUAAAAAGCUUUAAAUCACUCACAUUACUCAAAAACUCUUUAGAAAGUACAUUACAGUAGCUCAGGUGACUCCAAGUUCAUUUCUCCAUUCGAUAAACCCAACGAUCGUUGAUAUUAGAAGCAAUAUUUUCAAUUUCAAGUUUUUUUACGGAUAUUUGCCCAUUCAUCAACCAUGCAUACAUUCCGACAUAGACCCUCAACAUAAUCUACCAUCGACCAAAGCUUAAUUCAAGUAUGUCUAUUGUAGAAUUUGUUUUGGUUUCUGAUAAUUUCAUGGGAGAAUGGGUGGAUACUCCCAAAUGUUGAAAAUGGAGAUCUUUUACCAAGGUAACACUACCCAUUGUUGUUCACCUUUACAGUUCAUACGACAAAUUUAUUGCAAUCGUAAUGCAAAGCGGGGAUCUAGAUUGCUCACCGAAUGAUAUGGUGAUUAGUUAUCUAAUGCAUUUGAGGAAAAAAGUGAAUCCUACAAUCAUAAAUAAUGAUGCACGUGUGUUGAUGUACAUGAUGGAUGCUGAUGCAGAUGGCUUUAAGCCUAUUUUAAGGAUAAAUUUAGAUAGAGGUCCUUCGAAGGACUGAUGAAUUCAUCACCAUCUCCACCUUGGCGCCUGAAAAUCGACGACUAUUUGAAUAAUUACAAGAACGAUGACGAUCAUACAAUUAAUAUGGAAGAUGAUUCUAUGCAUAUGGAAGACGUUUCAUUGAACUCGCAAGAUACGAAAGAAGACUGUGGAACGGGAUCCCAACCAGGACAUUCCUUCGCCGAUGGAACCAAUCUCUAUUAUGAUCAAACAUUUGCCGACAAGAAAGAGCUCAAAAUGCUACUAGAUGGAGCAGCGGUAAGGCAUUCUUUUGAUUAUCGUACGGAGAAGAACUUCACCAAUUGUUGAAGGCAAAAUGUGUAUGUAACGCCUCGUAAAAUUCGUGCAAUUCAACGUCUCUUAUUAGCAUGGGCAUGGGAUAAGAAAACUUGAAAAUAUUCUAAAUGUAAAAGAGACUUAGUCUCAUUUGUAGAUCUUAACCUUCGAGAAUCUCAUUUUCAGUCCUCCCGACCUCCGUUUUUACAUUUUUUUGUUACGUUGCGAUGGGGCAAGCCUAUAGAACAUCUCGGGUGAGUUUCAGAAUUUUUGGACAUCGUUUAGGGAGUAUUUGAUUUCCAAAAUAGUAGCACCAUGCGAUAUGCAUGCGUCUCAUGGUCCAUCGCAUGGUGGCAUCAUGCGUUAUAGCAUGCGUCGCAUGCUCCAGUACGGUGGGAAAUAGCAUGCGACGCAUGGUCUGUUGCACGCCUGAGAAUUUUUCAGCAUUUAAGUGUUGUCUCAUUAAAGGUAUUUUAGGUAUUCUCUAUUCCUUUUUCAGCCUGAACACGAAAUCAAAGCCCUAGAUCACCUCAUUGUUGAUAUUUCUCUCAAGAACCACCAAGAACACUCUCUAGGGUUUCAAACUCAUAACUCAAAUAUCUUAAGAUUCAACCGUGGUUUUUCGAAACAAAUUGAAGAAUCGGAAUCCCCACAAUGUAGGCUUCAAGAAGUACCUAUUAUUUUCGCAUAUAGAAGUACGUGGGGUUAUCCUAAAAAUAUCAUGGGCGAGAAAUUCAUGUUUUAAAAAUGGGGGUUUUGAAAUUAUGAAUAUAAUCAUGUUUUAAAGGUUUCAAUAAUAUUGAUUUGGUCUUUAGGCCUCUCCUCGAAGUGAUUUGAUACAUUAUAUAUGUACAUGCAUGUGUUUCGAAAAGAUGUUAACUUGAGAGCAUGAAUUAUAUAAAAUUCCUCUCUUGAUAUGAUUUUCUUUUAGAUUUUCAUUUGACGUAGAUUGUUUGAAAUCAUCUUGAAAAGCAUGACAUAAAAUGUUUUGAAAAUUGUUAUGAUUGGAUAUAAUUUUGACUUGCAAGGAGAGGGUUGUUUAUGUUGAAAUAUGAUGAAUAUGAUGAAUAUCAUGGUUGAAUGAAAAGAAUGAUGUGAUACUGAUAGCUUGCAAGUCGAGUAUGAUGAUACCCUAUAGAAUAUGAUAUGUGAUUGAAUUAAAUGAAGUUUGAAUGCAUUGAUUUUACAUGAGAUAGGUGGAUGCCCGAAGAAGGAGUUUGAGUGAAAGAGCUCAUCGCUGGAAACCGUGUUUGCCGACAAGGGAAAAUUUGUACCCUACUUUGUGAUCUUGUGUACCUGAUAUAUAUUAUCCCAAUUUGGGACUAUGGUUAGGAGCCCUGCUUUGUGAUCAACAAAUUUGUCCAAUUUCUUGGGCUCAACUAUCUUGGUCUUUUCCCUGAUACCUGUCAAAGUGCAUUCCCUGCCUUGAUAUUGGAACUUCAUAGUAGGAGUUUGAAAGUUCAUGAACAAGUCACCUAGGGGCUUGAGCCAUUUCACUCCCAAAAUGAUUUCACAUGAACCUAAGGGAAUGGGAAGGAAGUUGUCCUCAAAAGAGGUAACCCCCAUCAGCCAGUUGAACCCCUUACAUGCCUCCACCGUUUGCCUAAUCCCUCCAUCAUCCACAUUGAUCAGUUGUGGGCUAACAGUCUGACUUAGAAUACCCCAUUUCUUGACUAGCUCUUCUUCCAUGAAAUUGUGUGUGCUACCUGGAUCAAUGAGGAUGUUGAGUGGGCCAUGAUCACAAUAACCUGUCACCCUCAUGGUUUGUUAACCAGUUACUCCUUCUAAAGCUUGCAAGGAUAUUUCACAAACCUCCUUUUCUGCUUCUAAUUCCUUCCCUGGUUCAGGUUUGGGAUCCUUGCAAUUAUCCACCACCACCACCUCAUAAUCUUCAUCUACCUCCAAUAGAUGGAGCCUGUUGGAUGUCAUACAUUUGUGACCAGGUACGAACUUUUUAUCACAGAAAAAACAUAACCCUUCUGCCUCUUCUCACUUAUUUCAGCCUGAGUCAUCCUUUUACUUCUCUCUUUAUUGAAACUUAUAGCUGGUUUCUUCUUUGACCCCAUAAUUCUGGCAAGAGUAGCACUAUAACCCCCUUUUUUAAAUGAACCCCCAUCACUAGUCAUAUGAUUCCUUGAUACUCUCACCUGAGCUUGAAACUGGGAUUCAAUGUUCCUAGCCAGCUGAUAUGCAUGAGGUAGUGUGAAUGGCCUAUAACUCUUCAAAACAAAUCCAAUAUCCAUUUUCAAACCAGUGAUGAACCCACUGAUGGCAUGCUCAGGCAAAAUAUUUAAUCUAGCCAUAAUCCUGUCGCAUUCUUUCAUAUAUUCCUUCACAGUACCAUGUUGCUUUACCAACUUAAACUCUGCCAUGGGAUCCUCGUAUUCACCCCCGAAUCUGUCCAUUAACACAUAUAUAUACUCCUCCCAGGUUGGAAAUUGAAGGUAUAGCCUACUCUUAAGAUAAAACAGGUGCCAUUCUAUGGCUAUGUCAUCAAAAUGCAGAGUAGCUUCUCGAACCUUCUGCACUACAGGGGUAUCAUCAUAUGCAAAGAACUGGUCGGCCUUAUACAUCCAGGUUCGAAGGUUAGUACCAUCAAAAUGAGGGAACUCUACCUUAGUUAGACAAGUCAAGGAUCCAUUAUGGUGGCUAGAUGAAGGUGGAUUUGCAUCAUGAUAAAAUCUCCCUCCUCCUUAACCUGUGGAAGGUAUUUGUCCUGCAUUAGUGAAAAAUUGUUGACCUCUACUGUAACCUUGUUGCUGGUAGUUCUCACUUACUGGAGUUUGGAAUUGUUGGGAAUUUUGAACACCAUAAUGAUAGCCAGCUGGUGUUGAAACCCUGGUGGAUUCCCCGUAGAGACAGAGGUAGACCAUAUCAUAGGGUUGCCAGAGGGAGUGUAGAUCUCAGCUCCCUCACUGAUGGAAUUCCCUUUACCUUGAUCUCCUUUUUGGAUCCCGUGUAUGGACUCGCACAAGCUGUUAAUGGCCCUCUCAUAUUAUUCCUCAAUCUGAUUCUGCCUUAGGGAAAAAUUGGCCAUCUCCAUUGUCAUUCGAUCAAACAUCUCUUUAAUCUCCUUCAUCUCGUCAGACAUGAUUCCCACAGAGCUCAGGAUAGUAGCUAUGAUACCAAAUGUUGCAGAAUGAAUUUUUAACAGGUAAAAAUGCAAUGGAACAGUGAAGACUAAAGGAAAAACAAGAAGAAAAUUACUUGUAGGAUAAUAAAAAGAGAAGAUAAAUUAAGCUAAAGAAAUUUUUCAUUCAUAUUCUUUUUCUGAAAUAGCUAGUACUAUUAAUAGGCCUUGGCCAAGCACCUUCUCUAACACAUAGUACUAAUUACAAAUAAGCCACUUAGGGAUUACAAAGAAAUACAUAACAAACCAAGAGGACUAACCUGUAAACUUCCUUUCUAAUUCUAACUAACUCUUUUUUCAGCCGUUGAGAAUUGCAACAGGAUUCCAUUUAAAAGGCCGAUUUUCUUAGGGAUUUUACCGGUAAGAGCAUUACUUGAGACAUCGAAUCCAGUGUUGUAGGAAUACACUGACACAAGAAAUCGCGUCUGUCCUUUGGUGACUAUUUCUAACAGAGCACCGGUGAACUUGAGGGAGUAAUAAUAACCUAAUAUGGUCGUCUGAUUUUGUGUUUUUGUCAUCUUUUUCAGUCCUUCAAGAUUCUCAGGAAUCGGACCAGACAACUUGUUCCUAGACAAACUAAUAAAUUGUAGAUUUUCCAACUUCAUUACCCUUUCCGGUAUAGAUUCAUUGAAUGAGUUUGAUGCAAGCACAAGGAUACGGAGGUGGUGUAGGUCACCGAUGAACUUUGUUAUCCUCCCUUCAAAUCUAUUGCCUACCAAUUUCAGGAUCUUCAUUUCUUGAAAUUUCUCAAGCACUACUGGAAAAGAUCCUUCGAACUGAUCCCCAUUGAGGUCAAGGUAACAGAGGCUUGUAAUGAGUUCAAGUUUUUUCGGAACACUUCCAGUGAGCUUGUUUUGUCCAAGAUUAAGGUAAAUCAGAGACUUGCAGUUACCCAAACUGCGUGGAAUGGUGCCAUACAGGCUGUUAUUAGAGAGAUCAAGAACCUGGAGAACAUUAGUUGAUUGGCAAAAUGAUUCAAGUACUGGACCAUGAAUUUUGUUUCCGAAUAAUGAUAUGGACCAGAUUGCAGAAAUUUCUCCUAUCUGUGUUGGAAUUGACCCUAUGAAAUUGUUAAGUGAUAAAUCGAUGACAUUAACAUUCUUGAGCUGAGUAGAGAUAGGUCCUUGAAGUUUGUUUCUGGCUAAGUUUACUAUUGAUGGGAAAAGUGAAGAUUUCAUUUGAAUCGUUGGAGGUAUAUGUCACAACCCGAAAUAGGGCAUGGACGUGAUGAACAUCCUAAACCAUGAAGGCUCGAAACGUCCUUCUCUAUCUGGUAAUCAUGCACAACAUUCAUAUAAUAAAAUAAGAUGCGGAAACAUAAUCUGCUACGGAAACAUGGUCAAUUCUGAAUUCAACAUAAGUGUGGAAACUAUAAAUCUACUACAUCUAAAUAACAUCUAAUUCAGUCUGCGAAAUCUCUACUACAUAAAAAUCUGACAACUGUCUGAAAUUGGGACAAGGCCCCCAGUAGACCCAAACGAUAAUAAGUGUCAUAAUAUGAAAAGGCAGGCCUUCUGGAAUAUAGAAGGCUCACUAACUGGGCACUGCAACUCUAUCUGAUAAAAUCUACUACCUUUUCUAGACCCCUAGACUGAGCCUCAGAACCUGGAGGGAGGAGGGGGGUCAAUACAGAUGUACUGUUACGCAAAGUAAUCCAAAAUAAAGCUUUUAUAUAAAUAAAAUAAGGAGAGAGCAAAUUAUCAAAACAUCAUGCAUGAAAUAGUUCUAAAACACAUGGGCAUGAUAAAUCAUUUGGGGCAAUGCAGUUCUGUUCUUCGUAUUAAUUCUGAGCUAGGUGGUACACCCCUACAAUUCUAAAAUCCCACGGGCUGUAUGGAAUCCUCCAUUUACUUGGAGGGGAAGCCCCUAACCCAAGUGUGCUACAAGGGUUGGAGUUUCUAUUCUGAUAUGCCACACGACACUAGGCCAGCAUAAUAUAAUAUACCCGGAUCAGCAAAUCACGAUUUCUGGCAAUGAGUUGUCUGAACUCAUGCCUUCUUCGGGGAACCACCUAAGCUCUCUUUAUGCCCAAUUUUAUCCUGUUCUGAAUCAUGCAUUUUUCUAGUUUCAACAUCUGAAAAGUCNNNNNNNNNNNNNNNNNNNNNNNNNNNNNNNNNNNNNNNNNNNNNNNNNNNNNNNNNNNNNNNNNNNNNNNNNNNNNNNNNNNNNNNNNNNNNNNNNNNNNNNNNNNNNNNNNNNNNNNNNNNNNNNNNNNNNNNNNNNNNNNNNNNNNNNNNNNNNNNNNNNNNNNNNNNNNNNNNNNNNNNNNNNNNNNNNNNNNNNNNNNNNNNNNNNNNNNNNNNNNNNGUCAUGUGCUUUUGGCAAAAUCAUGCACUUUUUCAUUAUAUGAAUAUUUUCAACAUUUAUCAAUAUGUACAACCCUCUCUUUCGAAUUCAAAACCAUAAAUCAAUUUUUAGCAUUAAUCAAGAUAUUUCAUAUCAUGCUUUUCAAGAUACAUUCAAAACAAUCCAUAUCAUAAGAAAAUUGGAAAAAAUCAUACCAAGAGAGGGAUUCAUGUGCGUCAUGCUCGCAAUUCAUUCAUAAAUCAUAAAACAUAUGCAUACGUAUAUAUAAAAUUUCAAAUCAAUUUGGGGGAAGGUCAAAAGACCAAAACAAUACCGUCAAGAUUUCUAAAACAUAAAUGUAUUCAUAAAUCUGAAAACCACUUUCUUAAAAUCAUGAUCUCUAUACCCAUGAGAUUUUAGGAAAACCCCGCGUACCUCGAUUAUGGAGAAUAAUGGAUGAUUCUUAAAGCCUAUGGUUUGGGGAUUCCAAAUCUUCAAUCAAUUUGAAAACCCAUGGUUGAAUCUUGAUUUAUUUGGGUUUUUAGUUUGAAACCCUUAGAAGUGUUCUUGAGAGAAUUCGUGAGAAUGUGGAUGUACUUUGGAGAUUGGGGACUCAAUUUCGUGUUUAUGGCUGAAUAAGGAUGGGAAAAGGACCAUUUUGCCCCAAAAAUGGAGUGUUUAAGUCACUUGGGUCAUAAUGUAUGCGGCGCACACCUUAUCGCAUAAGAUAGGUUGUGCGGCACACACUUUAUCGCACACAUUAGGGUGUGCGUCGCACACCUUAUGGCAUAAGUUAGGGUGUGCGUCGCAUGCUGGGGGACACACUCCACUUUGUAAGGCCAUAACUUCUUGCUUGGGUAUCGGAUUUUGGCGAAAUUGGUAUCAUUGGAAAGAUAAUUCGAAGACCUUUCAUUUGGUAUAUAGUUGGACCUCUAAUUCUAUAUAUACAAAGUGUUAUGGUCGAUUGAAGUUGACCCAUAUUUCGACGCUCACUAAAACUCGAACAAUAGGAAAUCAUUCAACUUGAGCUUGAGUUAGGGGACCUCUAUGAUCUCAAUUUAUGCUCAAAUAGGUUACCACAAUCCAUAAUUGAUUAGCAUGCCAAAUUUGCAUAGGAUUUAAGGCUUUUGGAUCAUCUACGCAUAGAAAUAACUUUUUUCGUUCUAGCCCGAAAUGCGGGGUGUUACAUUAUCUCCCCCUUGGGAUCAUUCGUCCUCGAAUGAUGGGUAAGAAUGUUGAAUCUUAAAGAUAUGGAAUAAUGCAGACAUGAUGUGUCUUCUAAGAAAAGAUAUAACUGAUCUAAAACAUUUAAACUUCUAUCAUGAAACUGAAUUCUGAGCUGACUUGACUUUACUUGCUUUAAGGAGCUGAUUCAUGCUGAGAAUUUAGGAUUCCCUUGAAACGAUCAUGAUGAAAUCAUACAUAUUGAAUUGAGAAAUGAUAACUUAUGCAAGUACGAAUCAUGAAACAACUGGAAUUAGAUUGUAUAAGGUUAUUACACUGUUUGAGCUAACAUACUUGGAAAAAUUUGAAAUUGUGUGCUGAACUCUUAUGAACAGAGUCAUGACUAAAUUGCUAAAUCCGAAACAUGAUGCUUGGACUGAACUGAAUUCACAAUUUACAUGGGGAAUAGAUUAUCUCCUGGGAUGGUCACACGCAUGAUACUUCGGUUAGUAGGACUGAGUAAAAAGGUGAAAAAUCACAGUAACUUGCCUGCCCGACUGUUAAACUAAAUUGUUGGUUAUACAGGCGGAAUUAUACUGGAACCUAUACUUAGCUGGAGUAUUUCUUCACCACUCUUUCUAAAGAAGUCAUAGUAGUGUUAGGGAACAAAGAACCUUGGGCAUGAUUUACACGAGGCACCCAACCAAGGAAUCACAAAAAUGACACUACUCUAUAGCAGGGAAUAGAAUUACCAGGCCCUAGGCCAUGCAAUUUCUUACUUUCAAGCUUAGCACACUUCUUGAGUAUCCCUUAACUACACUAUUCUCUUUAAUUACCAUACUCAUUGAUUCAAGUUAUAAUCCUCAUAAAUCUUUCUACAAAUGUCUAAAGAGGCUUAAAUUCUUUCACCGUGAUCAAGCCUAACUUCAAAUCACAAAAGACAACAUGCCAUACUACGACACUAGUCUAAACCAUAUGAUUCAACCUUCUAUAUCUUUUUAAAUAUCACACCCUAAUAAUAACGUGCUUUACCACUUUAAUGACCAACCCUGAACUCUUACUAUGGAUUCGCUAGCGUAUAUUGCAUUCCUCCACUUACAUCCCAACAUGUCAUUCAAGCCUAUCCUUAUAACCACAUACGAACUUUAAGGCAACAUUAAUCAAGACGUACUUCAUAUAUUCUCUAAACCACCAUCAAUACAACUCCCACGCGUUACCCCAAGAACAUACACACACAAAUUUCCACUAACCAUCACAUGUAUCAAAGGCUUUGCCCCAAAUCUUACUUCAUACUUAUGGCCUCAUCCAAAACAAGCAUACAAUGAUCUUUCAUCAACAAGAACCAUUCUCUCAUCACCACUAUCAUUACAUAAGGAGUCACCAAAAGGUUAGAACAUAAAACCUUGAAGCAUGGAAGGAUAUUAUAUGAGACUUGACACUUAGCUGAGGCCUGAGGAAUAACAAAUCAACAUCAGGGAUUUAUCAAAGUAAAUCUGAAUUGAGGGCAUACUCGCCAAUCAUUUGGCGUAAAGCAUGAGUUAUGGAAACUGAGCACACUAUAACACGUAAAUACAUGAGUCAUGAGCUACAUGACCUCAAUUUGGAGUUCAUAACAUAUGGAAUGUGAUUCCGACUACGGAAUGAACUGAAACUCCUCUUUUUAGAACUGGAAGAGCACGUGAUUCUCUAUCAUAUACAUGAACAUGAACUAUGAUCUUGGAAUUGAAACAAGAGGCAUGAGUAGGUAUUGGGAUAACUGAAAAAUACUGAGAUAAGAAUAGGUUGAGUCUCACCCUCACUUUCUGACGUUCUAUAUCAUACUACAUUACUACAAGAAUCUGAGAGCCUUACUUGGUUAUUCGUUCUAUCAACCCCCCCUUAGCUUAAAGCCAUCAUCUUAAGUUUGAGAGAUCGCUUACUAGAUUCUAAAUGAACUACACUUACUACACUCUAGGGUCUGGAAAACGACAAUACACAUAAUUAAUAGAACUUAACCUAAAUGACUACACAUGAAAGUGGGAAAACCCACUGCUAAUAUUACCUUCCGAGAUACACUCUAUCAUUCUAUAGCCUCAAUAGUCAUCAUAUAGUACUUGAAAACUUACUAACUUCGAAUCUUCAUGAGUAUCCCUAUAGUUGAAGUGCACACCAUCUAGUGCUUCUACUAUUAUUUCUAUUAGCUCAGUCUUCAAAACUCAAACUUAGAUUCUAACACUUAACAUGGAUAUCCCCAAGCCUUUGAUGAACCAUAGUAAUUCCGUCACAGUAUAUCAAUAUCGCGACUCCAAACUUAUAUCUAUAUACUAUAAGAAUCAAGAUCAUAUAAGAAGGCACCACACUAUCAAUCAAAACUCCUUAACUUGGCUAUCUAGCACACCAUAUACCAUAUAACUAGUCUUUCUCCACCUAGGAACUCAAUAGUACCACUUGCCACACAGAACAUGUAAUAGUCUUAAAAUAUCGCAACUCCAUAUCACCUUGGGCAUACUUCUACCUCAUACAUACAACAUCAUACUUCAUUAUGAAUCAAAUAAACUUAAGCUAUUGCAUACACUAUUCAAACCUAUUAGAUCAAUUCCAUAUAACUAGUACAUUAAUUAAGAAAUCAUCACAUCCACCUUCAUAGCCAUCAACUGAUCAAACUCAGUGUCUAGUGCUAAACAUGAUUUACAACCCAACCUUACGCAUAGUUCUCACUUGGAAACCAUGAAAUAAACAUCACGAAACACUGGUACACUAGAACUUUAUAACAAUAAUAAUCGAUCAUGACCUUACAGUUUUCCUUAUCAUAACUGAUUAGCACACACUAUUUCAACACAUCAAGCCUACUAAUUUAUUCCCACAAAACAUACAUCAUUAAUCUCAUGACACUAUUCUUACAUCCACAUCCUACAUUAAAUUCAAGCCAAUGGUCUAGCAUCAAUCAUCUACUACCAAUGAAGAAGGAAACAUAAUGUACUAGUCCGUCAAAUUUGAACAUUCUAUCCAAAUACCUCAAAAAUCUACUACAUACCUUCUCACAAAUAGUACUAGUUUACAACUACCAACAAAAAGAAGGUCAAGGGAGGGGGAGAUAAAGUAUCAUAAUAGACAUGGUCAACCUUAAUCUUAUAUUAUAACCCCAUACAAUCUUAUAUACUUAUACGGCUUUCUCACAUCACACUUACUUACCCAAGCAUAUAUUUAGACUACCUUCAAAUUCCACAAACAACCAUGAGUCUAUAGUUAUAAAUUACUGGCUCAUCUAGCCAUUUUCAUACAUCAAGCAGACAACAAUUUACCUUAACUAAUAACUCCUUCUCUACCUUCUAUUAAACUAACACACAACGACAUAUCACUUCAUUACCAUCUCAAUCUCAUACGAAAAGAUUCGACCACACAUAUAUCCAACCAAUACAAGAACAACAAGAUAAAUAACAAGUUGCUAGUAAAUUAAAAUAGGCCUCUCACAGCUUCACUAGACUUUCAGUUUCAAAAACACAAUAAUAACAAGAUUACAAGUGAUAGAAACUUGACACACAAUAUCAAUGAUAUAAAAAAUACACAUCUUACUCUGUAUAAAUAAAAAAUCUGAGUAAAAAACUUUCCCCCUCAGACUAUCAUACAAUCCACACCUGCUACUAGCUACCACAUUAGCCUAUCACUAUAAAGGGGUAAAUUAUCCUCAAACAUCGGUUAUUCAACUAAAAUAUUUAUUUGCACAAAAGUUACCCUCACUCUAACUUCUAACUUUGUGACUUCACAUCACCAACUUUUUGGUCCAAUAUCACUACCAAUAGGUCAUGACACUGAUACUUAACUUAUACUACUACUCGGGUGGAAAUACAGUUCCAACAUCUUGCUACAUCUCAUUCCCUCUUAAGCAUGACAUCUGCAACAUAAUUUUUUUUUUUUUUGAAAAUGACUGAAUACCCUUAAUACCGCAGGAUGAAAAACAUGAUUUCAUCAGAACCAAAGUUCUCACUAGAAUCAAUACACUCUGAAGCACUAACAGACUUUUCUCAAGUCCUUGCACAAUUUCAGAAUCUUAUAUGGCUAAAUAAAAAGGACUAUACCAUUUAAACUCUAAACUUCUGCACUUGAUUCACCUCAACAAUGAGACACAUCUGAGCAUAUCAAAGAAAGGAAAGAAUUGACAUAACUUUACUUUCAUAUGGGCGACACCAUAGCACGAAUUAGAAUAUGAAAGAAGAACAUUCUAGCCUUAUUGCACGAACUAGAAUAUGAAAAAAGAGGGACAUUCCUAAACUCCUACUAUCCUCCUGCUUAUAAGUGUGGCGCGCUACCCACCCAUAAACAAGACGCGACCCGAUGCGAUUUUGCAGACACCCUGGGACCAUGAACCGUGCUCUGAUACCAAGUUUAUCAUGAUCCAAAAUAGGGCCUGGCCGUGACGAACAUCCCAAAACAUGAAGGCCCGAAACGUCCUUCUCUAUCUGGUAAUCAUGCACAACAUUCAUAUAAUAAAAGAAGAUGUGGAAACAUAAUCUGCUACAGAAAUAUGGUCAAUUCUGAAUUCAACAUAAGUGUGGAAACUGUAAAUCAACUACAUCUAAAUAACAUCUGACUCAGUCUGCGAAAUCUCUACUACAUAAAAAUAUAACAACUGUCUGAAACUGGGACAAGGCCCCCAGUAGACCAAAACGAUGAUAAGUGUCAUAAUCUAAAAAUGCAGGCCUUCUGGAAUAGAGAAGGCUCACUAACUGGGCACUGCAACUCUGUCUGAUAAAAUCUACUACCUUUUCUAGACCCCUAGACUGAGCCUCAGAACCUGGAGGAAGGAGGGGGGGUCAAUACAGAUGUACUGGUACGCAAAGUAAUCCAAAAUAAAGCUUUUAUAUAAAUAAAAUAAGGAGAGAGCAAAUUGUCAAAACAUCAUGCAUGAAAUAGUUCUAAAACACAUGGGCAUCAUAAAUCAUUCUGGGCAAUGCAGUUCUGUUCUUCGUAUUAAUUCUGAGCUAGGUGGUACACACCCCAACAAUUUUAAAAUCCCACGGGCUAUUUGGAAUCCUCCAUUUACUUGGCGGGGAAGCCCCCAACCCAAGUGUGCCACAAGGGUUGGAGUUUCUAUUCUGAUACGCCACACGGCACUAGGCCAGCGUAAUAUAAUAUACCCGGAUCAGCAAAUCACGUUUUCUGGCAAUGAGUUGUCUGAACUCAUGCCUUCUUCGGGGAACCACCUAAGCUCUCUUUAUGCCCAAUUUAAUCCUGUUCUGAAUCAUGCAUUUUUCUAGUUUCAACAUGUGAAAAGUUUGAUUUCAAACAUGCAUUCUAUUCUGUUUUGAAUUAUCAUGGCAUAAUCUGAAUUGGUGUCGUCACACCAAGACUUGCAAGUCCUAUUUCUGAGCCAUAAUGCAUCCUGCAUAAUUCUUAUAUUAAAACACAGUUCAGACCACCCAAACAUGCAAACAAUAUAAAAGAUUUUAUGUUUCGAGAACACAAGUCAAAACUAUGCUGAGAUUGUUCAAGCAUAUGGUGGUCAUGUGCUUUUGGCAAAAUCAUGCACUUUGUCACUAUAUGAAUAUUUUCAACAUUUAUCAAUAUGCACAACCCUCUCUUUCAAAUUCAAAACCAUAAAUCAAUUUGUAGCAUUAAUCAAGAUAUUUCAUAUCAUGUUUUUCAGGAUACAUUCAAAACAAUCCAUAUCAUAAGAAAAUUGGAAAAAAUCAUACCAAGAGAGGGAUUCAUGUGAGUCAUGCUCUUAAUUCAUUCAUAAAUCAUAAAACAUAUGCAUACAUAUAUAUAUAAUUUCAAAUCAAUUUGGGGGAAGGUCAAAAAACCAAAACAAUACCGUCAAGAUUUCUAAAACAUGAAUGUAUUCAUAAAUCUGAAAAUCACUUUCUUAAAAUCAUGAUCUCUAUACCCAUGAGAUUUUAGGAAAACCCCGCACACCUCGAUUAUGGAGAAUAAUGGAUGAUUCUUGAAGCCUAUGGUUUGGGGAUUCCAAAUCUUCAAUCAAUUUGAAAACCCAUGGUUGAAUCUUGAUUUAUUUGGGUUUUUAGUUUGAAAUCCUUGGAAGUGUUCUUGAGAGAAUUCAUGAGAAUGUGGAUAUACUUUGGAGAAUUGGGCACUGAAUUUCGUGUUUAUGGCUGAAUAAGGAUGGGAAAAGGACCAUUUUGCCCCAAAAAUGGAGUGUUUAAGUCACUUGGGUCAUAAUGUAUGCGGCGCACACCUUAUCACAUAAGAUAGGUUGUGCGGCACACACUUUAUCGCACACAUUAGGGUGUGCGUCGCACACCUUAUGGCAUAAGUUAGGGUGUGCGUCGCACACCUUAUGCUGGGCGACACACUCCACUUUGCAAAGCCAUAACUUCUUGCUCGGGUGUCGGAUUUUGGCGAAAUUGGUAUCGUUGGAAAGAUAAUUUAAAGACCUUUCAUUUGGUAUAUAGUAUUCCCUCUAAUUAUAUAUAUACAAAUAUUUAUGGUCGAUUGAAGUUGACCCAUGUUUCGACGCUUACUAAAACUCGAACGCUAGGAAAACUUUCAACUUGACCUUGAGUUAGGGUACCUCUAUGAUUUCAAUUCAUGCUCAAAUAGGUUCCCACAUCCAUAAUUGAUUAACAUGACAAAUUUGCAUAGGAUUUAAGGCUUUUGGAUCAUCUACGCAUAGAAAUGACGGUUUUCGUUCUAGCCCGAAAUGCGGGGUGUUACAGUAUAACUCCCUCGAAGUUAUUCAUCGAUAAAUCUAGUACAGAUAGGGCUGGUAGAUUGAACAACCAGUAUGGUAUGUCUCCUCUCAUUUUGCAAGAUGUAAAUUCCAAAAGCGUGGGCUGGAAAGUUUGCAGAAUGGGUUGAUGCUGACAUCGUUUUCCACCGACAAUCCGUUAAUUCCAAAAGAAAGCAUACCCAAUUUAGACUUCUGGAUCAAAGACAGUGGCAUAUUACCAUUCAGGUUAUUAUUCUGAACAGAAAGAUACGAAAGCUUAGGAAGCUGAAGUAUGCACGAGGGAACGCUUCCUGUUAGCUCGUUCCAUUGUACAUUCAGGUAAUCCAGUGAGAGGAUUUGACAAAUCGAAGUAGGAAUAUACCCUCGUAAACCAUUCUGGAUCAGAGAUAAGUAUUGAAGGCUUAUCAAACUGGACAUGGAUACAGGAAGCUGUCCUGUGAUGUUGUUGUCAUUGAGCACCAAGAUACGUAAUUUCUUAAGUUUUGUAACUGAAGAAGGUAUAGACCCUUGGAUCGAGCAUCCAUCAGCCUGGAAAAAAGUUAGCGAAGUUGAGUUGCUUAAAGAAGGAGGAAGCGUUCCGCCUACAUGAGAGAAACUUACGUCGAGAAACUUCAACUUUGACCCCGAGGCUGAAAACAUCGAAACAAGAUUUAUGGUCAUAGCAGGAUUGCUAGAAACAUAAAGUUGUUCGAGUUGAGGAAGGUAAGGGAUAUGACCGUCUAAAUUGUUGACACUAAAAUCAAGAGCUGAGAGGGUUGUGAGGUUCGAUAAAAUAUCAGGGAUCGUGGAUGUUAGAAUGUUAGAGCUCGUAUCUAGAACAGAAAGGUUAGUAAAGUUAAGUAAUUGCCCUAUCGGAAUUCUUCCUGAAAUGUUGCAGUUAGAUAAUCGAAGCAAUAUGAGAUUUGAAAGACUCGAUACUGGUGUAGCCCAAUGAAAUGAUUCCAAGGCCUUUGAUAGAUCAACACCAGUCAUUACGAGAUAUCUGAGAUGUCGGAGUCCUUCUAACCACCUUAGAUUUGGACUAGACAGAUAUCCAUUGCUUAUAAAAGAUAAAACUGAGCCAACAUCUAACUUCGGUUGUAAUGUCAAGCUAACAGAAACAGAAGACAAAUCGGGUACUAAAUUAGCACACGAUGGAUCAAGAGACCGUAGAGAUGUAAGGUUUGAGAAUUGUGUACUGAUGGAAUCUUGAAACAUGGCAUUCGACAGAUUGAGAUAAGUCAACUUUGUUAAGUUCGAUAUCUCAACAGGUAACUUUGUGAACACGAAGUUGUUGAAACUCAGGUCGAGAUAUUGGAUAUGAUCAAGAGUGAAGAGCAAUGGAUAUACAGUACCUUUAAGGGAAAAAUCGGACGUGUUGUUAGAAUUUGAAACAACUUCCUUAUUGACAUUGAUCAUGACUUCAUCGGGAUGAGGAUUCCGAAGAUUGACAACUACAACACGACCUGAACUUGAGCACUUGAUUCCUUUCCAACUGCAACAGUUUUCGCCUUUCCAUGAAGAUAACCGAUUAGAUGGAUCAGUCAGCAAGGAUUUGAAGCUCAUUAGGGCUGCUCUUUCUCCAUCAUAGCAACCACCAACGAGCGACGGUAAAAUAGAGUAGCAAAUAUAAGGAAAACUUUCUUUAACCACAUGAUUUCAAGAUGAUAAACAAUAUCCUAGAUUGUCAAGUAUUAGGGUUCAUGGAGAAAAAGGCAUUAUUUGGUUUAGACUUAUACUAUUGAAUUGAAAAAGAUUGCAUUCCACAGUCAAUAACUUGAAGUAUAAUAAUGCAUAAUUCACCAAGAGCUUGAUUUAAUUAAGAAAAAAUGGACUGUGUUUGGUAAGUGUCUUCAUUUCACUAUUACUACCAAAAAUUAUCAAAUUUUUUAAAAAUAAGUUGGAUGACUUUGACAAAGUCCUCUAUCACAUCAUCUAGAUUGAAAAAUUGGCAUGCCUUAAGUAUAGAUUUUGGAUUUCAUUAAGGAGAAAUGAAGGGAAUUAAUAGGUGUUUUUGAAGAGGGGCUUUUGUGCUUUUCUUGUGGUGGAGGACUCGGAUUAGGGUAGAGGGUUAGCGGGUAGGAGUUCGGCAGUUAUAGUAGAGAAGACUUCUUUGUUUGUAUGUGCGCCUAGAGUUUCUUGUUCGUUUUUCGGUGAUUUCUAUGAUUUUGGAUAGAUAGUUUAUAGUAGUACCUUGUGGGUAUCUUAUUUCCUUUAUUAUCUAGCAGUGCAUUAUCUCAUUUUGUUGUGUGCUUUUAUGUUUUUUGUUUGUUAUACCGUUAUAUGUCUUGAGCCGGAGGUCUAUCGGAAACAAGCUCUCUACCUCAUAUGAGGUAGUGGUAUGGACUGCGUAAUACGCUCGGUAUGUUGUUGUGUAUGUAACUGCGUAAGAUCAUUAUUUAAGAGUUGCUGAUACAAUAAGAAUGCAACAGCAGAUAUCUGUGAAUCGUCUGUGAUUGCUCGUGUACUAGUAUAUGUGUGAUUUUCCGCACUAUAUAUAUGAGGCUCCUUUGACAUACUUUACGAUUUUAAGAUAUGUUUAGGCCAUUGAGCCAUAUCUUUCACUUAUUUAAAGUAACAUAUGUAUGUUCAUGACAUAGACAGUUGGCCGGUCCUCGAUGAAAGUUAGAGGCAUUGGGUGCUGGCCGCGUGCACUUCCAGAUUUGGCCUGUGACUUCUUCUGUGAUACAAGUCAAUUUUUCGUUACAAAACACCACGCGGAUGCCAAAAGUAAGUAAAAUCUGUUAGUAUGACACACUUCUAAGUAGCCUACGUUCAUUUAUACAAUGCGUUAAAGUACAGUUUAGUUAAUUACGAUACGUUAAGGAUGUAAGUAAACUUUAAAAAUGUACAUCGAAUAUGUUUUAUGUGAAAAGCUUAGUGUGUAUGGAAGAAGUAACAAAGUCAAAAAAAUAAUUGAGACAGUUAUAUUAAUUUUCAAACAUAGUUCUAUUAAUUUUUCAAAUUUACAAGAGAUUUGGUAGAUGAAUUUGUCAAAGUCAGUCACAUAUUCUUCAAACAAUUUGAAAAUUGCUGGUACUAAUAUAGAAAUUUACACCAAAUAAUGCUAUUUUAUUCAUGAAGACAUUAUAAGAAGCAAGCAUUUAACUUGUAUUAUAAAACAUUAACACUUGAAAUCAUGUGGUUAAAGAAAGAGUUCCUUAUAUUUGCUACUCUAUUUUACUGUUUUUCGCUCGUUGAUGGUUGCUAUGAAGGUGAAAGAGCAGCACUAAUGAGCUUCAAAUCGUUGCUGACUGAUCCAUCUAAUCGGUUAUAUUCAUGGAAAGGCGAAAAUUGUUGCAGUUGGAAAGGAAUCAAAUGCUCGAGUUCAGGUCAUGUUGUAGUUGUCAACCUCCGGAAUCCUCAUCCGAUUGAAGUCAAAAUCAAUAUCAAUAAGGAAGUUGUUUCAAAUUCUAAAAACACGUCCGAUUUUGCCCUUAGAGGUACUAUAUCUCCAUUGCUCUUCAAACUUGAUCGUAUCCAACAUCUCGACCUGAGUUACAACAAUUUCAUGUUCUCAAAGUUACCUGCUGAGAUAUCGAACUUAACAAAGUUGACUUAUCUCAAUCUGUCGAAUGCCAUGUUUCAAGAUUCCAUCGCCAUGCAAUUUACAAACCUUACAUCGCUAAGGUCUCUUGAUCUUUCAUGUGCUAACUUAGUACCUGAUUAUUCUUCUGUUUCUGUUAGCUUGACAUUUCCACUGAAGUUGGAUUUUGGCUCAUCAUUGUUAUCUUUUAUAAGUUACGGUUAUUUGUCUAGUCCAAAUCUAAGGUGGUUGGAAGGACUCCGACGUCUAAGAUAUCUAGUGUUGACUGGUGUUGANNNNNNNNNNNNNNNNNNNNNNNNNNNNNNNNNNNNNNNNNNNNNNNNNUGUCACUUCGUUUGUCCAACUGCAACAUUUCAGGAAGAAUUCCGAUAGCGCAGUUUCUUAACCUUACUAAUAUUGCUAGUCUAGAUAUGAGCUCUAACGUUCUAAAAUCCUCGAUACCUGAUCUGCUAUCGAACAUCACAACCCUCUCGGUUCUUGAUUUUAGUAGAAAUGAUUUAAAUGGUCAUAUCCCUUACCUUCCUCAACUCGAAGAACUUUCUGUUGCUAGCAAUCCUGCUGUUACCAUAGAUCUUGUUUCAAUGUUCGCAGUACCGUGGUCAAAGUUGACAUUACUCGACAUAUGCUUCACACGGGUAGGUGGAACGAUUCCUCCUUCCUUAAGUAACUCAACUUCGUUAGCCUUUUUCCGAGCUCAUGGAUGCUCGAUACAAGGGUCGAUACCUUCUUCAAUCACAAAACUUACAAAAUUAAGUGUGCUGAUGCUCAAUGAAAACGAUAUCACAGGCCAAAUUCCUGCAUCCAUGUCCAGUUUAACAAACCUUCAAUACUUAUCGCUGUUUCAGAACCGAUUAGAAGGUAACAUACCGAUUUCGGUUUGUCAAAUCUCCUCCCUAGAGUACCUGAAUUUAGAAUGGAAUGAUCUAACAGGACGUCUUCCGUUGUGCAUAAUUCAGCUUCCUAAGCUUUCAUCUCUUUAUAUUCAGAGGAAUAGGCUGAAUGGUUAUAUGCCAUUUUCUUUGUUCCGAAAGUCUAGAUUGGAUGAAAUUAGUUUAGGAACUAGCGGAUUGUCAGUGGAAAUCGAUGAUCCAGAUCAACCCUUCGCGCAAACAUUCCAGCCCAAGAUUUUGGACUUCACAUCUUGCAACAUGAGAGGAGAAAUCCCGGAUUUCUUUUCAAAUUUUACGAGCCUCGUGGUUCUGAAUUUGGCUAACAACAGUCUAUCUGGUGCCAUACCACCGUGGUUGUUCAAUCUUCCCGCUCUCUCUAUACUAGCUUUGCCUAUGAAUAACUUCAUCGGAUUUAUACCUCCAAUGAUUCACCUGAAAUCUUCUCUUUUCCCAACAAUGAUAAAUUUAGCCAGAAACAAACUUCAAGGCCCGAUCCCUCCUCAGCUCGAGAAUGUUAAUGUCAUCGAUUUGACACUUAACAAUUUCGUAGGCUCAAUUCCAUCACAGAUAGGAGAAGCUCCUGGUAUCAGGUCCAUAUCAUUAUCCGGAAACAAAAUUUGCGGUUCCUUACCUGAAUCAUUUUGCCAUGCAUGUAACGUCCUCCAGGUUCUUGAUCUGUCUAAUAACAGCUUGUCAGGAACCAUUCGACGUAAUUUGGGGAACUGCAGGUCUCUCAUUUACCUUAAUCUUGGACAAAACAAGCUCACUGGAAGUGUUCCAGAAGAACUCGAACACAUUACAAGCCUUCGUUACCUUGACCUGAACGGGAAUCAGUUCGAAGGAUCUUUUCCAGCAGUGAUUGAAAACUUCCAAGAUUUGGAGAUUCUGAACUUGGCAGGCAACAGAUUUGAAGGGAAGAUACCUAAGUUCAUUGGUGAUCUACGCAGCCUUCGUAUCCUCGUGCUUGAAUCAAACUCUUUCAAUGAAUCUAUUCCUGAAGGGCUAAUGAAGUUGGAAAAUCUACAAUAUAUUGGUUUGUCCAGGAACAAUCUGUCCAGUCCCAUUCCUGAGAAUCUCGAUGGUUUGAAAAUGAUGGCGAAAAGGCAAAAUGAGGCAACCAUCUUAGGUUAUGUUUGCUCACUCAAGUUCACCGGUGCUCAGCUAGAAAUAGUCACCAAAGGACAAACACAUUGGCUUGAGUCAGUGUAUUCCUACAACACUGGAUUCGACCUCUCGAGCAAUGCUCUUACAGGUAAAAUCCCUGAAAAGAUUGGCCUUUUGAGUGGAAUACCAUUUCUGAAUCUCUCACGUAACAAUCUUUCCGGAACGAUCCCAAAGACUAUCAGUGAAAUGAUCUCACUCGAGUCGUUGGAUCUCAGUUACAACCAUUUCACAGGUGAAGUUCCAGUGACAUUGACAUUGUUAGAUUUUCUUCAACAUCUCAACAUGUCUUACAACAAUUUGAGUGGAAAAAUUCCAAGAAAUCCACAUUUUGACACUUUGUAUCAAGAUGGAACAACAUAUAUUGGGAACAAAUACUUAUGUGGUGCUCCCGAUGGGAUGGAUUGCAGCAACCGUACACCUUCUAUCACCCAAAAAAUAGAAGAAAAAUAUGAUCAAGAAAAUUUCCUGUUUGUUUUAGUUAUAUUCUUUGGCUACGUAACAGGAAUUUCUGGAUUGUUUUUGUUCUUAUAUUUGAUGAAGGACGAUUGGAGGAGCAUGUACUGGAGGGCGAUAGACAGAAUCGUGUUAAAAAUAGUGAAACAUGUACCAUGAACAGAAGUUGUAAACGAUGUUGAUUUCUCUGUUGUAUACUUAUCUGAUACUGUAAGAAGAGGUUUGAUCUAUUUCUUUUGGGUUUCCCUGGUGUCCUGUAUUUGUACUGGGGCUCGACUAAAUCCGUAUUGUCGGUAACUGUUUCUGUAUAACAUGUUUAUGAUAUUAAGUUCUUGACGAUUCUGGUUAUAAGCGUUGUUGGUACACUAAGCAUGAGCAUGUAGUUUCACUUCAUGAUGCAUAUACUUUGGUGAUGACGAUGGUCUGUGGGUGAGUCCGGCUUGAGGGACAAACGUUAGCUUUGUGUCCGAUACACUAUGACAAAGACAUCGGGUUUACUUCCAGUGUACCAUAAUGAUAAGUUUUAAGGCUCGAGUUCAUCUCACUAUGAGGGUAAGACAUUGUGUUUGUGUAUUAUCAUGAAUGAGUUCAAUUGUAUCUUACAUCUCUUAUUUAUAAUACAUCACGUAAUCGUAGUUAAUACUUUCAAAUUUAACUACUGCUUCCUUCUCGAUAUCUUGUUACUUCAGCUAAUCAACCUUCUCGAUGACUUCUCGUUCAUAAAAUUGUAUCAAUGCACAUUAACGAUAUGAUGAUGAUGAGAGAGACCAAGCAUUUUGUGACGGUGAGACAUGGGGUUUGAGUCCCAACUUUUUCUUGUUAAACGCCACCGUUAUGAGUGUGCAUUGUAAUAUGCAUGGUGAACUUGGACUCAAAAUACUGCUGUCAGUGCAGUAUUUAGUAUACGUACAUAUCAUAGCUUACAGUUCACUAUUUUUGACACAAUUUUGUCUACCGCCCUCCAAUGCCUGCUCCUCCAGUUGUCAUCUGUCAAAUAUAACAGCAGAAAUACACCAGAUAUUCCUGUUACAAAGCCCGAGAAUAUAACUAGAACAAAAAGGACAUUUUCUUGAUCGUAUCUGUUCUCUGUUGCUUCAUUGGUAGAGGGUCUGUAGUUGUUGCUGCAGUUCAUCCCAUCAGGAGUACCACACAAGUUUUUGUUCCCGACAUAUGCUGUUCCAUCUUGAUACAAAGUGUCAAACUGUGGAUUGGUUGGAAUCUGUCCGCUCAAAUUGUUAUAAGACAAGUUGAGAUACGCGAGAAAAUUCAAGUGUGUCAAUGUCACUGGAAUUUCACCUGUGAAAUGGUUGUAACUGAGAUCCAAUGACUCAAGUGAAAUCAUCUCUCCAAUAGUCUUUGGGAUCAGCCCGAAAAGAUUAUUAUGUGAGAAAUUCAGGAACGGGAUUCCAUUUAAAAGGCCGAUUUUCUCAGGGAUUUUACCGGUAAGAGCAUUACUUGAGGCAUCAAAUCCAGUGUUGUAGGAAUACUCUGACACAAGAAAUUGCGUCUGUCUUUUGGUGACUAUUUCUAGCUGACCACCGGUGAACUUGAGGGAGUAAAAAUAACCAAAGAUGGUUGUCUGAUUUUGUGUUUUCGUCAUCAUUUUCAAGCCAUCUAGAUUCUCAGGAAGGGGACUGGACAGAUUGGUCCUGGACAAACCAAUAUAUUGUAGAUUUUCCAACAUCAUUAUCCCUUCCAGUAUAGAUUCAUUGAAAGAGUUUGAUGCAAGCACAGGGAUACGGAGGUGGUGUAGGUCACCGAUGAACUUUGGUAUCCGCCCUUCAAAUCUAUUGCCUGCUAAGUUCAGCAUCUCCAAAUCUUGAAACUUCUCAAUCGCUGUUGGAAAAGAACCUUCAAACUCAUUUCCAUUCAGGUCAAGGUAACGAAGGCUUGUAACGCGUUCAAGUUCUUUUGGAACAGUUCCGGUUAGCUUGUUUUGUCCAAUAUUAAGGUAAAUGAGAGACUUGCAGUUUGCCAAUUAGGUCGAAUGGUGCCUGACAUGCUGUUAUUAGACAGAUCAAGAACCUGGAGAACAUUAGCCGCUUGGCAAAGUGAUUCAGGUAUUGGACCAUGGAUUUUGUUUCCAGAUAACGAUAUGGACCUGAUACCAUGAACUUCCCCUAUCUGUGUUGGAAUUGAGCCAACGAGAUUGGUAAGUGACAAAUCGAUGACAUUAACAUUCUCGAACUUAGAAGGGAUAGGACCUUGAAGGUUGUUACCGGCUAAACUAAUUCAUCGAUAAAUCUAGUACAGAGAGGGCCGUGAGAUUGAACAACCAGUACGGUAUGGCUCCUGAUAGACUGUUGUUAGCCAAAAUUAAAAUCACGAGGCUCGUCAGAUUUGAAAAGAACUUUGGGAUUUCUCCUCUCAUGUUGCAAGAUGUAAAUUCCAAAAUCUCGGGCUGGAAAGUUUGCACUAAGGAUUGAUCUUGAUCAUCGAUUUCCACAGACAAUCCACUAACUCCGAAGCUAAUUUGAUCCAAUCUAGACUUUCGGAACAAAGACAGUGGCGUAUCACCAUUCAGGUUAUUCUUCCGAACAUAAAGACACGAAAGCUUAGUAAGCUGAAGUAUGCACGAGGGAAGACGUCCUGUUUGAUUAUUCCAAUUUAAAUUCAGGUACUCGAGGGAGGGGAUUUGACAGAUAGAUAUUGGAAUAUUCCCUUGUAGUCUGUUCUGAAAAGUGAUAAGUAUUGAAGGCUUGUUAAACCGGACAUGGAUACCGGAAGUUGGCCUGUGAUAUCAUUGUCGUUGAGCAUCAUUAUUCUUAAUUUCUUAAGUUUUGUUAUAGAAGGAGGUAUUCACCCUUCGAUCGAGCAUCCAUCAGCUAGGAAAACAGUUAAUGAAGUUGAGUUGCUUAAAGAAGGAGGAACCAUUCUACCGACCCGAGUGAAGCUUAUGUCAAGAUAUGUUAACUUUGACCAUGGAACAGAAAACAUUGUAACAAGAUCUAUGGUCAUAGCAGGAUUGGUAGAAACAGAAAGUUCUUCGAGUUGAGGAAGAUAAGGGAUAUGACCGUCUAAAUCGUUGCCACUAAAGUCAAGAACCGAGAGGGUUGUGAGGUUCGAUAGAAUAUCAGGUAUCGAGGAAGUUAGAACGUUAGAACUCAUUUCUAGAGUAGAAAGACUAGUAAGAUUAAGUAAUUGCGCUGUCGGAAUUCUUCCUGAAAUGUUGCAGUUGGACAAUUGAAGUGAGAUGAGAUUUGAAAGACUUGAUAUUGUUUUAACCCAAUGAAAUGAUUCCGAGGACUUUGAUAGAUUAACACCUGUCAAUACGAGAUAUCUGAGACGUCAGAGUCCUUCUAACCACCUUAGAUUUGGACUAGACAGAUAUCCAUAGCUUAUAAAAGAUUAACAGUGAACCAGAAUCUAACUUUGGUGGUAAUGUCAAGCUAACAGUAAGAGAAGACAAAUCGGGGACUAAAUUAGCACACGAAAGAUCAAGAGACCUUAAAGAUGUAAGAUUUGAGAAUUGCAUGUCGAUGGAAUCUUGAAACAUAGAAUUCGACAGAUUGAGAUAAGUCAACUUUGUUAAGUCCGAUAUCUCAACAGGUAACUUUGAGAACAUGAAGUUGUUGAAACUCAGGUCGAUAUGUUGGAUAUGAUCAAGAGUGAAGAGCAAUGGAGAUAUAUUACCUUUAAGGGCAAAAUCGGACGCGUUGUUAGAACUUGAAACAACUUCCUUAUUGACAUUGAUCAUGACUUCAUCCGGAUGAGGAUUCCGGAGAUUGACAACUACAACAUGACCUGAACUCGAGCAUUUGAUUCCUUUCCAGUUGCAACAGUUUUCGCCUUUCCAUGAAGAUAACCGAUUAGAUGGAUCAGUCAGCAAGGAUUUGAAGCUCAUUAGAGCUGCUCUUUCUCCUUCAUGGCAACCACCAACGAGCGAAAAACAGUAAAAUAGAGUAGCAAAUAUAAGGAAAACUUUCUUUAACCACAUGAUUUCAAGAUGAUGAACAAUAUCCUAGAUUGUCAAAUAUAACAUAUAUAUAUAUACCUGUUCUUCCUAUACCCCUUGAACUAAAUUAUUCAUAAAGAAGACAUUAUUUGGUGUAAGCUUCAUUCUACAGUCAAUGACUUAGCUUUGUUUAAUGAAAAAAGAAAUUGGGAUAAAGAAUGUGGUUUUGACUUUGACAAAGUUCUCUAUCACAUCUCAUCUAGUUCUAUUGGUGUUGAAUACUAUUUUGGUCAUCUCCAUGCCUUUUACAAGUGUAUAGCUAUUGCUUUUUGUGAUACUAAUUUCUCGGCAUGUUUGUUGCAUUUGUGUGUUGAGUCAUAGUACGCGAUUUUGUAAAAUAAUAUCUAUAUAGGAAUACUUACCGCUCCACCACAAGAGUCAUUGGUAGAAGUGCAUAGCGAAAUCGGACACAAAAAGACUGCUGUCAUUGCUAGUUCUAUUCAACUGCAGAAAUUUAGUGUGUGCAUAUAUACAUAUCAUGGUUUACAGUUCACUACGAUUUACUUUUUAAAAUAAAACAAAACAUAAUAUUAAAAGAAACAAUUAAACAAAAGACUAUCUAGAAAAAUCUCAUAGUCUAACUGUUAAGAUUUGUUUUUCUCUCCAACAGAUUGGUAUCAGACUUGAGGGACCUGUGAGAAGAGAGUGAAUAAAAAAACACAAGUUCUUUCUAAAUAAUCAUUCUUUAAACUGUUAUCUUAAUAGUUUAUAGAAAAUAAAUUUUGAAACAAGCAUUCUACCUCCACCUGUCUUCAAUGGUAAGAAUUAUCAAGCUUGGGAAAUUAGAAUGACGGUUCAUCUUGAAGCACUGGAUCUAUGGGAAGCAGUAGAGGAGGACUAUGAAGUAACUCCUCUUGGAGAUAAUCCAACAGUGAAUCAGAUGAGACAUCACAAGGAGAGAAAGACAAGGAAAGCCAAAGCCAAAGCAUGCCUUUUCUCUGCGGUGUUUCCUUCAAUUUUUACCAGAAUUAUGCAAAUGAAGUCCGUUGUAGAAAUUUGGGAGUAUCUUGAAAAGGAAUACCAAGGAAAUGAAAGAGUGCAUAAUAUGCAAGUGAUGAAUCUGAUUCAGGAAUUUGAAAUGAAGAGAAUGGAAGAAUCAAAAACCAUAAAAGACUAUGCAGAUCAGCUACUUGACUUAGCCAACAAGGUGAGAUUGUUUGGUAAGGAUUUUAUUGAUGAAAGAAUUGUUCAAAAAAUUCUUGUCACACAUCCUGAGGAAUAUGAAGCCACAAUCUCUUCUUUAGAGAAUUCUAAAGAUCUGUCAAGCAUUACCUUGACAGAACUUGUUAAAGCUUUGCAGGCAUUGGAGCAAAGGAGAAUAAUGAGGACAGAAGGUUUUGUUGAAGGUGUUUUUCAAGCUAAAUCACAGAACGAGUCAUACGAGGAAAAGAAAAAGAACCAGAAGCAAAGGCAUGACAAUAAUUACAACAAUCAGGAAGGAAGUAAUCCACCCUGCCCUCAUCGCAAAAAGACAAAUUACUCUUAACAGAAAUAUUGGCAGAGACCGGAUGUCAAGUGUAACAAAUAUGGUCAACUAGGCCAUAUGGAGAGGGUAUGCAAGUCACAAACGCAACAAGAGGAAGCCAAGGCUGCUAUAAAUCAAUAUGAAGAAAAGCAAUUGUUUGUAGCAACUUGUUUUACUAGCAAAAGCACUUCUAAAAAUUGGUUGAUUGAUAGCGGAUGCACAAAUCAUGUGACCAGUGAUCAAGAGAUCUUUAAAGAGCUAGAUAGAUCUGUUAAUUCUAAAGUCAAAGUUGGAAAUGAAGAAUAUUUUAACGCAAAAGGCAAAGGAACAAUUGCAAUUCAAAGCCCUACAGGUUUGAAACUUACAACUAAUGUUUUCUUUGUUCCUGAUCUUGAUCAAAACCUCUUAAGUGUUGGAGAGCUAAAAAUGGUUUCAAAGUGUUGUUUGAAGAAAAAAUAUGUGUCAUCAAGAAUUCUGAUAAUAUGGAGAUGUUCAAUGUCAAGAUGAUAGGAAGGAGUUUUUCCUUGAAUCUAUUGGACGAGGAGCAAGCAACAAUUGUCAGGUUGGAAAAUGAUUCCAAGUUAUGCCACAAAAGACUCGAACAUUAUCAUCAUGAAGCCAUACUCUUCAUGAAAAAAAAUCAACUUACAGAAGGUCUCUCGAGCAUUGAGAAAAUCUGUUUGCUUGUGAAGCUUGUCGGUAUGGGAAGCAAACAAAGCUUUCUUUUCAAAAUUCAUCAUGGAGGCCAAAGAAUAAGCUGCAAUUUGUUCACACGGACAUAGGAGGACCUCAGAAAACAUCAUCUUUAAAGGGUACUUUUGUGGAAAAUUAGAGUGGUUGCAGAAUUCAGGUGAUAAGAACAGAUAAUGAAACUGAAUAUACUUUGGAAAACUUCAACAACUUUUAUAAUGAAGCUGCAAUUUUAAUUGCAAAUAAUCCUGUUUCUCAUGGAAAGGCAAAAUAUUUCAAGAUCAAGAUUUAUUUCUUGAGGAAGGUGCAAAAGAAUGGAGACAUAAACAUGGUGCAAUGCAAAACUGAUUUUCAGAAUACUGACAUUUUAACUAAGUCUCUAUCUAGAGCAAGAUUCAAGUUUCUUAUAGAAAGACUUGGUGUUACAGAUCUUGAGUCAAGGAGGAAAUGUUAAGAUUAGUGCCUUAAAAGCUGCAGAUUAGUUGUACCAGCUGCUGUAAAUACAUUUUUAAAGUAGGAUUUAAAUUUAUUAUAUGAGGCUGCAAUAAUGCAGAAUCAUCUUUAUUACCUGUGCUUAUCUUUAGGUCAUAAUUAUUAGAAAUAAUGGUAGCUUAUUUUACUCCUUUUAUUGAGUUUUUUCAAUUAUGUUCUUAUGUAUAAAUGUGGCAGUGGUCAAUGAAACUUUAUCAUGCUUUCUGCUCUUUUUUUUUCUUUGUUACGAUUUGUUUUUCUCUCCAACACUAACACUCCUCCUUGAGAUUUUUCUUGGAUACUCCCAGCAUAGCCCUUAGAACUUUAAAUUUCCCUUUAGGAAGAGCCUUGGUCAAAAUAUCUGCAAUCUGCUGAUCGGAGCUGCAAUGAACAAGAUUAACUUUGUCAUCCUUCUUUGCUUGCCUGAUAGCGUGAAACUUCACAUUUAUAUGCUUGCUAUGACCAUGUUGCACAGGAUUUUUGGCCAUAGAAAUUGCUGACUUGUUGUCAACCUUAAUGACAAUAGCUUCAAUUUGAUUUUGCUCUAGAUCACGUAGAAUUUUUCGUAACCAUAGAGCCUGAUUAGUUGCACCAGCAACAACGAUGUAUUCUGCUCCUGUAGAUGAUUGAGAUACCACAUCUUGCUUCUUUGAAUUCCAUGAGAACAUGCCUGAACCAAGUGUAAAAGCAUAUCCAGAAGUGUUUUUCAUAUCAUCAACACUUCCUGCCCAAUUACUGUCUGAAUAAUCCAUCAAUUGCCCUUGCUCUUCCCUUUUAAACCAAAUACCAUAUUUAACAGUUCCCUUGAUAUACCUCGAUGUUCGUUUAGCGAUACGAACAUGAACUUGACUUAGAGAAUGCAUAAACCUCGACAAAAGACUUACCGCGAAUAUGAGAUCAGGCUUUGUUGCUGUCAAAUAUAGCAAACUACCAAUUAGACUUCGGUAGACUGUUGGAUUAGCCCUAUCACCUCCUUCAGACUUCGAGAUCUUUUCAUAGUGAACUAAUGGAGUCGAUACAGGCUUACACUUCUCUAUCUUGAAUUUUUUAAGAACAUCCCAUGCAUAUUUUCUUUGAGAAAUGAAGAUUCCAUCAGUAGUAUUAAGGCAUGUGGAGUUUUGAUGAUAGACAUGUGAAUGAAACAUGUUGUGAAAACUGGUCCAUUCAAGUAUACAAAGAAAAGCUGCAGGCAAGGAUUGUUGAUAAUAUGAUACUGUGCAUAGACAAUAGUGGAUAAGUAAAAAUAUUCAGGAACCUUCUCAAACACUUAUCACUUCAGUAAAGUGAAAGAAAAUGCAAUAUUUAGAAGUUGAGUUGAUCUAGAAGUCCAACAGUGAUAAGAGUUCUGCAAGGAUAAAGGAUAAAUCAAAAGAGUCCUAUUCAACCAGGGGAGGAGAAAUGACUACAAUAAGGAGUGAAGUUACUUGAUAGAAUAAAGAAGAAAGAAGCAGAAAUAAAGAAGGACUCGAUUACAGGAGAAAUUAUUAGGGUGCAUAUAUACAACAAAGCAUGAUCAAGUAACUUACUCAAUGCAUAGAAAAGAAAAUCAACAAUCAGCAUAAUAGUUCACAUACUUGAAGAAGAACCUGUUUCCUUACUUAGAAAGUCGUAGAUUGUGUAGUAGGUAGGUUCCUUGAGUUAUAAUGAGUCAUUGUUCUAGUCUCAGUGAUCUAUAAACUGAGUUAGAAAUUGUGUCUUCAAGUUGGGAACUCGAAGACUUGGGAACACUUAUCUUGGGAAGAUUUGUGUUUCUGUAAGAUAGGAGUUAGAAGUUUUAAUUUCUAGUUAACAAGAAGUCUUGUAUUUCUGUUGAUUGUUGAGGCUCAAGUAUCAUAGUGAAGUUAGGGUUAAAUCCUGUAGAGGUACAGGUCGUAGUUUUUUACACCUUUCUUGAGCCGGGUGUUUUCAAUGUAAAAACACUAUGUUCAGUAUUUACUUCUGUGAACCACAUUUACUUACUUAUUCCACAAAUAGUCAAAUUAGUAGGGCUCAUAUUCUAACAAGUGGUAUCAGAGCAAGUUUUUCUUAAAUAAGGCAAAUACCUAAGAAAAGAUCAAUAUGGUGAAUUCCGCACCUCCUAUUAGUCACAGUGAGGGUCAGUCAACUACUAGACCUCUAUUUUUUGAUGACUCUUAUUUUAUCUGGUGGAAAGCAAAAUGGUGGAAAGCAAGAAUGGAGAUGUUCAUUCAAGGUGAAGAUUAUGAAUUAUGGGAAAGGAUUAUAGAUGGUCCCACUAUUCCAAUGAAGGCAGUUGAUAGUGAACAAGUUAAGAAAGUUAGGAGUGAAUUUACUCCAGAUGACUUGUUGGCUUUGAAGAAAAAUGCAAAGGCCAAGAAUAUCUUGGUUUGCGGACUAGGACCUGCUGAAUACAACAGGGUAUCCACUUGCACUACUGCCAAGCAAAUUUUGGAUGCACUAGUAAAUGCUCAUGAAGGCACUUCUCAAGUAAGAAAGUUCAAGAUCUCUCUCUUUUUCACUGAGUAUGAGGCAUUCAAAAUGAAGAAAAAUAAAACCUUGCACAAAAUGAUGACUAGGUUUACCACUUUAACAAAUGAGAUGACUUCCUUAGGAAAAGUCAUCUCUGAGGAAGAACAAGUUGAGAAGGUACUGAGGGUAUUACCAAAAUCAAAAUAGAAUAUCAAGGUGACUGCAAUCAGAGAGGAGAAUAAGGAUCUUAAAGGUAUGACUCUAGAUGAACUAGUAGGGAACUUAAGGAAUUAUGAAAUGAAAAUUGAUGGAGUCAAAGAACGAGCAUUACCUGAGAAAAUCUUAGCAUUGAAGGCUUCUGAGAGUGAUGAUGAAUUUGAACUUGAUUAGGAGAAAGUUGCCUUCAUAACUAAGAACUUCAGCAAAUUCUUCAAAAAAAAAAGGGAACAGGUAUUAAGAAAUGUUCCAAUGACAAUCCAAAUGGGUUCUAAAAAUGUAUCAAAACUGAUCAUCAGAUUAAGGACUGUCCAGACUGGGAAAUUGAAUGGAAAAAGAAAAGGGCUGAAAAGGAACUGAAGGCAAAAAGGAAAGAGGAGCAUGCAAUGAUAACAGCCUGGGAAUCUGAUCUAGAUGAAGAUGAAGUUGAUGAAACAACAUUCAUGGAUCUUGGGGAUUCAGAUCUAGAUUAAAAAGAUGAGGACUCUGAGAUAAGUAUACUCGAACUCAAAGAAAAGCUGAAAUUGUUCUCUAAGCCAAAACUUAUUUCUUUGAUGAAUGCAUUGAUUGAUGAUUUCCAAGAGUUAACCUCUGAUAAAGAUAAAUAGUUCAAUAGUUUGGCAAGUCUUAAAUUUGAUCUCAUUAAAUUAAGGGCUUGCUCAAAUACAGUUGACAAGGAAAGUUGCAUACUCAAGAAACAGGUUGCAGAACAUGAGAUUUCAAAUAAUAAUCUCAGGUCUGAAGUUCUCAAAUUAACUCUCACUGAAAAUAGAAAGAAGACCAUGAGUAAAGAACAGGAAACUGUUGAACUUGAGCUUGUUAAAUACAUACAAGAAUGUCAUGAUUUAACUGAAAAAAUAAAUGAGUUGAAUCAGGAAAUAUCUAAACUUAAAUUGGAUCUUGAAAGGGCUAACAGCUGGACAAACUCCUCUAGAAUUGUUCACAAAUUUAGUGAGAAAAAUUUCAAUGAAAAGGCAGGUUUCGGAUUCCACAAAAGUGUUGAUGAUCUAAAAGAUUUAUGUUUCCUUUGUGGAAACCUUGGACAUCCCACCACUGAAUGUCCAUGUAGCUGCAAAAAGCAGAUUAGCCAGUCAAAGCCUGGCUAACAGAUCUUCUCAGACCAAAAGAAACAAAACCAGUUCUGGUUAGAGAAACAGGUUGCACUACAUGUUGCCAGCAUGGACUAAGAGAAAUUUAAUUCAUCCUUUCACUCAUAAAUCAGGACCCAAGUUUGUUUGGGUUCCUAAGGCUAAUCUUUGAAUUCUUUUAUAGGAGAAGACGAAAGUAAACAAAAGGCAUUGGUACUUAGACAGUGCUUGCUCAAGACACAUGAUUGGUGAUAAGAAAAAGUUCUUUUCACUCUCUAAAAUAAAUGGAGGAGGAGUCUCUUUUGGUGAUGGAAAAAAGGAAUCAUAACUGGAAUUGGAAAGACUGGCUCAUUUGAGUCAAAGGCAUUGGAGUAUGUCUAUCUUGUAGAAGGAUUAAAGCAUAAUCUGCUAAGCAUCUCUCUGCUGUGUGAUAAAGGUAAUAAAGUUACUUUUACUGCUGUAGAAGUCAAGGUUAAAAAGAUGGAUACUAAGGAGGUUGUGCUCACUACAAGGAGAUACAAAAAUGUAUACAAAGCUGACAUCAUGACACUACCAGAACCAGAGCUGACUUGUCUGAGUGCUAUAGAAAAUGAUUCCCUCCUUUGGCAUAGAAAACUUGGUCAUGCAAGUCUGAAAUAACUAAACAUACUUUCAUCCGUAGACAUGGUAUUGGGAUUACCCAAGACCAAGUUCAAGGAAUAAAAACUAUGUAGUGCAUGUGUAAGGGGGAAGCAGGUAAGAUCCUCUUUUAAGUCAAAGAACCAUGUUAGUACUACCAAGUGCCUUGACCUGGUUCAUAUAGACUUAUGUGGACCCAUAAGACUUCAAAGCAGAGGUGGAAAAAGGUAUGUGUUUGUAAUUAUUGAUGACUAUUCCAGGUUUACUUGGACUUUGUUUCUAGCCUCUAAAGAAGAUGCCUUUGAAAUCUUUGAAAUCUUCAUUGAGACAAUUGAAAAGAAACUGGGUACUUCUUUAGUUUCCAUAAGGUCUGACCAUGGUUCAGAAUUUGAAAAUGUAAAAUUCUUGAAAUACUGUUCAACAAAUGGUAUAGAUCACAACUUUUCAGCUCCUAGAACACCACAACAAAAUGGAGUGGUGGAAAGGAAAAAUAGAACCUUGGAAGACAUGGCUAGAACAAUGAUGCUUGCAACAAAUGUUGCUAAAAACCUUUAGGCUGAGGCAAUAAGUACUGCAGCAUAUAUCAUAAAUAGAUACAUAUCAGGCCUUUGUUAGAAAAGACUCCCUAUGAAUUACUAAAAGGAAGAAAGCCUAACAUCUCUCACCUUAGAAUCUUUGGUUGUAAAUAUUUCAUACAUAAUAAUGGAAAUGAUAAUUUGGGUAAAUUUGAUGCUAAAAGUGAUGAGGGAAUCUUCUUAGGAUAUUCACUUCAUAGUAAGGCUUAUAGGGUUUUAAAUAACAGAACUAACUGUGUUGAAGAAAGCAUGCAUGUAAUCUUUGAUAAAUGUUGUGUUAAGACUAACCUGCAGGAAGGUAGUGACACGGAGGAACAGGUUAUGCAACCCAUUGCAUCAACAAGAGCCACAAAAAAUGGAGAUAUUUUGAUAGGGGGAACUGAAGAUGAGGGUACAGUGAUAGGGGGAACUGAGCAUACCCCUGCUCAGAACAUCAACAAUGAUCCUGGUAGCUUAUUAAACUUGAUUCCAAAAGGAUAUAAGUAUCAAGGAUCACAUCCCAUUGAGAAUGUUCUUACUGAUCUCACAUCUGGGAUCACUACAAGGUCUGGAUUGAGAAAUAUGUGUGCCUUCAAGGCAUUCCUGUCAGAGAUUGAGCCAAAUAAAAUAACUAAAGCAUUGCUUGAUGUUGAUUGGAUCAUAGCCAUGCAAGAAGAGUUGAAUCAGUUUGAGAGAAGCAAAGUACGGCACUUAGUUCCUCUUACUAAAGACAGAUCAGUUAUUGGGACUAAAUGGGUGUAUAGAAAUAAAGUUGAUGAGUAUGGAACAGUCACAAGAAACAAGGCAAAAUUGGUGGUUCAAGGAUACAAUCAAGAAGAAGGAAUUGACUUUGAUGAGACUUUUGCUCCUGUCCCAAGACUUGAAGCUAUAAGAUUACUUAUUGCCUUUGCUACAUACAUGGAGUUUAUCCUUUAUCAGAUGGAUGUGAAGAGUGCCUUCCUAAAUGGAAUUCUCAAGGAGGAGGUGUAUGUUAAAUAACCUCCAGGAUUUGAAAGCAAGGAGUUUCCAGAUCAUGUGUACAAAUUGGACAAAGCUUUAUAUGGAUUGAAACAAGCUCCAAGAACUUGGUAUGAGAGACUGUCAAAGUUUUUAUUGGAUCAUGGACAUACCAGAGGUAAAAUUGAUAAUACCCUCUUUUUGAAAACUAAUGGGAUGGAUUUGUUAGUUGUGCAGGUGUAUGUGGAUGAAAUUAUUUUUGGCUCAACAAAUAUGAAUCUGACUCAUAAGUUUGCUAAAAUUAUGAGUUGUGAAUUCGAGAUGAGCAUGAUGGGAGAGCUGAAUUACUUCUUGGGAUUACAAAUAAAACAGUCAGCUUCAGGAACAAUGAUUCACCAACAGAAGUAUGUCAAAGAGCUUCUCAAGAGAUUCUCCAUGGAAGAAACAAAAAAGAUAAAUACUCCUAUUGUAACUGCCACAAAGUUGGAGUUGGUUGAAACAGGUUCAGAUGUAGAGCAAAAGAUGUAUAGAGGUAUGAUUGGGCCAUUAUUGUACCUCACAGCAAGCAGGCCUGACAUUGUGUUCAGUGUAGGACUAUGUGCCAGGUUUCAAGCAAAACCCAAAGAAUCACAUUUAAAAUCUGUGAAAAGAAUCUUUAGAUACUUGAAGGGAACCAGUGAUCUUAGCUUAUGGUACCCCAAAGGUAGUAACUUUAAUUUGGUGGGUUACUCAGAUGCUGAUUAUGCAGGAUAUUUGGUGGAUAGGAAAAGCACUCCUGGAAUGGCUCACUUCCUUGGAUCAUGUUUGAUUACCUGGCCAACUAAGAAGCAAAAUUCAGUUGCCUUAUCUACUGCUGAAGCUGAAUAUCUUGUUGCAGGUUCCUAUUGUGCUCAAUUGCUAUGGAUUAAGCAACAACUCCUAGAUUUUGGUAUAGAUGUUGGUUGUGUUCCUAUUUUUUGUGAUAAUACGAGCACUUUUAACGUAGCUAAAAAUCUUGUUCAACACAAGAGAACCAAACAUAUUGAUAUUAGCCAUCACUUUCUUAGAGAUAAUAUUGAAAAAGGUCAUAUAUCCAUUAUGUUUUGUUCUAUUGAGGAAUAGAUUGCUGAUAUUUUUACUAAGGCAUUGAGUAGAGAACACUUCGAAAAAAUUAGGUUAGCCUUGGUGAUGAUUAAAAUUGCAUAAGUCUCCCUCAAUGCUUGACUAGAAUAAGUUGACUUUACAUGUGAUUAUUGAUUAAUUCAGUCUCACGCAUUAAGUUGUGUAUCCUAAGUCCAAGAUUUUAGAAUGUGUUGACUCAUGUAUGUGUUGAUCUUGCAGGAAGCUUGGAUUACAGAAGCAAUUUUGUCUAUUUUGUCAUUCAGGUAUGAUUACUAGUACUUCAAAGUAACCUCGAGAAAAACAAGUUGCUUUCCUGGUACCUCCUGAUCCAUUUAAACCACCAAAAUACAAAGAGUCCCUCCUUUUUUCAAAAAGCUGCCACUCUUNNNNNNNNNNNNNNNNNNNNNNNNNNNNNNNNNNNNNNNNNNNNNNNNNNNNNNNNNNNNNNNNNCUAAAACACUCAUUACUAUCCCUCUACCACAUACAGUCCCUCACCCUUUCAACUUCCUUACCUUCUCCUCUUAAAUACACCUUCUUUUGUUUUGAUUCUACACUCAUACUUCUCUCCAACCUUCUCAUACUCAAGAACACCUUCCCGUUUCAAAUAUGACAUCCCUCUCUUCAUCUUCACCCUCUUCUUCUUCCUCCACUGACUCUGUUGAAAAUUCCCUCACCGCACUUAUCCUUCAUCCAAACAUUACCUUACCGCCCUUAAUUCCUUCUCCAAUCUCCCAGAAAUUCACAGAUUUCUCUACCUUCACAAAUUUCCCAAACCCUUUUUCCCAAAUUCUCUCAUCUACUUCUUCCUUCUCGAUACCCCUUCUUCCUCCUCCUAUCCCGCUCAGAAUUGUUAAUGAGGAUGAUUUUCUUAAUGAUAGGGACGAUCUUCCUAUUGCAUACUUAAUCCCAAGAAGGUUUAGAUCUUAGGUCAAGAAAAAACCCUCUGUCCCAGCUAAAGACACUGUUAGUUCACCGUCCCCUCCCAUUAUCUCUACUUCUCGAACCCCUCAUACUAGAGGAAAGAAACAACGUGAAGAUGCUAAAUUGUCUGAAGCUCUUAGAGCUAACAAGAGAAAACAUGUAGUAAUUUAUGAUACCACUCCUCCUCCUGUCUCUUCUCCUACAUCUUCUCCUGAUCUUCUUCUUCGAUCAGUCANNNNNNNNNNNNNNNNNNNNNNNNNNNNNNNNNNNNNNNNNNNNNNNNNNNNNNNNNNNNNNNNNNNNNNNNNNNNNNNNNNNNNNNNNNNNNNNNNNNNNNNNNNNNNNNNNNNNNNNNNNNNNNNNNNNNNNNNNNNNNNNNNNNNNNNNNNNNNNNNNNNNNNNNNNNNNNNNNNNNNNNNNNNNNNNNNNNCCUUUUUUAAAAACCCCUGCCACUCGUUCCCAUCAGGACUAAAACACUCAUUACUAUCCCUCUACCACAUACAGUCCCUCACCCUUUCAACUUCCUUACCUUCUCCUCUUAAAUACACCUUCUUUUGUUUUGAUUCUACACUCAUACUUCUCUCCAACCUUCUCAUACUCAAGAACACCUUCCCGUUUCAAAUAUGACAUCCCUCUCUUCAUCUUCACCCUCUUCUUCUUCCUCCACUGACUCUGUUGAAAAUUCCCUCACCGCACUUAUCCUUCAUCCAAACAUUACCUUACCGCCCUUAAUUCCUUCUCCAAUCUCCCAGAAAUUCACAGAUUUCUCUACCUUCACAAAUUUCCCAAACCCUUUUUCCCAAAUUCUCUCAUCUACUUCUUCCUUCUCGAUACCCCUUCUUCCUCCUCCUAUCCCGCUCAGAAUUGUUAAUGAGGAUGAUUUUCUUAAUGAUAGGGACGAUCUUCCUAUUGCAUACUUAAUCCCAAGAAGGUUUAGAUCUUAGGUCAAGAAAAAACCCUCUGUCCCAGCUAAAGACACUGUUAGUUCACCGUCCCCUCCCAUUAUCUCUACUUCUCGAACCCCUCAUACUAGAGGAAAGAAACAACGUGAAGAUGCUAAAUUGUCUGAAGCUCUUAGAGCUAACAAGAGAAAACAUGUAGUAAUUUAUGAUACCACUCCUCCUCCUGUCUCUUCUCCUACAUCUUCUCCUGAUCUUCUUCUUCGAUCAGUCAUGAAACCUAAUGCUGUCAGAGCAAAAUCUUCCAAAUCUUCUGUGUCUACGCCUGCUUCAAAGGCUUCCUCCUCUUCAAAAACCUCCCCCACUUUCAAAGCUUUUCCAUCCAAAGUUUCCCCCAGUUCUUCUACUCGUUCAAAGAAACAGUUCAGCAAACCUGUUUUUUCUGACUCAUCUGACUCUGACUUCAACCUGUUUCUAGACAAAUAUAGAUGAUAUUAAUUAAUUAAUUAAGUUGUGGAAUUAUUGGUAUAAUCCGUGAUUAGUCAUGCAAUCAUGAUGAUAAUUAAUCCUAGGAUAUUGAAAAACAUAAUAUUCCUUAGAAGAAGAAAAAACAAUUAAUAAUAUCCAUAUAACUCCCUGAUAAGAUGCCAAAUGGAUUAGCAUUUAUUUACUUUUCUCUUUUUCUUUUAUUUAAAAUAUACAUAAAAAGAGAGAUUGGAAAGAUCAUAUAUAUAUAUACUUUUAUAAGACAUUUUUAACUAGUGAGUUUAUCAUAUGUUCGGGAUUCUGCCUUUUGAAGACAAAAGAGAGGUUAUUUCAAUAGAUUAUCGACUCAAGUAAAGUAUUUUAAAGCAAGUUUAGAAAGAAAGUAUAAUGCAUAAUAGUGCAGAAGUAAAUUGUGUAGGAAGAAUAGUAACAAUAACAAAUAAUACGAUAAUAGAAGUAAAAUAUAUAUAUAUAUAUAGAAUAACAAGCAGAGAAUUAGAUAAUAGGAGAUCAGUAAUAGUAGUAAUAUUGAGAAAAAAAAUUAGACAACACUUGAUUACCUACGUCACGAUCCAAGCCCUAAUCGUGACGGACAUUCCGAACCAACGAAAGCCCGAGAAGGCCCCUUAUCGCAUCAUCAUAAGCAUAGUCAUAAUAAAGUAUUGCAGAACUUUUGGCUCAUAAAAUAUGAAACUCAAUUGAAAUAAUAAACCAAAAUCCAAGUCUUGUAAUACGACAUGAAAACAUUUACCCAACUCAAUCUACGAAGCUUCUAACUUUAAGAAUAAAACCCCUAGGUCGGGACAUAGCCCCGACUAUAUCAUAAAGCAAAAGAAAGACGAAAAUGUGGAUGAAAAGAUCAAAAGUCUUCCGAAGAAUGGAGGUGGACACCCAAACAUACAGGGUGAUACAAUCUAUCAAACUUCUACUUUAAUCCUCGAUAUAUAUAUCAUUUUAUCUAAAAUCAUAUUCUCGGUAAACUACAAAUAUAUCAUAUUCUCUCUAAUCUUCGACACGUAAAAAAAUAAUUUCUCUAAUGGUGAAUUAAUUAAUUUAUUUUAAUUAGUUUGGAUUAAUGGAUUACUAACUAGCAAAGGAAGCUAAGAAGGAAUCUAAUUCUUUUUUUUAAACCAACAUUCUUUUUUUUUUUAAACCAACCGACCGUGUAUCUUUUGCUCUUUUCUUUUUUAUUUAAUUGAGCAAAUAAAUUAAUGUUACUAAUUGUCACCAUCUCCACAUGAUUAGUCUUAAUUUUAACAUAUAAAUAGUUGAUUUAGGCUUCCUAAUCACAACAAUGUGAUAAGAAUAAAGUAAUUAUAGGUUUAAUUAGUUGUCAUAGCUAGUCAAUAUUACUGUAUUUUAGUCAAAUUAAAUUAAACAAAGACCCAUGCAUGGAAUAUUUAAUAAUUUGCACCGAAAGUAUAUAUGUAUACAUAAUUCCAAUUUGCAAAAGAGAAUAAAUUCUAUGUCAUUGUUGUAACUUCAUUUUGAAUUGAAUAGUAAAAAUUAACAUAAAAGUUAUUUCAUUCUGUUACAAUUUAUGUGACACUGUUUUUUCAUAAUUUGUUAAAAAAAAUAUCACAUUUAUAAAUUUAGAGCAUUCAUCUGAUACCUCUAAUGCGAUUAUUUACAGCGAAAAAAUUAUUUAAGAUCAACUUGUUUUAGAUUAUAAAUUUUCACAAUCUUCCGUUCUUCUUUAAAUAUCACGUAUUACUAAGAACGAGAAAUUCCAAUGGUUCUUGUCGUUAGAAAUAUGAGAUUUCCAUCAAAAAGUACUUCGUCGGAAGUGUUCUCGAUAAGGCAAAUUUUCUCGACAAUAGUAUUUGUUUGAUAGUGGUGUCUAGUCAAACGAUAUCACAUCAAUUGAAACAUAAAAAAUAUUUUAAUUUGCAAAAAUGUCAUUGUGGUAGGAUGACAAGUACCCCGUUAUAUUUAAUCAGAAAUCUCUAGUUCGAGUUAUGGGAUUAGAGUCACAAUUAAGUGCUUAUCUUUAGUGGCGAAGCCAAAAUUUUCACUAACGGGUUUCAAAAACUGAAAAGUAAACAUACAAACUAGCUGAAGGUGGUUCAACAUCUUCUAUAUAUACAAUAACAAUAACAACAUACCCAGUAUGUUCCCACAAAGUGGGGUCUGGCCGGGGGGGGGAAAAAAAGGGGAGGGUAAAGCUAAGUGUACGUAAUCUAUACCACUAGCUACCUCAUAUGAAGUAGAGAGGUUAUUUCCAGUAGAACCUCGGCUCAGGACAGAUAACAGUAUAACAAACAAAAAAAUAUAAAAGCAAACAAAAAAAAGAGAUAUCACACCGCGCUAGAUAGAUAAUAAAGGUAACAAGACACCAACAAAGUAAUACUAUAAACCAGCUAUUCAAAAAUCAUAGUAUUACCCCAUGACCUAAAGGUGGCUCCGCCCCUGCUUACUCCUUAAACAGAAAUUUUCCAAUCCGAAUCUAGAUUUUAUCGAGUCCAAAAGAAAAUAUCGAACAACAUAGGUGACAAAAAGAAAAUGUUGGAAAGGAAAGAAUUAUUUGACAUUAUCUUUUUUAAAGUUUGCUCCUUUUUCUUAUUAUUUAGUUAAAUGAUGCCUAUAAAUAGGAGUCCUAUCCAUUAAUUCUCACAAUAAACACAACCAACAAGUCAUUCCUUUCUACAAGUAAACAAAAUACCAAAAUUUUUACACACAACAAAUAUUAGAAAUUAACCAAAUCUUAAAUCAAAUGGCAACAAACAAAAAAGACAUAUCAAAGAUAGGCCAAGAAGCCUUUGCUCAUCUUGAUGAACAAGAAUUCUAUGCAACAAAGGGAAAAAUUAGGCCUCAAAUUCCUUCUUCUUGUUCUUCUAAUGUUGUUGUUACAACAACAAAUAAAAACUACUUUUCUAAUUAUAAUCAAUAUCAACCACAAAAAUCUCAUGUUGUUCAAUUCAAACCAAGUGAAGAGAGAGUUAUGAAUAGUUAUGAAGCUAUGAAGUUACAUGGAGGGGUUCUUAUUUGUGAUUAUUACAAUAGAAAACCAAAACCUAUGGCUUAUUAUUAUUAAGCAGAAGCGAGUUAGGGAUGUAAAGUCAGUGAGUUCAGACUAAUGUGUGUGAUCAUAUAUUACCGAUAUGUACACAAAAUGUUUAGUAUGUAGUAGGUCCAACUGAAUCUGCAGAACCCGCUCCAGAGCUGCGUGUUGCUUUCUUUUAGUUUGUCAACCCAUCUUUUGUAUAUGUAUAGUCGAUAAGCUAUUUGUACGAGUAUAAUUAUGGUCUAGUAUAUGAGUGAUGUGAUAUACUUCACUUUUAAAUGCUAAACUUUGUUCUUCUAUAUAUCGUUUUUUUUUUCCUUUUUUCACUUUUUUGCGCGAAUCCAAAAUUUUUACAACAUGGCCGGUACGCACUACUAAUAAAAGAAAAAAUAAUGUAUUAAGUGAAAAUUGAUCCUUGUUUCUCAAGAAGUCAAGGUAAGUAACACAACUUUUCAAUCAAAAUGCACCACUAAGCCGUUUGUAGGGCGCUAGCAAAUAAUAUAUGUACCUACAUAAAUAGUUAAAAAGAACAGUCCGGUACAGUAAAACUUUUUAUAUGCAUAGUGUCGCACCCCUUUUUCGUCGAAGGGUCUCGAAGUCGAAGGGUUUUUUCAAUUAAAGUGACGAUAGUGAAUAGAGAUUAUUUUAUUUACAGAGUCGCCUCUUGGAAUUGAGUUGUCGUGUUCCAAGUCACCUUAUUGAAUCCUUAAUCAAAAGGAAAUUAAAUGACUCUUUAUUUUGGUCUGCGAAAAUAGAAGACUGGGUAAGGAAUUAUGUUGACUGAGAGGAAGGUGUGAGGCACCUCUCGAGUCCCGUGGUUCUAACAAGGUCGCUUUUUCGACUUAUACAUAACUUAAACUAUUUGAUAAAUUAUGUUUGAAGGCCUUGAUUCACUCAUUUUUACUAUACCAAAAAUAUCUGUCUAUACCUCUUGGAUUAAUCUUAAGGAAAUUAAUUUUAGGACUAUCAUUAACGAGGUACAAUAUCGCAUCCUCGAAUUAUUUUAAAACGUCUCGAAAAAAUGCGUAUGCCGCAUUUUUAGUCGAGAUAAAUAUAUUAGACAUGCCUAAAGCUUAUCUAGCGUUAAAAGGCAUUCGUUCGUCUUUUAUAAAUUCGAAACAAUUUUACAUUAUCUAUUUUUAAUUCUUUUUCUCUCUUUAUUUUGCAAAGAAUUUUGAAUUAUUCUGCAACUCAUUUCGCUCCCUUACAAAUAGGUUUUCCUCUCUUUUCAGUUUAUCAAUUAUGAUUUAUAUAUUUUUGAAUCUUUUUAAGCGAAAAGGAUUAAUCUUACUCUUGCGAACAAAUUAUUAAUAUAUAAACUUAACAAAACUACUUAAAAGCCAAAUUAACAUAAUCCAUAACAAAGUUAAUUAAUCAAACUACUUUUAACAAAAUUAUGACAAUGAAGUUAACAAGAAAAGAAAAGAAAUAAAAAACCUAACAAAUGUAAAAAUGUUAUUCACUUUUUUUCCUAUUUUUUCUUUAUCUUUUUUUUUUUUUCACGUUUUCUCUAAGCUGUUUUUUUUUUGUUUGAAUUUUUCCCCCCCCCCCCCCCCCCCCUUUUAUUUUUUUUCAUUUGUGUCAUUUGUCCACUUUUUUUUUUUCUUUUUGGUUUUCUCUAUUUUAUUUCUAAAUUUGUAUGUUCAUGGGAACGUUUAGUAUGCAUGCGCCUAUCUAUUUUAACCCCUUUUUAAUUACACUAUAAAACUUUCAUAAUCCAUUAAAAAAUUAAAAAUGACAAAAUAAUAUAUUGACAUUUAAAAAAAAAAGCGUUACAUUUUUUUAUCAUCCAAGAACUUUAAUAUUUAUAAUUAACGAAAUGAAUCACGAAGAACAAUAAGCAAACAAGUCACAACAUAAUAAUUGACAAUCACUGGAAAACUAAUUAAGAUUACAUUUUUUCUUUGAUUUCAAUACAAUAAAUAAAUUACAAAUAAAAACAUAAAAAAAAAAAAAAACUUUACAUAAAUAUUAAACUUUACAUCUUAAAUUAUGAAAUUAUUAAAAUAACUUUGAUCAUUAUGUAAUUCAUAAUAAAACUUACAAAAUAAAUAGAAAGGAUCUCAAGUAGAACCUGUGUAAUAAGUUAACUAAAGAUAAAAAAUCAAAAUGUCAUUACCGAAAAACUUGAACGGAAACCCAAACUGAAAGAACUCACCUUUUUUUUCUGUUGUUUUUCUCUAAAUUUUCUAACCUUUGCUUCACAUGUUCUUCUACUGCUUUUUUUUAAAAUGUUUUUAUUUUUGCUUCUAAAUCUUUUUACCCGUUUAGCCAUGAAUAUGUUUUCUUUUUUUCCAAAAAUAUUUUUCGGAGUUGGAAAUGAUGACGUUUGGCCAUGAAAAUUUGGAAAAUAAUUCUGGAAUUAAAUUUCGAAAAUGGAAAACAACUUUUUGUUGUUUUCCCUUUUCUCCACUCCAAUUCCAACUUCCAUUAUUAUUACAUAUAACCUUAAUCUUUAAAUUUUUACACAAACCCCUCUUAUUAACUAAAUUACAUAUUUUUUUAAAAGAGCAAAUUCAAUAAAAUAAUUAAUUCAAGUGAAAAUAAUUAAAAUAUUUCAUCAACAAAUUUAAGAAUAUAUAAAAUAUAUUUAUAUCUAUCAAUCAUAUUUAUCAAAAUAUAUUUUUUCUCUAUUCAAUCGAUAUUGGUUAGAUAAACUUAUUUAGCUCGUGCUUGUGAUAUUUUUAUUCAAAUUAUAGCAGAAUAACAAUCAUAAUAAUUAGUUUGUUGUUAAUUAUUUUAUCAAUUGAAGACAUGUAUAAAUUAUUUUCUCAACAUUUGGUUGUAUAUUAGUAGGUAAAUUAGUAGUUGGGUGAUUUUGAUAAUUUUUAAAAGUUGAGAGCAUAAAAUCAUAUUUAAAAAAGAUUUUUCAAAAGUCUAAAAAAAAAUUUCAAAAAGACAUGGCCAAACACAACUCCAACUCCAACUUCAUCUUCAACUCCAACUCCAACUCUGAAAAAAAUAAUUUUCAUAGCCAAACGGCUACUUAAUCUUCUCUUCUUUUCACUUUCUCUCCCUCACUAUUUUCUUUGUUUUUUCCUUCUUCCCCCCUUUGUCCGUGUGUGUGCGUGUUGUGUUAUUUUCUUAUUUUUUUUUUGGUGAAGAGGAGUUUCUAUUAAAAGACUAAAGGUUCGCUGCAAGAUAGCCUCAUCAGUCCGGCUCAAAAAUAACAAGAUCAGCACUGUAGUUUGUGCUAUUAACUUUUACAGAUAUGAUAAAGCAAGUUCCUAGAAUGUCUGCCCAGACAGUUUCAAGCGCAAACACAGGAGGAACUUCCAAAAUAUGAGUGUUUCCAAAAAAUUUCCUACGUGCUCCUUCCUUUGCAAGUGCGUCUGCUUCUCGGUUUUGCUCCCUAAAAUAGUGAUGCACUGCCGGACAUCUCAUUCUUAUCAGCAUAGACCUACAAAGAUCAAUAAUAUGGUCAUAGUGCAUAUUCCCAUGUUUUAACAUGUAAAUAACCUGUUGAGAGUCAAUGUUGAUUUCAAUAGGUAGAAGAUUGUUGUCAGCGGCUCUUUUAAGGCCCUCCAACAAUACUAGAAUUUCCAUUCGAUUGUUCGUUGCAUUGGAAUAACCCUUAUGGAAGCUGAGGAUCCAAUCACUAUUGCUAUUUCUAAUUACACCACCUAUGCCACCAAUACUCGAAUUCCCCAAGCUUGAUCCAUCCGUGUUAAGCUUGUAGUAGCCUUGAGGAGGAGGGUACCAUUUAAUAGAAAUGAUGACGGGAUCAUGUUGUUGGUUCGUGUGGCAUUUUGUUAGGUGGGUGUAUUCGAUAGCAGAAGCAUAAGCGCUUUGAAAAGAAGGGGACGAGUUGCAAUUAUUAAAAGUAUUUCCAUUUUUAAAAGUCCAAAUUUCCCACAAACAGAAGGCAAAGAGGAUAUCAUGGUCAAUGUGACUAUCAAAAGUUUUGUUGCGCACCCAAUUUUUAACAGUGUCUAGCAUGUUGUUCGCAUUGAUGGCAUCUAGGUUGGGGGAGUUGCAACUCAGCUGAUUGAAGAGAUUUGCCCAAAGCUGGGAAGCUUUGGGACAAUUCCAAAAAAUAUUGGGCACAUCAUCUUGGGUGUUACUGCAAUAGUAAUAGUUGGAAGAGAUUGGGAUACCUCUCCUAGCUAGAAUGGAGUUACAGGGGAGUCUAUUAUGGUUGAGCAUCCAAAAGAAGUGUUUCAUCUUGUUUGGGACAUUUAAGCUCCAAAGCCAAGAAAAGUUCUUUUGAUUCUUGGAAGGAAGGGAUUUCGAAUUGAUGAGCCUGUAAGCACUAUUGCUCUUAAAAAGGCCAUAGAUGGUAAGACCCUAAAUUGGGUAAUCAGUGGGGCUUUUAGUGGUUUGAAAAUAGUUGGACUGGAUAGAAGUGAUGGUGUUUUGAGGAAGCUCAAAAGGAAGGGUGGAGAAGUCCCAAGUCCCAUUUCGUCAGAAUUGAGAGACAGUGACUUGGUCAAGAUUCUUGGUGAGGGGCCCUUGGAUAAUGUUGUUAAGGGCAUCAGUGUUGGGAAGCCAUUUUUUGGUCCAGAAUUUAGCUUGCUCACCCUUAUAAAUGAUCCAUAAAGAGGCUUCUCUGCAAAUUAAUUUUCCCUUAAGGAUACAUUUCUAGGUUCUGAAAUCUUUCUUUCUGAGUGGUGAAGUUGUAUUUACCUAGCAGAACCCUAGACCAAAGGGAUUGAGGGUUCUUAGUGAGUCUCCAGGAUAGACCACAGUUCAUGGUGUCAUUUUUUGUGCAAGCCUUCUGGAUUCCCAAACCACCAAAGUGUUUGAGUUAUGUAAUGACAUCCCAAUUAAUCAUGUGCAUCUUUUUCUUCGAAACAGUAGUUCCCCAAAUAAAUUCCCUUUGGAUUUUGUUAAUUUGGUGGGUAAUUUUUUGGGGUAAUUGAAUGUAUUGCAUGACAUGGGAAGGGAUGCUAUUCAGGGAGGCUCUAGUGAGAGUGGUUCUGCCAGCCUGGUUAAGAAAAUGUAUCUUCCAGCCAACUAAUUUAGCUUUCAUAUUGUCAAUGAUGAACUUAAAGUCUCCAUUAUUAGGUGCUUUUUGGAAGAUAGGAAACCCAAGGUAUUUCCCAAAGUUGUCUUUAUGGUGAAUAUUGAGGAUGGAAGUCAGGUUAUUACAAGUAUCCAUGGAACAAUUUUUGGAAAAGAGAACCUUGGAUUUGUUUCUAUUGAUUUUUUAGCCAGAAAAAGCACUAAAGGAGUCAAGGGUCUUUUUGAUGAUUUCACAAUUCUUUUGGUUGGCUUUGACAAAGAGGGUAAGGUCGUCGGCGAAGAAGAGGUGGGAGAGUUUGGUACCUUUCCUGCUGAUGGAGAUGGGGGUCCAAUUGAGAAUGUCAACCUCAUGAUUUAUUCUCCUAAAGAAUAGUUCCAUGGUGAGGAUGAAGAGGUAUGGAGAGAUUGGAUCUCCCUGUCGUAUUCCUCUGUUAGGUUGGAAGAAAAGAGUGCUGGAAUCAUUAGUAAGAAUAGAGAUAGAGAAAGUGAAAAUGUAUGACAUAAUUAGGUUGGAAAGCUUUGGAGGAAAGUUAAAGAACUGCAGGGCUUGUCUAAUGAAAGACAAUUCGAGCCGAUCGAAGGCUUUUUCCAGAUCAAUUUUGAUGAUCAUGUUGCCCAUCUUUCCUUUCAUUUUGGUGAAGUGAGUUAUGUACUCCUGGAUCAUGAUUGUAUUAUCCGAGGCUCUUCUGUUCGCUAGGAAACUAGCUUGAGUGGGGCCAAUGACAUUAGCCAAGAAAGGUUUGAUUCUGUUGGCGAUAAUCUUAGUGAUGAUUUUAUACUAGGUAUUGCAAAGAGCAAUGAGUCUGAAGCUCUGAAGAGAGACAGCAUUCUGGAACUUAGGAAUCAGACAGAUGUAGGUUGUGUUAACCUGUUCCUCCAUUUUGCUACGAGUGAAAACUUUGUUGCAAAAAGAGGAGUUGGGGGGAGAUGAUGUCCCAGAACUUUUAAAAGAAGAGGGGGUAGAGGCAAUCAAGCCCCGAAGCUUUAGUAGGCUUAAAAUUGAACACAACUUUCUUGAUCUCAUUGACAGUAGGGACACUGUCCAGCAUGUCAUGAGCAUGAUCAGGGAUUGAACCCCUGGCAGAGGUUUUUUUUUGGGAGGCAUAGUGGGAGUAAGUGUGGCCAGUGGAGUACAGGUUCUUAUAGAAAGAAAUGAUGGUUUGGCUUAUAUCCUCUAGGCUUGUGACCCAGCUACCAUUAUCCAAUUUCAAGGAAUUGAUUCUAUUCUUUAUUCUUCUAUUGAGGGUAACCGUGUGAAAGAAUCUAGUGUUAGCGUCCCCUUCUGAGAGCCAGUUAAUCCUGGAUUUGAGUUUCCAGAAUUCAUGUUCUUGUUUAAGGGUGUCACUAAACUCUUUCUAAAGGGCGAUCUCAAGGAUUUGAAGGAAGGAGCUGGAAGGGUAGUGGCUUCUUUUUUGGAUACCCGCAAUUCUUGCAAGGAUUCUUUUCUUCCUAGUGAAAAUGUUUCCAAAAACUUCUUUGUUCCAGGGGAGGACCAUGGAUCUAAAAGAACCAAUGGAGCCAGUGAGGUUGCCUCCAGACAGGAAGGCUUGGUUUAUAAGGGAGAGGAACUGGGGGUGAGAGCACUACAUGGGCUCCAUUUUAAAAGGUUUGUCUCUUCUAGGGUGGUAGGUGAUGAGAUUAAUCAGGAAGAGGCAGUGGUCAGAAUGAGUCCUAGGAAGAUGGGUUACCGAAGCCUCAGGGUAUAAAUGGAUCCAACUAUCAUUAGCAAAGCACCUGUCGAGCCUUUCAAGGAUAAGGUUGUUCCUGUUCCUAUAUCUUUUGUUGGUCCAGGUAUACCUGCUACCUUUAAAACCUAAGUCAACAAGGCAGCAUUGGUUAAUGCAAUCCCAAAAACUUUUGGCCUUGUUGCUGCUAAUGGGGUUGCCCCCAUAUUUUUCCGCAGCUCUGAGGACUUCAUUAAAAUCACCCCCCACCAGCCAACUAGUAUUACUAUCACCAUUGAUGGUUUUGGCUAUAGUAAUCAGCUGGUUCCAGAGUAGUUUCCUAUCAUUAGGACUAGUGCUAGCAUAAAUGAUGCUAAGAAUCCAAGAAUGAGAAGAGGAAUUUACCUUGACAGCAGCAUGAAUGCUUUGAGGCGUAAUGGAAAUGUCAUUGAUGCUAAAGUGAUCCUCUUUCCAUAGCAAAACAAUACCACCAGAUAAUCCAACAACUCCAGAUUGAAGAAGACAGUCGAAGCUCAGGUCAUGAGUGAGAGUAUGAUGGUCAGCCAUCCUGGUCUCAAGAAGGGCUAACAUGGCUGGUUUAUGGAGAUCAACCAUAGCACCACAGUGUCUUUUGAACUCUGUGUUAUUGGUGUUAUAUAAGUGUAUAGGGUGGGUAGUUGAGAGAGUUAGGGGAUCGAGAAAAAGUUAGGGCUGGUUGGAGUAGUCUUUUAGGAUAAAAUUUCUUUUCUUUUUAUUUUUUAAAAAAUAAGAUAAGAUAAAAAAAAUUGAGAUAAAAUAAAAUAAUAAUAAUACUAUAAUAAUAAUAAUAAUAAUAAUAAUAAUAAUAAUAAUAAUAAUAAUAAUAAAUAUUAAUUAAUUAUGUUUUUAUAUUACAAUAAUGCAAGAAAAGUUUAUAACUAGCCUAAAAUAAAAUAUAGUUAAAAUAUUAAACUUACUAGAUUAUUUAUUAAAAUUAAAAAGGAAAAAUAUUUUUGACUUUCUUUUCGUAUUAUUUUUAUUAAAAAAUAAAAUAAAAAUACUUCAAAAAUGUAACUUUAUUUAUUUAUUUUUAAUUAAAACUUAUUACAAAAAUAAAAGCUAAAACAAAUAUUGAAAAAAAAUAUAAAUAUUUAAUGCUAAAACAAAUAGGUUAAAACUCGAGGAGGGUCAAAAAUCAUGUGUCUACACACAGGAUUUGGGGAAGAGCUCCACCUUACCUUACAUUUCUAUCGAAGACUAUUUCCGUGAGGCUUAAACCCGUGACCGAAGAUCACAUGACAGUAACGUUACCAGUUACGUUACUCCAAGGCUCCCCUUCUUAAAGAAAAGAUGUAAUACAAGGACUUCCCAAUAAUGCUAAGGUUGUUCUCUGAAGAGCAUGUUCAAGUAUUUAUUCACAUAAUUUAAUUUAUACUACCAAAAGAAUUAGAUCAGUAUAAACAAUGUAGCCAUCAGGAAAACAAAUCAGAUUUAAAAAUUCAUUUAAUUAAUUAGAUUAAGUAUUCAAUAUAUAUAUAUUCCCUUUGUUAUAAGAAGAUUCAUUUUCUACAAUUAUAUAUACACAUUCCAUUUUGCAUAUGUUCAAAUAGCCUAAAUAUUUAAAUGUGAUGUUCUUUUAAAUUAAUCACAUCAUUUACACGUUGUUCUGUUGCUAAAUAACUCGUAGCUACCAGAAUUCUUUGAUAAUUCGUUGCUAAAUCAUCGUUAAAUAAGCUUACCAAUAAAUUAUUUUGUAUUAUUUAGUGACAAAAAUUGUCCAUUACUUUUUUUAAAAAGUAUAUAUGUUGUAAUCAUGAUGACAAUUAAUUCUCUUUUUUACAAAAAAAAAAAAUCUCGUUUAGUGUCUGAUAUCGCGGUGGAGCUCCAUUAAUUUAAAUUCGUGUCCGAUAAGAAAGAUCUAAUUUCGGAUAUUGCGCUUCCUAUCAAGAAACUUUUUCAUAUCUAAGAUUAUUUUAAAAUGAAUUACUUAAUAUUAUUUAGCAACUGAAGUUAUCCAUCACUAUUUUCUUUUAAGUAUAUGUAAUCAUGAUGAUAAUUAAUCCUCUUUUUUUAAAAAAAAAAAAAAACAUUUCGUAUUUAGUGUCUCAUAUAGUGUUGGAGCUUGAUUAAUUCAAAUUUGUGUCGAGUAAGUAAGAUCUAUUCGACCAAUUCGACCAAGAAUUUUUUAUACUCAAAAUUCAAAAUUAAAAUCGCUGAUUAAAGGAGCAGAAGCUGCAUCCACUACACCGUCCAAUAUUCUUUGGUGGUAUAUAUGAUAAUGAAUCAUACAAUAUCGAAAAACAUAUAUAAUAUUCCCUAGAAAACAAUUGAUAAUAUCCACAUAACUAUGAUUAGAUACCUAAGGGAUUAAUAUUUAAUUACUUCUUUUUUUUUCUUUUGUUUAUAAAGUAUAUCAAAAGGAGAUUGGAAAGAUCAGAUAUAUAUACUUUUAGAAUAAACUUAAUUAAUUAAUUAGUUAAUCAUAUAUAAAUACUCAAAUUUGGGUGACACACAAUGAAUAUUCAUGUUACCCCAAAUGAAUCUUGGUGAUAAGUUACGUGAAACUUAGUUUGAAUGAGAGGGUUUAACGAACGAUGAUUUUUAAUACAUUAGGAUUUUUUUGAAAAAAUCAAUCUAGGUUCGUUUUUGAGUGAUGGUCACCUAAAAUUCAGGGGUAUUUCUGACACUUUUCUGUAUCCUUCCAUCUAAGAUCAUGUUAUCGGCAAACAACAAAUAUAUCAUGUUCUAUUUAAUCACUCUAAUCUUCGACACGUAAAUUAUUAAUUCCUCUAAUGAUGAAUUAAUUAAUUUUUCAUUAGUUUGGAUUAAUGGAUAUUACUAACAAAGGAAUCUAAUUUUUUUUUUUUACCAACAUUUAUACCGGUGUAUCUUUUUCUCUUUUCUUUUUUUAUUUAAUUGAGAAAAUUAAUUUUUGAUGUUACUAAUUGUCACCAUCUCCACAUGAUUAUUCUUAAUUUUAACAUAUAAAUAAUUGAAUUGGGCUUCUUAAUCACAACAAGUGUGAUAAGAAUAGAGUAAUUAUAGGUUUAAUUAGUUGCCAUAGCUAGUCAAUAUUACUGUAUUUUAGUCAAAUUAAAUUAAACAAAGACCCAUGCAUGGAAUAUUUAAUAAUUUGCACCGAAAGUAUAUAUGUAAACAUAAUUCCAAUUUCCAAAAGAGAAUAAAUUCUAUUUCAUUGUUGUAACUUCAUUUUGAAUUGUAUAGUAAAAAUCAACAUAAAAGAUAUUUCAUUCUGUUACAAUUUAUGUGACACUUUUUUUUUCGUAGUUUGUUAAAGGAAAAUGUCAUAAUUAUAUAUUUAGAGUUUUCAUCUUAUACCUCUAAUGCGAUUAUUUAUAGCUAAAAAAUUAUUUUAGAUUAUAUGUUUUUACAAUCUUUCGUUCUUUUUUAAAUAUCGCGUAUUGUUAAGAACGGGAAAUUCCAAUGGAUGUUUCCGUUAAAAAUAUGUGAUCGCCGAAAAAAAAUACUUCGUCGGAAGUGUUCCCGAUAAGCCAUAUAUUUUCUCGACAAUAGUAUUUGUUUAAUAGUGGUGUCUAGAAAAACGAUAUCAUAUAAAUUGAAACAUAAAAAAAUAUUUUAAUUUGCAAAACAUGUGAGAUGACCGUGAAAUUUGGUAGGCCAACCACAGAGGUCGUCGUGGUAGGAUGACAAGUACCCCGUUAUGUUUAAUCAGAAAUCUCUAGUUCGAGCCAUGAGAAUAGAAUUAUGAUUAAGUGCUUCUGUUUAGUGGCGGAGCCAGAAUUUUCACUAAGGGGAUUCAAAAUCCGAAAAGGUAAACAUACAAACUAGUUGCAGGUGGUUCAACAUCUACUAUAUAUAUAAUAACAACAACAACAACGUACCCAGUGUAUUCCCACAAAGUGGGGUCUGGAGGGGGAGUAAAGUGUAUGCUGUCUAAUACUAUGAAGUAGAGAAGUUGUUUCCGAUGGACCCCCGGCUCAAGACAGAUAACAGUACACCAAACAAAAAACAUAAAAGCAAACAACAAAAAGAGAUAUCACACCGCUAGAUAAUAAAGGAGACAAGACACCCACAACCUAAGGUAAUACUAUAAACCAGUUAUUCAAAAAUCAUAGUAUUACCCCCGACCUCAAGGUGACUCCGCCCCUGCUUACCUUCUAAAUAAUGUAAGGACCACUAUUUAACAUUAUCUUUUUUAAUGUGUCCUAUUUAACAUUAUCUUUUUUAAUGUGUCCUAUUUAACAUUAGUUUCGUUAAAUGAUGCCUAUAAAUAGGAUUCCUGUCCAUUAAUUCUCACAAUAAACACAACCAACUACUCUUUUCUAUUAGUAAUCAAAAUACCAACUCUUUACACACAACAAAAAUUAGAAAUUAACCAAAUCUCAAAUUAAUUAAAUGGCAACAAACAAGAAAGUCAUAUCAAAGAUAGGCCAAGAAGCCUUUUCUCUUCUUGAUGAACAACAACAACUCUAUGCAACAAAGGGAAAAAUUAGGCCUCAAAUUCAUUCUUCUUCUUCUUCUUCUAAUGUUGUUGUUACAACAACAAAUAAAAACUACUUUUCUAAUUAUAACCAAUAUCAACCACAAAAAUCUCAUGUUGUUCAAUUCAAACCAAGUGAAGAGAGAGUUAUGAAUAGUUAUGAAGCUAUGAAGUUACAUGGAGGGGUUCUUAUUUGUGAUUAUUACAAAAGAAAACCAAAACCUAUGGCUUAUUAUUAAGCAGAAGCUAGUUCAGAAUCUAGAGUCAGUGAAUUUAGAUUAUGUGUGUGAUCAUAUAUUACCGAUAUGUACACAAAAUGUUUAGUAUGUAGUAGGUUCAACUGAAUACACAUAACCCACUCCAGAGCCGCGUGUUGCUUUCUUUUAGUUUGUCAACACAUCUUUUGUAUAUGUAUGGUCGAUAAGCUAUUUGUAUGAGUAUAAUUAUGGUCUAGUAUAUGAGUGAUGUGAUAUAUUUCACUUUUAAAUGCUAAACUAUGCUCUUCUCUAGUUUUAAAAAGAGGGGCAUAUUUGCAUAUUUUAUUAGCGGUAGGGGUAUAUUUGACCCCAGAAUUUAACGAGAGGCAAAUGAAGCUAAUUUAUGAAAAUAGAGAGGUAUUUUUGACUUUUUCCCCUUUUCAAAAAAUGUAUCAAGUGGAAAUUAAUUUUUAUUUAUUUAGUUCAUCUAGGUAAUUAAAUACCUCAAUUUUCAAUCGAGAAUACCAUUAAUAUAAGUCUUUUUGUAGGGUGCCAACAAAUAAUAUAUAUUAGAUUAAUUCUAAAAUAUAUGUACGUAAAAUACGUAGUCUUGCAGAAAUACCAUGGGUACACACAGGGGCGGAUAUAUAUGUACUCAUGGGGGUGGCACGGCACCUGCAGACCUCGGUUGAGACACUGUAUAUAUCUAUGCAUAUAAUGCAGAAGAACUAAAUAUAUAAUAUACUUGCCACCCCAUGUACAAAGUGGCAGUUAGUUCCACUGACAAUAGGCAGAAAAUAUCACCCGAUAGAUCAGGGAUCGAACCCUGUUAAUAAGCUUUGUAUUUUUGGCUUCUUCCUUUGAUUGCACAAAGGGAAGCUACUCAGCACUUCAGCCCCCACUUUGUUUUUUGUGUCUUUCGCAAGAUGUGUGUCAUUGCUUGCACAAAGGGAAGCUGCUCAGCACUUCAGCCACCCUACUUCGUUUUUUUGUGUCUUUUUCGUUAGAUGUGUAUCAAGGGCUUAGUUGUCUUUUCAUUCCCCUUUUUUAGGUUUUUUUCAUUAAUUUCAUUUACUUGCUAUUUUUAAUUAAUUUAAAUGGGUUAUUUUUCUUUAAUUAAUUCCUACUUUUCUAAAACUUUCUCUUGAUUAAUCUCUUGAUACUAGUGUUUCAAGUAUUUUUGUGCAUUAAUGAGUAUUAAAUCUUAAACGGCACAUAAAUAUUAAUAAGAACAUAUUAAAUUUUUAAAAAAAGUUCAAGUAUAUAAAAUUAUGGAUAUUAUUAUGUUAGAGAUAUUAAAAUUUAAAGUUUUCGAUCGUUUGAACUAAGUGAAGAUGAUUAAGUUGAAGCUAUAAUUUUUAAUUCUUUCAAAUUAUAUAUCUGCAACAACACUCUCAGCAUAUAAAGGUAAUGGAAUAUGGAUAUAUUAAGAUAAUGUAUCAUGUGGUUUAUAUAAAUUUAAAUUUUAACAUGAAAAAUUUCUUUUUCUCUCAAAGCUUUGAAGAAUAAAACCUCUUAUAUCAAAAAAAAUUAAACUACUUAGAAGUUUUUGAUCUCAGAAUAUCUAAAAAAAGAACAUAACUCACUAGACAUAUUUGAUCGAUUUGUUUAUGAAAUAAAAAAAUGAUAAAUAACCCAAAUUGUAACCUAAAAUUAAAAGAAUCGACCCGCAAAUCCUACUUGGACGGCAUGACACCCGGUACCUCAGAAUCCUAGAUCCGCCUCUGGGUACACAUACAUCAUAUAUAAUUAUAUAGUAAACUUGCCCCAAAAUAUAUUUCUAGUUCAAUAUAAAUGACUUAUUGUCACUUUUUAUCAAUGAAAUUCCAUUUUGCAUGUUCAAUAAUUUAUCAAAUAAAUUUAUAUUAAUCUAUAAUUUUUUGCAACUCCUGACUAAUUUUUUUAGUUAAAUUUUUGUUACAAAAAAUCCUCUUUGGUGACUAAAGUCAAUUAGGAUAUUGUCAAAACCAAGAAAAUAUAUAACUGGAAAAGACAAAAGAGAAAAUAAAAUGUCAAAUUAAAAUUCUGAAUAUGGUGCCUUCUGUUUUUGUUAAUUUGCUUCUAAUUUUUUUUUAUUUAAAAAAGACCAUAUUAUACUACAAAAAGAAUUAGAUCAGUAUAAACAAUGUAACCAUCAGGAAAACAUAUCAGAUUUUAAAAUUUAUUUAAUUAAUUAGAUUAAUUAAUAUAUAUAUAUAUAUAUUACUAUCUAUAAUAAGUGCGGAUAAGAAGGCAUGUCUUCGACAUGCCUGUUUGUGUUGUCUGCUUCAGUUGCUUCAAUCGUAAUUUUACUAUAUUACUCCAAAUUAAUUACUGUAGGUUAUUUAAGUAUUAAAAUCUAUAUUACUAUCAAUAAUAAGUGCGUAUAAGCAGUCACGUCUUCGACAUGCCUGCUUGUGCUGUCUGCUUCAGCUGGUUCAAUCGUAAUUUUACUAUAUUACCCUCAAUUAAUUACUAUAGGUUAUUUAAGUAUUAAAAUUUAUAAUAUUUAAUAAAAAAAUAUAGAAUAGACAUAAAAUAAUAAAUUAAUAUUUGAUUUUUUAAAUUAACUUCAUGUCUUAUAUGAGGUCUAUUUAUACCUUUUUUACGAGUAUUAUUUACAGUAAUUUUAAUAUAUCACUUCUAAUUAGUUGUUAUAAGUCAUUUAAGACAUGUCUUCUUGGCUACUUCAAUCGUGAUUUUUUUAUAUCAACCCUAUUUAAUUACUACAGGUUAUUUAAUUAUUAAAAAUUUAUAAUAUUUAAUAAAAAAUAUAAAAUAGACAUAAAAUAAUAAAUUAAUAUUUAUUUUUUUAAAGUAACUUGAAGUCUUAUAUGACACACAUUUAUGCUUUUUCUCACAAGUAUUUUUUAUAGUAAUUUUAUUAUAUUAGUUUUAAUUAGUUGUUAUAAGUCAUUUAAGACAUGUCUUCUUCGCUUCUUCAAUCGUGAUUUUAUUAUAUCACUCCUAAUUAAUUAUUACGGUCACAUUAGAAAAUUAAUAAUAUUUAUAAAUGGACACAAAAUGACAUGUCAAUAUAAAACAUUUGAUUGACUGUCGAAAUUAUAUUGGGAGAAUACUCACAACAAUACCUGAAGGUUGACCGGAUUACCAGUUGAGCAUAUUUGAACUUUGCGGAGGUCCUAUUACACACCUAUACUUUUUUAAGUGGAAUUAAUUCCCCCCCCCCCCCCCCGGACUUUUUUAAAGUGAAUUAAUUCCCCCCAAAAACGUUGUACCCAAUAUCUACGGUAGGAAGUGUAGUACACCGCUGUUUCUUCCCUAUUUUAUCAGUUUUUAACAAUUUUUCACCAUUACAACCAUAUUAAAGAUUCCACAACUCAAAUUUCUCCUACAAAUCAAAUUUCAAAUGAUUUCAUUGAGUCAAUGUCCAUUCUUGUCACUUCAAGAAUGUUCUACAACUUCAAUAAUAUUUGUUUCCAGUUUCAAAUUAGUUCCACAACUUCAAAUUUGUUUCCAGAUUCAAAUUUGUUUCCAGUUCCACAAAUUUGUUUCCACAAUAAUUUCAAUCGAAAAUUAACUUCAAUAAUUGAAGAAAAGUUUUUGAUUGUAGAAGUCAAUUACUACUCCUAAAUAAUUAACUUCAAUAAUGGAGUCUUCAACGAAAGCGUACUACAUUAUUCAAUUUCAAUUCAACAACGGAGCAACCAUUUCAAGUUUCAAUUACGCCAACUCAAUGGAAUCUUCCAUUGAGUUUCAAAUUCCAAGUCCAUUCCAACUCAAAUUUCAAAUUCAAAUUGAAAAUUUUCUUCAAGAACUAUUCAAAUUUGUUCAUACUGAAAAUUGAAAAUUUGAAUUUGAAUUUCAAUUUCAAUUUCAAGAAUGGAAUCUUUAAGAAUUCUAGAUUUGAAUGGAAUGAACAAACUGAAAUAGAAUUCAAUUUCAAUUGAAUGGAAUCUUUCAUUAAUCUUCAAGAAUGAAAAUUGAAAUGGAAUCUUUAAGAAUUCAAAUUCAAUUCAACAAAUGGAGCAACCAUUGUUGAAGAAAAGAAAGAGAGAAGAAAGAAAGAGAGAAGAGAGAAGAAAAAUAAUAAAAAAAAAAAUAAAAAAUAAAAAAUUUUUAAAAAUUAGAAAAUUGAAGGGCUGUUGGGAAAAAAAAAAGGUUUAUAGCAUUUUUUUAACACUUUCACGUGCUCAAUACGCGUGACUUGCACGCAAUGGUGCAAGUGGCAGAUAUAUGUCAUUAAAAUAAGAAAAAGAAACUCUAGGGGGUAAUAGGACCCCCGCAAAGUUCAGUAUGUGCAACUGGUAAUCCAGUUAAACUUCAGAUAUUUUUGUGAGUAUUCUCCCAAAUUAUAUUAGUGCCACAUAGGUUGAAUUUCGAAAUUAUAUCAGUGUCACUUAAAUUGGAAUAGAAGAAAAAGUAUUAUAAAUCACAAUAAAACAUUUGUUUGACUAUUGAAAUUAUAUAGUGCCAUAUAGAUUGAUUUUUGAAAUUAUAUCAGCGUCACUUAAAUUGAAAUAGAAGAAAAAAUAUUAUAAAUCACAAUAAAACAUUUGAUUGACUAUCGAAAUUAUAUUAGUGCCACAUAGGUUGACUUUUGAAAUUAUAUCAGUGUCACUUAAAUUGGAAUAGAAGAAAAAGUAUUAUAAAUCAGAAAAAUUAAAAAUUAAAAUUAUCAAUAAUUAAUUAUCUAAAUUAUAUUCGUGCCACAUAAAUUAAGAUUGGGACCGUUCUUCAACAUAGAUAUAGAUAUAGAUAUAGAUAUAGAUAUAGAUAUAGAUAUAGAUAUAGAUAUAGAUAUAGAUUCCCUUUGUUAUAAGAAAAUUCCUUUUCUACAAUUAUAUAUACACACUCCAUUUUGCAUAUGUUCAUAUAACCUAAAUAUUUAAAUGAGAUGUUCUUAUGCAUUAAUCACAUCAUUUGCACGUUAGUUUGUUGCAAAAUAACUAGUAGCUACCAAAGUUCUUUGAUAAUUCGUCACUAAAUCAUCGUUAAACAAGCUUACCAAUAAAUUAUUUAGUAUUAUUUAGUGACAAAAAUUGUCAAUUAAUUUUUUUAAGUAUAUAAUCAUGAUGAUAAUUAAUCCUUUCUUUUUUAAAAAAAAAAAUCUCACUUAGUGUUCGAUAUUACGUUGGAGCUUCAGUAAUUUGGAUUCGUAUUGAGUAAGUAAGAUUUAUUUGGAGAUAACGCUAUCUAUCAGGAAUUUUUCCAAUAAUUUAAAAAUGAAUUAUUUAAUAUAUUUAGCGAUAGAAGUUGUCUGUCACUAUUUUUUUAGUACUAGUUUGGGUGUACGCGCCUCGAGCGUAUACCUCACUUUAUUGAGUUCAAAUGUUAUACUAAAUAGAAUAUUUGUUUAAAUAAUAAAGAUGAAUACAAUAAUUAAAUUCAACAUUUAAUUAAACCUAACCUUUAUCAAAAAAAAAAUUGUCAAAGUGAUCGACAUUCAUCUAUCACCUGUAAACUGCAACAAAAUAAUACGAUGAACAAACUAACAUAAUUAAGUCUAACCUUUACACAAUAAUUUUCUCAAAGUCGUCUGACACUCAUUUACCACCUGUAAACUAUAACAAAAUAAUACGAUAAUAAUGGAGAUAUCAAAAUAUAUAAUACAACUAAACCGUACCUUUACACAAAAAAAUUUCUCAAAACAGAGAUAUAAAAACAAUACAAUUAAACCUGACCUUUACCUAAAAAAUUCCUCAAAGUCGACCGACAUUUAUCUAUCACCUGUAAAUUCAUCCUGUAAAUUACAACAAAAUAAUACAAUAGUGAUCACAAAACUUUAAUUUUGAUAAAAAUAAUUCUUAUCUGAGCCAAAAUUUUGAUCCUGAAGAAUAACUUGAAUGAAAAUAAAGAAGAUAUAUAUAUAUAUAUAUAUAGAUUCUUGACAAAACGGUGAAGAAGUUGAGGAUUAAAAAAUUAAGUAUCCACCAAUCUAGACAUGCAACUGAAUCAAGUUAGAUGGGCAUCAGUCAUAUUUUUUCAGUAACUAAACCGAUUUCUUCUCUAGUUUAACAUAUAUUUCAAUAUUUAUAGAAGUAUUUUCUUAAUAGAGUCCUAUUUUAGGAGUAUUUUUCUAUCCUAUUUUAUGAGUAUUUUUCUAAUAUAUUAUAGAUAAGAUUAGUUUUUUUUCCUGGGUUGAAUAUGAACAUGUAUUUUAUAAUUUAGUUAGAAUAGGAUUUUGAUUUCUGUAUAUAUAAAAGAAAAAUUAAAUUAUUUAAAUUACCUUCACACAAAUUAUACUCUUCAAACGAUUUUGUAUCUAAUACGCUAAUACACUUUUUUUUUUUUUUUACUUUUCACGAUUUUUUUCCACCUUGAGAUUUUUCGUUAGAACACCUUUUUUUUUCUUUUUUACACGCUAAUUUAGAAAUACAUAUUGAUUUAUUGGUUUUGUAUAGGAUUUUGUUUGUUCAAAUUUAGUUAGAAUAGGAUAUUGAUUGUGCAUUUGUAUUGUCGGUCAAAUUUAUAUUGAUUUAUUGGAUUUGUAAUUUAAAUAGAAUAUGCGAAAAGAGAAUUUUAUAGACUUUUAAUAAAGGAUAAAAAGUUCAAACGUGAUUUAUAAGGUCAUUCACACUUUUAAUAUAAUAGAGAUAGAGAUAGAGAUAUGUAAUCAAGGUGAUAAGUAAUUCUUUUUUAAAAGAAAAUCUCAUUUAGUGUCAGAUAUUGCGUUUAAGCUCGAUUAAUUCAAAUUCAUGUCGAGUAAAUAAGAUCUAUUCGGACGUAGCACUCUCGAUCAAGAAAUUUUUAUACUCAAGACUCAAAACGAGACAUUUGAUUAAAGAGGCAUAUUCAGCCGUAUCCGUUACACCGCCCAAUAUUCUUUGGUGGUAUACAUGAUAAUUAAUUCUACAAUAUUGAAAAACAUAAUAUUCCCUAGAAAACAAUUAAUAAUAUCCUCAUAUCUACUCCAUGAUUAGAUACCAAAUGGAUUAAUAUUUAAUUACUUCUUUUUUUUUCUUUUGCUUAUAAAGUAUAUGAAAAGGAGAUCGGAAAGAUCAUAUAUACUUUUAGAAUAAACUUAAUUAAUUAGUUAGUUAAACAGAUGCUUAAUUCCUCUAAUGAUGAAUUGAUUUAUAUUUAGUUUGGAUUGGAGUAAUAUUUACUAAUAUAUAUAUAUAUAUAUGAAGCUAAGUAGGAAUCUAAUUCACAUUAACAUACCAUGUAUUUUUGAGUGAUAGUCACCUAAAAUUCAGGGAUAUUUUUAACCUUUUUUCGUAUCUAUAUCAUUUCAUCUAAGAUCAUGUUCCCUCGAAUCACUUCAAUCUUCGACUCUAAAACUGCUACUCAACGACACAGAGAUAAAGAAUAAAAUACUUACUAUUUUUUCUAUCUCAAAUGUUACUUGCUUAUAUUGGUAAGUAAAUUUAUUUUAAAACAAAUGUCGUUUUAGAAAAAUAACGAAGUACUUAAUUUACUUUUCUUUCAAAUCUACAUUGUAAUUCUAAUUAGCAGUGUGUUAGUCAAAACCAAGAUAUUUAAAGAGAUUGAAGGAUAAUUUUCACAAAUAGUUCUAGAUAUUUUUCUCGAAAACAUAUUAUAUGGAAAUAAAUAAUUAGUAAAUAAGCUUAAGAUCUUGAAUUGCCUCCAUGUUAGCAAGCACGAAUACACAAUUUAUUAUGAAAAAUAGCACUAAAUAAUCAUUUUUCAUUCCAAUAUUUAAGAAAAUAGUUUUCAUUUUAGAAUUUCAAUUUUUACAAGUGAAACGCAUUAUGUGUCUGAAAAUGUAUACAUAUAACAAAUUGUGAAUCUAACGUAAAUAAAAUGAGAGAUUUAUUUAUUGUUAAGUGAAAAAUCAUGAACUCGUAAAGCAUUAAAUUGCAAAUCUAUGUAUUUUUACUCCAAGAGGGUUCUUAUUACUACUUAUUAUCCUUAAUAAUUUGUUAUAGUUGAAAAUGUUGAGAUAACAACAAAACAACGUAAGCCACAGAAUUCGAAUAACAUUUUUAUUUAAUUGCAAAUUAUUAUUAUCACUUAUCAGUGAAUAAAGUGAUUAUAGAUGACGUGUUAAGAUGAUGUCACAUGCAAUCCCCUUUGUUACGUUAUAUAAUUCACCCUUUAUUUGGCAUAUUUUUGAUUUAUCACGAUAUUUAAGUAAAAGAAUAAAGAUUUUUAAAAUUUAUGAUUUAAAAUAAUUUUUAAAUAUUUGUGUGAUUGUAAAUUACUUUCCUUAAAAAUAAAAGGAGAAUUUGAAAGUUAACUUUUUUCUAAUUAUAGUAACGUGACACUCUUUUGGAGAUGGAUUACUAACAAAGAAAGCUAAGAAGGAAUCUAAUUCUUUUUUUUUUAACCAACAUACCGGUGUAUCUUUUUCUCUUUUCUUUUUUAUUUAAUUGAGAAAAUAAAUUAAUGUUACUAAUUGUCACCAUCUCCACAUGAUUGUUCUUAAUUUUAAGAUAUAAAUAAUUGAAUUAGGCUUCCUAAUCACAACAAGUGUGAUAAGAAUAAAGUAAUUAUAGGUUUAAUUAGUUGCCAUAGCUAGUCAAUAUGACUGUACUUUAGUCAAAUUAAAUUAAACAAAGACCCAUAUUGCAUGGAAUAUUUAAUAAUUUGCACCGAAGUAUAUAUGUAAACAUAAUUCCAAUUCCCAAAAGAGAAAAAAUUCUAUGUCAUUGUUUUAACUUCAUUUUUAAUUGUAUAGUAAAAAUCAACAUAAAAGAUAUAUCUUCUGUUAUAAUUUAUAAUUUAUGUGACAUUUUUUUUUCGUAGUUUGUUAAAAAAAAAUGUCACAUUUAUAUAUUUAGAGUAUUCAUAUUAUACCUCUAAUGCGAUUAUUUAUAGCUAAAAAAUUAUUUAAGAUCAACUUGUUUUAGAUUAUAAGUUUUUAAAAUCUUUCGUUCUUCUUUAAAUAUAACGAUAAGCCAAAUUUUCUCAAAAAUAGUAUUUAUUUGACUGUGAUAUCUAGUCAAAUAAUAUAUAUCACAUAAAUUGAAACAUAAAAUAAAAAUUAAUUUGCAAAAAUUUAUGACAGAUGAUCGUGAAAUUUGGUAGGCCAACCACAGAGGUCAUCGUGGUAGGAUGACAAGUACCCCCGUCAUAUUUAAUCAGAAUCUCUAUAUAUACAAUAACAACAACCUUCAGUGCUUACCUUCAGUGGCAGAGCUAGAAUUUUCACUAACGAGUUCAAAAUUUGAAAAAGUAAGCAUUCAAACUAGCUGGAGGUGGUUCAACAUCUACUAUAUAUACAAUAACAACAACAUACCCAGUGUGUUUCCAUAAAGUGGGGUCUGGGGAUGGGGGUGGGGGUGGGAGGUAAAAUGUAACACAGUACCACUACCUCAUAUAAAGCAGAGAGAUUAUUUCCGAUAGACCCUCGGCUCAGUACAGAUAACAGUAUAACAAACAAAAAAACAAACAACAAACAGGGAUAAAACACCGCUAGAUAAUAAAAGAAACAAAACACCCACAAGAUUAUACUAUAAACCAGCUAUUCAAAAAUCAUAGUAGUAUUAUCCCCUGACCUAAAGGUGGCUCCGCCCCUACUUACUCCCUAAAUUGAGACUUUUCACCCCAAAAUCUAGAUUUAUCGAACCCUCAAAAAAAUACCGAACAACAUAGGAAAAAAAAAAAAGAAAUGUUGGCAAGGCAAGGACCAUUUAACAUUAUCUUUUUUGAAGUUUCCUCCUGUCACACCCUUUCUUAACUCCGAAAGAUUUGAUUUAGGUUUCGAAAGGGUUUUUAUUAUUAAUGUGACAAAGAUGAAAAUUUAUUUCGAAAAGGACUUUUAACAAUCAAAACUCAGAGUCGCCACUUGGCAUAAAUCGGGUGUGCUAAGUCACCCAUGGAUAUCCUUUUUCAAAAUGGUUUUGACUCUUUAAUAUUGGUUUGUGAACAGAGAUUCCAGCUAAGGAAUUCUGUUGACCGAGGGGAAGGUGUUAGGCACCCCUCGAUCCCGUGGUUUGACCACGGUCGCUUGGCAGAGCGUAUCGGCUAAAUUGACAUUACAAAUGCAUAAACCACACAAAGCACGCAAAAACAAUCACUCAAGCAAACAAAAACAAAAUAAUCCAAAAUAUAAUAUCCAGUCCAAUUAUACAGUCCAAAAAUAAAAUGCGUAAAAAUAAAUCUUACUCUAAAUUAAUUCUAGACUAAUACUCUACCCGACGCCUCGGGCCUUCAUCACAAAUGUCUUCUGCCAACAUAGUACGUCGGGGCAUUCCCCGGUGAAUAAAUACAAUAUGCCUCAGGGCAUUCCCUGGCUAAAUUAGUACAUUUUUUUUAUUAAAUACGAUAAACUAGAAAGAAACAUUCAUACGCACAUUCCAACAUUCCACCAUGUUUCAAACAUCAUUCCUAAAUUUGCCUACCCGAACCUAAACAUCUAUUUCCUAUCCAAUUCAACCUACCAUGAUACUAUCACUGUUCGACAUCAACAACAAAUCAAAAUUACUAUAAUAUUUACUCUUUCAAUUUAUGAUCCCCACCCCCAAAUUCCUUUUCGAUACAAAUCCAAAUUCAUAUUAUCAUCACCUUUAUACCACUGAGAUCAAUUACUCAAAAGCAAAAAUAUAUAUAUAUAUCGAACAUCACCCAAAUCAACCAACAAAUCGCACAAGACAUUGAAUCACACCCAUAAUCAUAUCGAAAUUAAAAUAAAGGGAGAAAGGAGAGAAUUGGACCUUAAGUGAAUCUUUCAAAUUCAAAUAAGAGAAAUAGGAGCCCAUCCAAGAACCUCGAAAAACCCCAACGAGAUCUCAAUCCUCCGAAUUAGCCGGGUAACAGUCCAAGAAUGCAAAUAACUCCAAUUUCUACUUUCCGGAUCAGUCAAGAAACAGCCAGCAAAUCAAUGACCAAAUUUCGAUUUGAACAAAAUAGAUAUAAGAAUAGAAUCAAUGAACGACCGAGCCCAAAUACCGAAGUCUAGCUCGCACAAAAUAAAACCCGCGUGGACCAAUGAGUACCAGGACUAGAAUUUUAGAAGAAAGAAAAUAAUAGAAACCCACGAUACCGAAGCUCCGAUGAGCUUGGCGGCAAGACGAUGGAACAGGGAUUGGAUUCCAAGAAACCCAGUACUUUCCGGCUAUAUUUCUCCCCAAAAUCGAGGAAAAACAAGACCCGCACCCCUAAUUCUUGCUGGAUUCAGUUUGAAAUUUGUCAAAAUCGACCCAAAUAAGCUGGAAUCGACCCGAACAAGCUUGUUUCAGGCUGAUUCGAUCAGCAAGUUCUAGUUCUUGGUGACGAGUGACCAGAAAACUUGAUUUUCAGUCAAAAUAUUCUCUUUCAAACUCCCGAUCUCAAUCUCACUCUUCGCGACUCUCUCUCUCAACUUCAGCUUGUAUCUCCUCUCCGAAACUCCAUCUCCCUUGAACUCUAUCAUGUGUGUGCGUAUGGUGAGGUUAGUGAAAAAAAAAAUCCUGAGAGUGUAUUGUGUAUGUGUAUAUAUGCCCCCAAAAUGGAGUGUGAUCCCUGUAUGUAUAAAAAAAUGAAAAACAAAAGGGUUCUUGGCACCUUCCUGGAAGGUUCCCUCGUGGGACCCCCUUUUUAGUGUAUGUUUAUCCUUUUUGCCUUUGUGGACAAGAAAUGGAGGGGUGGUGAGGUGUUGCCAUUUGAUAGGGUAGGUUGUUGGUUUGUUAUUUUUGUCUUUUUGCAGUGAAAUUAUCAUACGGAUGAGGAUACACGGUAGAAUAAGGUAAAUAGGCAAAAAAUAUCUUUCGGAGGAACAAAAUUACGUGUCUACAUCAUGCCCUCUUUAAAUGUAAACGCGCAGUGUUUUCAGACAAAGAAGUAGACAAUGAGACAGAAUUUUGUCUCAACUCUUAUUCAAAAAUGAAACAAAAAGAAGGAGGAAAACUAAGUAUUGAUUUAGGACAUCCUACCUACCCAAGUUAUGAAGGAAUCACAUGACGGGUAUCUCAAAGAAUUGAAAAGAGAUGGACUAUACCGAGUUGGAGAGUCGAGUGAGGUUCCAUCGAGGUUCUGGUCCGCGGCUCUGUCAUUACAUCAAAAUGAAAAUUAUAAGUUAAAACAUAAAUGAAAUUACAAAAUCCUAUCUAUGCAGUUUUCCUUGACUCUUGAUUCGAUUUUUAUCACCCUAUUCUUCAGGUGGACUCCUGACUUGCAAUUCCCUCAACUUGUUGUUUGGCUUUCAAUUGCUUCGCCUUAUUGCUUGACUUUCAAUUGUUUCACCCUGUUCUCCAGGCGGGCUCCUGACUUGCUAUUUUUGACUUCCAAUUUCUUUGCCUUAUUGCUUCACUUUUAGCUUCUUCAUCCUGUUCCUUUGAUGGGUUCCUAACUUGUAAUUUCAUCACCCUGUUCUUCAGAUGGGCUCCUGAAACCAGAAUUAAAACUAGAACGAAAAUUAUCCCAAACAAAAAUUAUAGUGAAGCAGUAUUUCAUUUUUGAAAGUGUAGUCCCAUUUUUCAAAAGGGUCCUGAACAGAAAGUAAAAUCCCAUUUUUCAGGAGGGUCCUGCACUGAAAGUAAAUUCCCAUUUUUCAGGAGGGUCCUGAACAGAAAGUAAAAUCCCAUUUUUCAGGAGGAAAAAAAAAAAAGUAAAUUCCCAUUUUUAGGAGGGUCCUGAACAGAAAGUAAAAUCCCAUUUUUCAGGAUAGUCCUGAACAGAACGUAAAAUCCCAUUUUUCAGGAGGGUCCUGAAUAGAAAGUAAAAUCCCAUUUUUCAAGAGGGUCCUGAACAGAAAGUAAAGUCCCAUUUUUCAGGAGGUUCCUGAGCAGAAAGUAAAGUUCCAUUUUUAAGGAGGGUCCUGAGUAGAAAGUAAAAUCCCACGGAUGUGCAUUUCCAAUGGUAGCUGAAUUAAGUGAAGCGAAUUUGCCCCUAUUUCAACAAAUAAAAUUUGUCAGUUAAAAACUUAGUGGUGGCUUGCAGCUCUUGGCUUCUCAGGUAUCUGCCCCAGCACUCCUUCCUUUCAUCUUUGUUCCAAAUUGCUGACACUUGCCCUGUCUUGCCGCAUCAUUGACCCUGAUCCAGAUUGAGGGAAAUGAGUUCUGACUCAAACAAUGGGUUUGCAUUUUACCAUGCCUCUGAGGUGCACUCUUUUCCCAAAUCUGACGAAUCCAACAGCCUGUCGGUUGAUAGACUCCCUUUGUUUCGUCUUGAAUUACGAUCAUAUUUCUUUUAUAUACUGGUCCUUGGCUUUUCCUCAUAUAAUUGGAAAGACUGGUAAUAAAUUUUGAAAUCCUUUCUCGCUUGUUUUGACACAGACUUGACUUAAAAUGUAAAGAGAUGAUGGUGACUUUUAUUUUGAUAAAUGACAUAUAAAGGACAAAAAGCAUGAAUAUGUAAAUGAAAGAAAAGGGCAAUGUCCCAUAUUCAAAAAGAAAACUUAUCUGAAUACGACAACCAACUCCAAUGAGUAUGACAUGCAUUUUGGAUUAAGCUGCCUGAUCUUCCUAUCCAAACUCCCUAUUUUCUGUUGAGUUCGUGCCUUUGCCACUGAGCUACUUCUUCGAAUCCAUUGGAAUCAUACAUCACAUUCAAUUGACGACAUCUUAAAGGACUUUCGCCAACAAAUCUCUUUCUUUUCACUUUUCACUUUUCUCUUGAACUCACCAUCGCCUUACGGUGCCCGUGAGGGUUUUCACCAAUAAGACUCUCUCAUUUUUAUUUCUCUCCACUCACCAUCGCCUUAUGGUGCCUGCGAGGGUUUUCACUAAUAAGACUCUCUCAUUUUUAUUUCUCUCAACUCACCAUCGCCUUAUGAUGCCCGCAGAGGUUUUUACCAAUAAGACUUUCUCAUUUUGUAUUUCUUUCAUUAUUUCUUAUGCUGAGGGAGACAAGUGAUACCUCACAAUGUAUCAUCAUAUGCAUUGCAUGCUUAGCCUUAACAUUAUCAAAAAUUGAUCUGAAGGACUUUCUUUGGUUGUAACUCAGCUUUCGGAUAAGGUUAGAAAAGGAUGGCAAGAGGUUCAUACGACACUUGAAAUGGGGGUGGGACUUACAACUUUUGGAAUCGACUCAAACAACACAUUAACUCAUGCCCUAGUUUUUGUUGACUGGGUGACUCUAAAAUCUUUAUUUGGUUGGACCGAGCCCAAAAUAGGGCAACCUACGUAUCUCACUCUCAAGAAAAGAGAAUCAGGUCGCACGAAGUUCCAUAAGCUUGUUCUUUGUUUUGAUUUGAUUUUUUUUUUCGAACUCUUUCUUUUAUUCUUAUUUUCUUGACAUUUAUCUUUGACUCUAUUUUGAUUCCAAAAGAGGAAUAUGAAAGAAAAAAUAAAACGAAGCUCAAACGGGUAAACAAAGGAUGACAUAAUGUUUGGAUAGAAGAAUAAAAUGCCUUCAUCAUAUCAAUCUUAAAAAAAGAAAGUACUAAACAUGCAAUAAAAUCAACAAAGGAUAAAAUAUCAUACAUAAUAUCUUUUGACCGCAUCAGCAUUGAUAGCCAUUUCUGCCAUUUUGCCUUCAAUAUCUGUCAAAUAUAAGGCUCCAUUGGGCAACACUUUCUUCACAACGAAGGGACCUUGCCAGUUAGGGAAGAACUUGCCUUUUGCUUCAACCUGGUGAGGAAGGAUACACUUCAAUACCAACUGACCAACUUCAAAAUUCUGGGGACGGACCUUUUUGUUAUACGCUCGAGCCAUCCUCCUCUGAUACAACUGGCCAUGACACACAAACGUUAGCCUUUUUUCCUCACUCAAACUCAAAUGUGCCAGUCGGGUUUUGACCCAUUCAUCAUUAUCAAUCUCUGCUUCUACAAUGACUCGAAGAAAGGGAAUUUCAACUUCUGUAGGGAUGACUGCUUCUGUCCCAUACACCAAUAAAUAUGAAGUUGCCCCUGUUGAAGUGCGAACAGUGGUACGAUAACCUAGCAAUGCAAACGGCAACUUUUCAUGCCACUGUCUAGAACCUUGUAUCAUUUUUUGCAGUAUCUUUUUUAUAUUCUUAUUGGCGACUUCUACAGCACCAUUGGCCUUUGGGCGAUAUGGAGUAGAAUUUUGAUGUGCGAUCUUAAACUGUUGACACACUUCUUGCAUCAAAUGACUAUUGAGAUUGGCAGCAUUGUCUGUAAUGAUCAUCUUAGGAAUUCCAAAUCUACAAAUGAUAUUGGCAUGAACAAAAUCUAUCAUAGCCUUCUUUGUCACUGACUUGAAAGUUACUGCUUCUACCCACUUUGUGAAGUAAUCAAUGGCUACCAAAAUGAAUCUAUAUCCAUUUGAUGCCUUCGGCUCAAUCGGUCCAAUCACUUCCAUUCCCCAAGCUAUAAAUGGCCAUGGAGCGGCCAUUGCAUACAACUCAGCAGGAGGGGAACGUAUCAGAUCACCAUGUACCUGACAUUGAUAACACUUUCAAACAAAUCGAAUAGAAUCCCUCUCCAUAGUAAGCUAGUAAUAACCUGCUCGAAGAAUCUUCUUUGAUAAGACAUGACCUUUCAUAUGCGGCCCACAUACUCCAGAGUGUAUUUCAACCAUGAUUGUCGAGGCUUCUCUUGCAUCUACAUACCUCAAAAGUCCCAGAUCUGGGGUUAUCUUAUAAGAUCCCCCCACUUAAGAAAAAUCCGCUAGCCAAACGCCUAAUAGUCCUCUUUUGAUCAUUGGUGGCAUAUGUUGGGUAUUCCCCUGACUGAAUGUAUCGCUUUAUAUCCAAGAACCAGGAUUCUCCAUCGAUCUCUUCUUCAACCGCAUUACAAUAAGCAUGCUGAUCACAACUCUGUAUAUGCACAGGAUCGAUGUAGGCUUUAUCAGGAUAUUGGAGCAUUGAAGACAGAGUGGCUAAAGCAUCAGCAAUUUCAUUAUGAAUCCUUGGAAUAUGCCUAAAUUUUACUAACACAAACCAUUGACAUAACUCCUGCAAGCAUUGUCGAUACGGGAUGAGCUUCAAAUCUCGCGUCUCCCAAUCUCCUUGAAUUUGAUGGACGAGCAAAUCUGAAUACCCCAACACCAAUAAUUCCUGGACUCUCAUAUCAACAGCUAACAUCAAACCAAGAAUGCAAGCUUCAUACUCUGCCAUUCUUCAGUCCAUUUUACCACAGCACUCUUUUUCAACAACUUGAAUAUGGGCUCACAAGUGGUUGUGAGUUGAGCAAUAAACCUGCUAAUGUAGUUCAGUCUACCAAGUAAACUCAUCANNNNNNNNNNNNNNNNNNNNNNNNNNNNNNNNNNNNNNNNNNNNNNNNNNNNNNNNNNNNNNNNNNNNNNNNNNNNNNNNNNNNNNNNNNNNNNNNNNNNNNNNNNNNNNNNNNNNNNNNNNNNNNNNNNNNNNNNNNNNNNNNNNNNNNNNNNNNNNNNNNNNNNNNNNNNNNNNNNNNNNNNNNNNNNNNNNNNNNNNNNNNNNNNNNNNNNNNNNNNNNNNNNNNNNNNNNNNNNNNNNNNNNNNNNNNNNNNNNNNNNNNNNNNNNNNNNNNNNNNNNNNNNNNNNNNNNNNNNNNNNNNNNNNNNNNNNNNNNNNNNNNNNNNNNNNNNNNNNNNNNNNNNNNNNNNNNNNNNNNNNNNNNNNNNNNNNNNNNNNNNNNNNNNNNNNNNNNNNNNNNNNNNNNNNNNNNNNNNNNNNNNNNNNNNNNNNNNNNNNNNNNNNNNNNNNNNNNNNNNNNNNNNNNNNNNNNNNNNNNNNNNNNNNNNNNNNNNNNNNNNNNNNNNNNNNNNNNNNNNNNNNNNNNNNNNNNNNNNNNNNNNNNNNNNNNNNNNNNNNNNNNNNNNNNNNNNNNNNNNNNNNNNNNNNNNNNNNNNNNNNNNNNNNNNNNNNNNNNNNNNNNNNNNNNNNNNNNNNNNNNNNNNNNNNNNNNNNNNNNNNNNNNNNNNNNNNNNNNNNNNNNNNNNNNNNNNNNNNNNNNNNNNNNNNNNNNNNNNNNNNNNNNNNNNNNNNNNNNNNNNNNNNNNNNNNNNNNNNNNNNNNNNNNNNNNNNNNNNNNNNNNNNNNNNNNNNNNNNNNNNNNNNNNNNNNNNNNNNNNNNNNNNNNNNNNNNNNNNNNNNNNNNNNNNNNNNNNNNNNNNNNNNNNNNNNNNNNNNNNNNNNNNNNNNNNNNNNNNNNNNNNNNNNNNNNNNNNNNNNNNNNNNNNNNNNNNNNNNNNNNNNNNNNNNNNNNNNNNNNNNNNNNNNNNNNNNNNNNNNNNNNNNNNNNNNNNNNNNNNNNNNNNNNNNNNNNNNNNNNNNNNNNNNNNNNNNNNNNNNNNNNNNNNNNNNNNNNNNNNNNNNNNNNNNNNNNNNNNNNNNNNNNNNNNNNNNNNNNNNNNNNNNNNNNNNNNNNNNNNNNNNNNNNNNNNNNNNNNNNNNNNNNNNNNNNNNNNNNNNNNNNNNNNNAAAAUAUAUUAGACACAAAACAAAAGGGACGUUGCAUUUCAUUAAAUAAAAAGAUAGAAGGGUUUAAGCAUAGAUGCCAACAUAACAUAAACAAACUAAGAUCCGAAUUACAACCAUAAAAUAACUCGGAUAAACACAAAGAAAAAUAAAAUAAACUACCAAAACUUCCUCCUGACGGGGAGAGGAGUGACUUCCCAAUUAUUAAGUCGGACAGCUGGACCUAUGAAUUACACGUCUGUCAUACUGGUACCUUCUCCUGCUUCAACCAUAUCAACUUCAAUAAAAAGGUUCUGGCAGUUAUCAACCAAUUCAACUUCAAAUUCCACAUGUUUCGUGACACCGCUCUUAACAAAUGAUUCACUGAGUAGUGGCAUUGGGCGAGGGAGUGACCAUGUUUCCUUUUUCAUUCCCUUGGCUUUCCUUAGAUCUUCAGCCGUAGGCUCAAAUCCCAGACCAAACAUGCCCACGUUCUCACUCGGAUAUAUGGGAUGAACUAUACCGUGCAGAGACGUUCCCAAACCCUUUCCUGGCUCAAAUCCAUAUUUCUAAAGUUCACUCACCAUCAUGAUAGAAGCGGAAGACAAUUGCGGUCCCAGUAUAACCUGCCAUUCAAGGAUAACAUUCACAGGCACUGUAUAAAAAAUUUGAUAGACAAAUAUCUCCUCUACGUUAUUUUCUUCAAUAAGUGACAAGGGAGAAUCUUCGCAGGCGGACAAAUCCCCUUCACCGUAAAUAACCACUUCUUGCCUGUCAUGCUCAAACUUAAUCAUUUAGUGCAGUGUAGAUGCAACCGCCUUGGCCUUGUGGAUCCACGGCCUUCCCAACAACAGAUUGUAAAAUGAGUCUAUAUUCAAUACUUGAAACUCUAUGACGAAUUCAACAGGCCCUAUGAUCAACAUUAGUUCUAUUUCGCCAAUGGAGUUUGAUUUUGCACCAUCAAAAGCCCUGACACAUACAUUGUUGGGCCUGAUCCUCUCAGCACUAAUAUUCAACUUUUUCAAAGUAGAAAUAGGGCAGAUAUUUGCACCUGAACCUCUGUCCAUCAUAACAUGAGUGACGUAGAAAUCUUCGCACUUCACUGUAAUGUAAAGGCCCCGGUUAUGCCCUUUACCUUCAACAGGAAAUUCAUCGUCGGAAAAGCUAAUCCGAUUGACCUCAAAGAUUUUUCCGACUAUUUUCUCAAGCUGAUUUAUUGUAAUCUCCCUAGGAACAUAUGCUUCAUUUAAUACCUUCAGUAAAAUAUCACGAUACUCCUUGGAGUGCAACAACAAAGAUAAGAGGAAAAUUUAAGCAGGGGUUUUCUUCAACUGGUCUAUUAUUGAAUACUUUGGCAAUUUAUCUUUUUCAAAAAUUCUUCGGGUUCUUCUUCGGUGAUAGGCUUUUUGAUAGAUGACGGUCCACUCACAAUUGGCUUGGACUUUCUUAAACUUUCAGGCACGAAGCAUCUUCCUGACCUAGUCAAACCCCCUACCUCAUCUACAUUUUCCACUACUUCUUUCCCGUGAUAGGUCAUCACAGUCCGCCCAAAAUUCCAGGGAACCCUUUUCGUAUCAACUAUCAGGGGUUGGGUCAUCGAUUUGAGGAUAAUAGGUGCUGCCAGUGCUCCUUUCACCAUCAAGAUGGGCUUACUCGAAGCUCCUACCACUGUCAACGUAGGUUUAUCCUAACUUAAAUCAACAUACCUUCUGGCACCUUACACCGUGAUCAGGGGUUUCUUUGUGCUUUCUUGGGUUUUAUCUUCUCUCAUUCCUUCCUGGCUCAAUGAUAUUGCUUUUAAAAACUCUGCUACAUUCAUCGAUUUCUCCUCAAUGGUCUGUAUCUUGACAAUAGGCUUAUAACUCCUCGAAGACUCCUUCCCAUUCCCGUCAUAUAUCAAUUCUAACAUAUUGGUUUCAGCAUGGGUUGGCAGCAAAUUCUGGUAAAUGUUUGGACCCUCUGGGGCCUGGACCAUCAUCUGAUUUGUGUCAAUUAAAUCUUGGACAGCUCUCUUUAAAUGCCAGUAUUUCUUGAUAUCAUGGCCUGGUAUGUCAAAAUAGUACGCACACCUUAAAGAAUAAUCAAGAUUCCUCGGUGGUGGAUUUGAAAGUCUUCCUUGAAUUGGGCUUAAGACCUUCAACUUUCUCAACCUAUCAAACAAGCUAGCAUAUGACACCCCAAGAAGUGUGAAUUGAUUUUUGACCGCCUUUUCUUUCUUAUACUCGAACCUAGUUUGAAAACCGGGUCUAGAGGGGUUUUGGUAAUUCGAUGAAGCGGGUGGGAGAUUUUGUGGAACCUGCGUUCCAUUGCGGGUAAAAAGGGGUUUGGGCAUAUGGCUGCGCGCUAUAUACUGGGUACGGAGGUGGUGGAAUAGAAUAUAAAGGGUUUUAUGGAGGGUAGUAAUGGUGGGGAGGAAUAUAUGGAGCUUGGGCGUAGACUUGGGAUUGGGAUUGGGGAUAGGGGCGAGUUGUCUUUUAGGAUAGGAAUGGGUUCCAGCUACGACAGUCGUCACGUCCUCUUUCUUCUUUUUACCUCCGAAUGUGCCAGAUCCACCUUGAAUCGCUUGUGUGGUGGCUUUCAAUGCGGCAAAACUCACUAUUCGGCCAGUCUUGAUUCCGUCCUCUAUCAUCUCUAUCAUUUUGAGGACUUCAAUAAAAGACUUUCCCAUUGCCGGAAGUAAAUGUUGAAAAUAGGUCUCAUCCUGUGCUUGAAUGGAAACCUCUACCAACUUACUUUCUUUCAUUGGAGGCUUUACCCUGGCGGCCUGUUUAUGUCACCUUAUCGCAUAUUCCCUAAAACCUUCAGUGCUUUUCUUCUUUAUGUUGACCAAGGAUUUUUCGUCUGGAAUCAGGUCGAUGUUAUACUGAAAAUGUUGCACAAACUCAGAAGCUAAGUCAUCCCAGUUGUUCCACUUGUCAAUAUCUUGAUUGAUAAACCACUCUGAAGCCAGAUCAGAAAGACUCUCGCCAAAGAAAGCCAUGAGCAGCUCUUCCCUGCCUCCUGCAACUCUCAAUUGGUUGCAAUAACGUCUCAAGUAUGCCACGGGAUCAACGUGCCCUACAUACUUCUCGAACUUGGGCAUUUUAAAACCGAGGGAAAGGUUGAUGUCUGGGAACAUGCAAAGAUCUUUAUAGGAAACACUCUUAUAACCUCCUAUUCCCUACAAAUUUCUCAUGGCCUGUUCUAAACUUUUCAACUUCCGUGCUAUGACUUCCUGUUCCUCUGUUGCGACAGGUUUCUUCGUAUCAAAUGAAAAUGCAGGUGGCUGAGUGUACCCAUACAGUUCAUUCUCAAAGUAGGCUCCGGGGCAUACUACUGACUAUCUGGAACCUUCAAUACUGGCUCAUUGGCAGACCUAGGAAGCCCCAUUAUCGGACGCACAGCAUAUGUGGAGCUUCAGGUGGUGGCGGAGCCAAUAAAAUACCGGUGUGAUUGGUGGCACUGGCUGAGCAGCGGGUCUUGAUUGGGGAGCUUCCAAGGGCACACCAGAACUGCUAGGAUAAUAAUGUCGCGGAGUGAAUCCUGGCGCGUGCUCAGGUGACUCAGUAGGAGCAAAGAAUUGCGCCUGAGAGAGUGGUGGGCAAUUAGAUAUAUUCCCAAGACCUUCAGGGAGCAGAGGAGGAGGCAUUUCGCUGGCCCAUGCCCGGUGCAAACUAUCAAUUGUUGUCUGAGCCUUACUACCUCAUCAUUGUGUUCUGAACUUUCUUCCCUGUGAUCCUGAUAAUAAGAGAAUUUUCAAUCUCCCUACUAGCCAUGGCGAGCUUUGCUUUGGAUCUAGUGAAGUAUGGGUGACUAGCCAGAGUGCUGCAAACCUACCACUGUUAUCUCAAAGAACAUGCUCAUCAAAGACGACAUCCGUUAGGAUUAGGGCACACAACAAGCAUGGGAAUCACAUUGGAAAAAUUAUCCUAAAUUCAUGUUCAUUUCUACCAGCUUUUGAGGGUAGCGAGGUCAUUUCACAUCAUCCCAAUUUUUAUAUGCACUUAUUUUUAUCUACACUUAUUAUUAUUAUUAUUAUUAUUAUUACUCGCUCUCCUUUCCGUCUCUCUUCUUUUUUUUCGUAUCAAUCUCUGUUCUUUCCCUUUAUUGUCUCAUCAUCAUUUCUUUCUUUUCUUCUCUCGCUAUCUACCUUCAUUGUAUCAUUCUUUAUGGCUUUUGUUUUUUUUUUCUUUAAAAGAGAAAAAAUAAUGAAAAACAAUGAAACAAAAUGAUUAGAUCGAACCCAAAAGUAGGUUGCCUACGUAUCAUGUUGUACAUGAAUUAGAUCUUGCAUAGUUCGGGCUGCAUAUGCAUAAACAUCACAUAAUUAAAGUUUUUUUUUUUUACAAAAACGAAAACAAACAAACAAAAGAAAGAUGUAACAUCAUAACAUUUUGAUGAAAGAAACAACAAAAACAUACAAAGAAUUUAGGACCACUUUAAAACUAAACAACAAAUACAAAACAACAUUCUAAACCCCUAAGACAACAUACGCGAAAUUACUAAUAAAGACCCUAAUAUCAAAAACAACUUGACUUUGACUUAAAACAGACACCACCCUACAAUGACAGAAACAUAAAAGACUCAAACUGAAUUAAGAUAAGAAAUACUCUUUCAGACUGGUGCUCUGCAUGAUGACCCUGGCUGAGAUGGACCUGCCUGUGAAGUUCUCUUUCUCCCAUUCAAACUUUGUAGCAUAUCCUGUAAAUACACCCUGAUAUUAGGGAAGAAGCUUCAGGCCCGUAUUCCUGCCUCAUGAGGAGUGCACUUGGAAAGAUUAUUCUGACACCUUUCUACCGUUUUGAACAAUCUGCUAACUGAACUCUCAAUGUCUCCACUUUGGACCCCGCACUUUUAUCUUGAUGAUCGUCAACUAUGCAUUCUUCCUGUAUUUUUCCCCUAAGCUGUGCUGGUAAGGGUUGGCUGAUACCCCGAGGGAUAGAUUGAAGCCAGACCCCAUAUCCCUGAGUGUACCCCGGAUUAUCCAAACUUUCUUUGAGAGUGUCCACACCUAGAUUUGUUGCAUGCUUCCAGAACUGAUCGUAUUUGCUUUCACCUAAGGCUUGGUCCUUGAAGUACUCAACAUCCUUUAGAAGAUCUACUACUGGUGGCACGUCCUGCGGCCUACCCAACUGGCGCAUUACCCUAGAAGGACUGUAUGGUAUAGUGCAAUUGAGCCCUAACAUAACUAGAAGGAGUUGCAUUUGACAACCAAGCAAGAUUAUCUUUGGUCGAAGCCACAGACAAGUCCACAAAAUGUUAUCCCCGGUUCUUGACUCAAGAAAUUCAAUCCAAGCGUCGACUCCCAUGGGUAGCGAGAAUUUAUACAAACGCAACCUGAGGUCCAUGGCUUUCACUCGAUUGGGAAUACAACGAUCAACCACGUCUGGUCUAACUAAAAAAGGCGCAUCCAAAUGCUCCAUCAUCUAUAACUAUAAUAUCAGGUUACUGCCCUCAAAAAAUCUCAUCCGCCCCUUCACUUCGGUUAAUGCCUUAUAUAUUUCUAUUAAGAUCAUGGGUACGAGAGUGAACCUGCCCUUUUGAUUAAUGACCUUGCACUUUUGAUUAGUGCCCUUGUCAUUUUGAUCUUUGUGAAAUAGAGCCGUCACCACAGAUUACAAACGUGUAUUAAUACGUCUUUCUUCUAGCGGAAACACUAAAGUACCUAACAAAGCGAGGGUGAAGACUUCAAGAUGCUUUCUCUCCCACUUCUCCUUAGUCAUGUGAAAUUCAUUCCAAAAGCAAUCAAAACCUUUCGAGGGCCCGAAUCUAGUGAACAAAAAAUCUAAGGAAAUCCACAAAUCACUUAAACAACCCAAAUGCAUACCCUUACUUUUUAAACCACAAGACUGCAAAAACCUCACGCCAGUAUGAUUUCGUGUUCGAAUCAUAUCCUUCUCGAUAUAGGGCAAAUGCAACAAACUGGAUAUUUCUGCUAAAGUAGGAGUCAUUUCACAUUCCCUAAACCUGAACACCAAACUACUUGGAUUCCAAAAGGUCAACAAAGCCUCUGUUAAAUCUGGACGAGGGGUAACAUGCAGAAAUUUAGUAAGAUCACCUAAUAUUUUAAUCAGUUUCUGCUGAUCAACAUAGUUAAACAUUUUGCACCACUUGAUUAACUUUUUGGGCACCUUGACAACCAUCAGGACUCUAGACUUGGUGGACAAAUCUAUCCUGUAAUAACACAUAAGGCGUUAUCUCAAAAAUUCGACAGGAGUAGAAAAUUCCCAACCCUUGGGAUUUUUGACGCAAACAUAUGUCGAUGAGACAGACCACUUCAUGACUCCAAUUUUCUGAACAGAAGUACUGAACAAAAUCAGUCUACUUGGCUAACAACUCUAGAUUACGGGGCGAGAGACCUAGGCUAAUAAUAAGACAAAGGCCAACACAAAGAUUACCGAACCCACCGAGGGUUACCUACGUAUCCCAACCCGAGGGAAGGGAAUCAGGUAUGCGUAGUUCAUCCAGAUUGGACAAUUAACGAUUAACUAAUAAAUUGACCCGGACUUAAGAGACACAACCAAAAACAAACGAAUAAAAACUUUUUGGAUUUUCAACUAGACACUUCAACUAAGACAUUCUCCACCAAUUAUGAAGAAAAAUCUUUUUGGUAUUUUUGCUUUUGACAAAUAAGUAGAAGAGGCAAACAAAACCCUUUUUUUUGUUGAACUUACGGUACUUUAAGAAGACAAAUGCAAAACGUAAAAAAAAAUCUUUUUGAGUUUUUGGAUCGUGAAGAACAAAAGCCAUAAAGAACUCUAAAAUAAACUACGACACUCCUUUUGAUUCAUUCUUUUCGACUCACUUUUUUCUAUUUUUUUCUUCUUUUUUUUUUUGUUUUUUGCCUACGCACCUUACUCCUAACAAGUGUUUUUUUUUCAAAUCAGUCCGUCAAAUGACCACGUUACCCUUAAAGAUGCAACAAUUAGCACGUAGGAAUGCUUUAGAGGUGAGUCUCCUACAAAGGGCCAUGUGGGUCCNNNNNNNNNNNNNNNNNNNNNNNNNNNNNNNNNNNNNNNNNNNNNNNNNNNNNNNNNNNNNNNNNNNNNNNNNNNNNNNNNNNNNNNNNNNGGCUGCUUUGCUUUCCACCUACUCCAUAACACCGACGGCUCCCCCCCUAAAAUAAGGGUGACUCAACUAGAGGUCGUGUACAACACGUGUACUACGGACUUGUUGCAGAAAGAAAGCCUGGGGUUAGACACAUGAUGCCAGAUAUAAAAGCGAAAACACAUAGGAUAAAUACUUUACACAAAGAGCACGAAAACGCACAACAGUGAUAAUAAUAACACAAACAAUGUUUAUACACCCAUAAUGUCAAACAAAGCCGAUACGACUCCAAAAAUAAGCUCGAAUUCUGAAAUGGUCCCCAGUAGAGUCGCCAGAGUUGUCACACCCUUUUUUAACUCCGAAAAGAUUUGAUUUAGGUUUCGAAAGGGUUUUUAUUAUUAGUGACAAAGAUGAAAAUUUAUUUCGAAGAGGACUUUUAACAAUCAAAACUCAGAGUCGUCACUUGGCAUAAAUCGGGUGUGCUAAGUCACCCAUGGAUAUCCUUUUUCAAAAUGGUUUUGACUCUUUAAUACUGAUUUGCGAACAGAGAUUUCGGCUAAAGAAUUUUGUUAACCGAGGGGAAGGUGUUAGGCACCCCUCGAUCCCGUGGUUUGACCAUGGUCGCUUGGCAGAGCGUAUCGGCUAAAUUGAUAUUACAAAUGCAUAAACCACACAAAGCACGCAAAAACAAUCACUCAAGCAAACAAAAACAAAAUAAUUCAAAAUAUAAUGUCCAGUCCAAUUAUACAGUCCAAAAAUAAAAAUGCAUAAAAAUAAAUCUUACUCUAAAUUAAUUCUAGACUAAUGCUCUACCCGACGCCUCGGGCCUUCAUCACGAACGUCUUCCGCCAACAUAGUAUGUCGGAGAAUUCUCCGGUGAAUAAAUACAAUAUGCCUCGGGGCAUUCCCUGGCUAAAUGAGUACAUUUUUUUUAAUUAAAUACGAUAAACUAGAAAGAAACAUUCAUACGCACAUUCCAACAUUCCACCAUGUUUCAAACAUCAUUCCUAAAUUUUCCUACCCGAACCUAAACAUCUUUUGCCUAUCCAAUUCAACCUACCACGAUACUAUCACCGUUCGACAUCAACAACGAAUCAAAAUUACUAUAAUAUUUACUCUUUCAAUUUACGAUCCCCACCCCCAAAUUCCUUUUCGAUACAAAUCCAAAUUCAUAUUAUCAUCACCUUUAUACCACUGAGAUCAAUUACUCAAAAGCAAAAUAUAUAUAUAUAUAUCGAACAUCACCCAAAUCAACCAACAAAUCGCACAAGACAUCGAAUCAUACCCACAAUCAUAUCAAACUUAAAAUAAAGGGAGAGAGGAGAGAAUUGGACCUCAAGUGAAGCUUUCGAAUUCAAAUAAAAGAAAUAGGAGCCCGUCUAAGAACCUCAAAGAACCCCAACGAGAUCUCAAUCCUCCGAAUUAGCCAGGUAACAGUCCAAGAAUGCAAAUAACUCCAAUUUCUACUUUCCGGAUCAGUCAAGAAACAGCCAGCAAAUCAAUGACCAAAUUCCGAUUUGAACAAAAUAGAUAUAAGAAUAGAAUCAAUGAACGACCGAGCCCAAAUACCGAAGUAUGGCUCGCACAAAAUAAAAUCCGCAUGGACCAACGAGUACCAGGACUAGAAUUUCAGAAGAAAGAAAAUAAUAGAAACCCACGAUACCGGAGCUCCGGUGAGCUUGGCGGCAAGAUGAUGGAAGAGGGAUUGGAUUCCAAGAAACCCAGUACUUUCCGGCUAUAUUUCUCCCCAAAAUCGAGGAAAAACAAGACCCACACCCCCAAUUCUCAUUGGAUUCAGUCUGAACUUUGUUAGAAUCGACCCAAAUAAGAUGGAAUCGACCCGAACAGGCUUGUUUCAGGCUGAUUCGAUCAGCAAGUUCUGGUUCUUGGCGAUGAGUGACCGGAAAACUUGAUUUUCGAUCAAAAUCUUCUCUUUCGAACCCCCGAUCUCGAUCUCUCUCUUCGCGACUCUCUCUCUCUCGACUUCAGCUUGUAUCUCCUCUCCGAAACUCCAUCUCCCUUGAACUCUAUCGUGUGUGUGCGUAUGGUGAGGUUAGUGAAAAAAAAAAAUCCUGAGAGUGUAUUGUGUAUGUGUAUAUAUGCCCCCAAAAUGGAGUGUGAUCCCUGUAUGUAUAAAAAAAUAAAAAACAAAAGGGUUCUUGGCACCUUCCUGGAAGGUUCCCUCGUGGGACCCCCUUUUUAGUGUAUGUUUAUCCUUUUUGCCUUUGUGGAUAAGAAAUGGAGGGGUGGUGAGGUGUUGCCAUUUGAUCGGGUAGGUUGUUGAUUUGUUAUUUUUGUCUUUUUGCAGUGGAAUUGUCAUAAAGAUGAGGAUACACGGUAGAAUAAGGUAAAUAGGCAAAAAAUAUUUUUCAAAGGGACAAAAUUACGUGUCUACACCUCUUUUUUUUAAUUAAUUAGUUAUUAAAUGUUUCUUAUAAAUAGGAGUCCUGUCCAUUAGUUCCUCACAAUAAACACAACCAACAAGUCUCUCUUUUCUACUAGUAAUCAAAAUAUCAAACUCUUUACACAUAACAAAUAUUAGAAAUUAACCAAAUCUCAAAUUAAAUGGUACCAAACAAGAAAGACAUAUCAAAGAUAGGCCAAGAAGGUUUUGCUCAUCUUGAUGAACAACAACAACUCUAUGGAAAAAAUACAAGGUCUUAUUACUAAGCAAAAGCGAGUUCAGAAUCUAGAGUAGUUAACAAGUUCAGCUAUGUGUGUGAUCAUAUUUCUCCGAUACGGACACAUAAUAUGUAAUAGUAGGUACAAUGAAUCUGCAUGCAGAACCCGCUCCAGAGCCGCGUGUUGCUGUAUUUUAGUUUGUCAACACACCUUUUGUAUAUAUGUAUGGUCGAUGAAGCUACUUGUGCUUGUAUAAUUAUGGUCUAGUAUAUGAGUGAUGUGAUAUAUAUAUUUCACUUUAAAAUGCUAAACUACGUUCUUCUCUAGUUUUUUUUUUUUCUUUUGGUAACAGUGUUCUAGCAAUGUUUCCCUUUUUCACUUUUUGCGCGAAUCUAGAAUUUCUAGAAUAUGACCGGUAUGCACUAUUUAUAAAAUAAAAAAUAAUGUAUUAAGUGAAAAUCGAUCCUUGUUCCUCAAGGAGUCAAGGUAAGUAAAACAACUUUUCAAUCAAUAGCGCUACUUGUCAGGAAUUUUUUCAAUUAUUUAAAAAUGAUUUAUUUAAUAUUAUUCAGCAACAGAAGUUGUCCAUCACUAUUUUCUUAAGUAUAUGUAAUUAUGCUGAUAAUUAAUCCUCUUUUAAAAAAAAAAAAUAUUAUCUCAUUUAGUAUCCGGUGUCGCAUUGGAGCUCGAUAAAUAUUCAUAUUACCUCAUGAAUCUUGGAGAUAAUUAAGUUACGUGAAACUUAGUUUGAAGGAGGUGUUUAACGAACGACGAUUUUCAAUGCAUUAGAGUUCUUCUGCAAAAAUCAAACUAGGUUCGUUUUUGUGUGAUAGUCACCUAAAAUUCAGGGAUAUUUUUAAUCUUUUUUCGUAUCUAUAUUCUUUCAUCAGAAAUCAUGUUCUCAAUAAAAACUACAAAUAUAUCAUGUUCUCUCUAAUCACUCUAAUCUUCCACACGUAAAUAAUUGAUUUCUCUAAUGAUGAAUUAAUUAAUUUAUUUUAAUUAGUUUGGAUUAAUGGAUUACUAAUUAACAAAGAUCCAUGCAUGGAAUAUUUAAUGAUUUGCACCGAAAGUAUAUAUGUAAACAUAAUUCCAAUUUCCAAAAGAGAAUAAAUUCUAUUUCAUUGUUGUAACUUCAUUUUGAAUUGAAUUAUUUCCAAAAGAGAAUAAAUUCUAUUUCAUUGUUGUAUCUUCAUUUUGAAUUGAAUUAUUUCCAAAAGAGAAUAAAUUCUAUUUCAUUGUUGUAUCUUCAUUUUGAAUUGAAUUAUUUCCAAAAGAGAAUCAAUUCUAUUUCAUUAUUGUAACUUCAUCUUGAAUUGUAGAAUAAAAAAUCAACAUAAAAUAUAUUUCUUCCGUCAAUUUUUGUGACACUUUUUUCUCGUAGUUUGUUAAAACAAAAUGUCCCAUUUGUAUAUUUUGAGUAUUCAUCUUAUACCUCUAAUGCGAUUAUUUAUAGCUAAAAAAUUGUUUAAUAUCAACUUGUUUUAGAUUAUAAGUUUUUACAAUCUUUCGUUCUUCUUUAAAUAUAAUGUAUUAUAAGAACGGGAAGUUCCAAUGGAUGUUCCCGUUAGAAAUAUGAGAUUGCCGAUAAAAAUUACUUCGUCGGAAGUGUUCUCAAUAAUUCAAAUUUUCUCGAAAAUUGUAUUUGUUUGAUUGUGGCGUCUAGUCAAACGAUACCACAUAAAUUGAAACAUAAAAAGCAUUUCGAAUCGCGGAAAUUCAUGAGAGAUGACCGUGAAAUUUGGUAGGCCAACCACAGAAGUCGUCGUGGUAGGAUGACAAGUACCCCAUUAUAUUUAAUCAGAAAUCUCUAGUUCGAGUUAUGGGAAUAGAGUCAUGAUUAAGUGCUUACCUUCAGUGGUGAGGCCAGAAUUUUCACUAAGGAGAUUCAGAAUCUGAAAAAGUAAACAUACAAACAAGCUGAAGGUGGUUCAACAUCUACUAUAUAUACAAUAACAACAACAACAUACCCAGUGUGUUCCCACAAAGUGGGAUCUGGGGGGAGGUUAAAGUGUGCGCAGUCUAUACCACUUUAUCAUAUGAAGUAGAAAAGUUGUUUCCGAUAGACCUUCAACUCAGGACAGAUAACAGUAUAACAAACAAAAAACAUAAAAGCAAACAACAAAAAGAGAUAUCCCACCACUAGAUAAUAAAGAAAAUAAAACACCCACAAGUUAAGAUAAUACUAUAAACCAGCUAUUCAAAAUCAUAGUAUUACCCCUUGACCUAAAGGUGGCUUUGCCCUGCUUACUCCCUAAACUGGGAUUUUCCAAUCAGAAUCUAAAUGUUGGCAAUGUAAGGACCAUUAUUUAACAUUAUCUUUUUAAAAGUGUCCUUUUUCUUAUUAAUUAGUUUAGUUAAAUGAUUCCUAUAAAUAAGAGUCCUAUCCAUUAAUUCUCACAAUAAACACAACCAACAAGUCAUUCCUUUCUACAAGUAAACAAAAUACCAAAAUCUUUACACACAACAAAAAUUAGAAAUUAACCAAAUCUCAAAUGGCACCAAACAAGAAAGACAUAUCAAAGAUAGGCCAAGAAGCUUUUUCUCAUCUUGAUGAACAACAACUCUAUGGAAAAAAUACAAAGUCUUAUGCUAAAACAACCAAUAAAAAUUACUUGUCUUAUAACCAAUAUCAACCACAAAAAUCUCAUGUUGUUCAAUUCAAACCAAGUGAAGAGAGAGUUAUGAAUAGCUAUGAAGCUUUGAAGUUGCAUGGUGGGGUUCUUAUUUGUGAUUAUUACACUAGAAAACUGAAACCCAUGACUUAUUACCAAGCAGAAGCGAGUGCAGGAUCUAGAGUCAAGUGAGUUUGAUUAAAAUUAUGUAAGUGAUCAUAUAUUGUAUCAGUACGUACACAUAAUUAAUAUGUAGUAGGUUCAACUGAAUCUGUAGAACCCGUCUAGAUCGGCGUGUUGCUUUCUUUUAGUUUGUCAACACACCUUUUGUAUAUGUAUGGUCUAUUGAGUCUGCAGAACCCGCUCUAGAUUCGUCUUUGUUAAUCAGUGUCUCAAGUGUUUUCUUUUUAGUUUGUUAACAUGUACACCCUUUUGCAUUUGUAUGGUAGAUGAAACUCUAUAUAUGAGUGAUAUUAUAUAUUUCACUUUCAAAAUUAUGUUCCUUUUUUAAUUCUAGUCAUGAUUUAAUCUAC
Molecule: long non-coding RNA, 98125 nt
Filed under: Capsicum annuum
Lineage: Eukaryota; Viridiplantae; Streptophyta; Magnoliopsida; Solanales; Solanaceae
Description: long non-coding RNA (CANN_LNC007634)
Source: RNAcentral